RNAcentral lists this long non-coding RNA (151612 nucleotides) under Malus domestica (apple). RNAcentral describes it as "long non-coding RNA (MDOM_LNC010903)". The record is from RNAcentral. Lineage: Eukaryota; Viridiplantae; Streptophyta; Magnoliopsida; Rosales; Rosaceae.
UCUGGGGCUAUACCGCGUAAUGAAGUUCCAAAUGAUCAACCUCUGAUGCCUCCUCCUUCUAGGGUUCUGUCCAGUACUGAGGCUCCGAAUGAUCCCCUUUCGGUGCCUUCUCUUUCUGGGGCUCUACCGACUGCUGAGACUUCUCCUAAGCAACCUUUGUGAAGGCUCCCUCUUGUUCGUUUAUUUUGACUUAUGUAUAUGUACAUAUUUGUAACUUAUUGGAGAUAUCAAUAAAUAAGCUUUGUUUCAUUUCAAUGUAUUGUGUUAAAUACACCAAAACCUUCUUCACUAAGUUCUUUGAAUUUUUCUUUUGUUGAAGCUUGUAUCUUGAAGCUUUGUGAGUGGAGCAUGUAGGUUGAGGUAGUGUUCCCUUAAUUUCCUGAGUGAGGAAAACUUCUCGAUUAAGACUUGAAAAAUCCAAGUCACUGAGUGGGGUCGACUAUAUGAAUCUUAGAACGCCAUUGUGCUCGGUCCUGUGUCAUGUCCUCCGUUAGAUCUAAGUACUCUAAGUCUUUUCUUAGAGUCUCUUCGAAAGUUUUCCUAAGCCUUCUUCCACCCCUUCGGCCCUGAACCUCUGUCCCGUAGUCGCAUCUUCUAACUGGAGCGUCAGUAGGCCUUCUUUGCACAUGUCCAAACCACCGUAACCGAUUUUUUCUCAGCUUUCCUUCAAUUUCGGCUACUCCUACUUUACCUCGGAUAUCCUCAUUCCUAAUCUUAUCCUUUCUCGUGUGCCCACACAUCUAACGAAGCAUCCUCAUCUCCGCUACACCCAUUUUGUGUACGUGUUGAUACUUCACCGCCCAACAUUCUGUGCCAUACAGCAUCGCCGACCUUAUUGCCGUCUUAUAAAAUUUUCCCUUGAGCUUCAGUGGCAUACGACGAUCACACAACAUGCCGGAUGCACUCUUCCACUUCAUCCAUCAAGCUUGUAUUCUAUGGUUGAGAUCUCCAUCUAAUUCUCCGUUCUUUUGCAAGAUAGAUCAUAGGUAGCGAAAACGGUCGCUCUUUGGUAUUUCCUGAUCUCCAAUCCUCACCCCUAACUCAUUUUGGCCUCCAUUUGCAUUGAACUUGCACUCCAUAUAUUCUGUCUUUGAUCGGCUUAGGCGAAGACCUUUAGAUUCCAACACUUAUCUCCAAAGGUUAAGCUUCACAUUUACCCCUUCCUGAGUUUCAUCUAUCAACACUAUAUCGUCUGCGAAAAGCAUACACCAAGGAAUAUCAUCUUGAAUAUGUCCUGUUAACUCAUCCAUUACCAACGCAAAAAGGUAAGGACUUAAGGAUGAGCCUUGAUGUAAUCCUACAGUUAUAAGGAAGCUUUCGGUUUGUCCUUCAUGAGUUCUUACGGCAGUCUUUGCUCCUUCAUACAUAUCCUUUAUAGCUUGGAUAUAUGUUACUCGUACUUCUUUCUUCUCUAAAAUCCUCCAAAGAAUGUCUCUUGUGACCCUAUCAUACGCUUUUUCCAAAUCUAUAAAGACCAUGUGUAAAUCCUUUUUCCCAUCUCUAUAUCUUUCCAUCAAUCUUCGUAAGAGAUAGAUUGCCUCCAUGGUUGAGCGCCCUGGCAUGAACCCGAAUUGGUUGUCCGAAACCCGUGUCUCUUGCCUCAAUCUAUGCUCAAUGACUCUCUCCCAGAGUUUCAUUGUAUGACUCAUUAGCUUAAUACCCCUAUAGUUCAUGCAAUUUUGUAUGUCGCCCUUAUUCUUGUAAAUAGGCACCAAAGUGCUCUUUCGCCACUCGUUUGGCAUCUUCUUCGUUUUCAAAAUCCUAUUGAAAUGGUCAGUGAGCCAUGCUAUACCUGUCUCUCCCAAGGUUUUCCACACUUCAAUCGGUAUGUCGUCUGGGCCCACUGCUUUUCUAUGCUUCAUCUUCUUCAAAGCUACAACCACUUCUUCCUUCCUGAUUCGACGAUAAAAUGAGUAGUUUCUACACUCUUCUGAGUUACUCAACUACCCUAAAGAAGUACUCCUUUCAUGUCCUUCAUUGAAAAGAUUAUGAAAAUAACUUCUCCAUCUGUCUUUGACCGCGUUCUCUGUAGCAAGAACAUUUCCAUCCUCAUCCUUGAUGCACCUCAGUUGGUUUAGGUCCCUUGUCUUCAUUUCCCUUGCUCUAGCUAGUUUAUAGAUAUCCAACUCUCCUUCUUUGGUAUCUAGUCGCGUAUACAUAUCGUCAUAAGCCGCUAACUUAGCUUCUCUCACAGCUUUCUUCGCCUCUUGUUUCACUCUUCUAUACCUUUCACCAUUUUCAUCGGUCCUAUCCUUGUAUAAGGCUUUACAAAAUUCCUUCUUAGCCUUCACCUUUAUUUGUACCUCCUGAUUCCACCACCAAGAUUCCUUUUGGUGUGGAGCAAAGCCCUUGGACUCUCCUAAUACCUCUUUUGCUACUUUUCGGAUACAACUAGCCAUGGAAUCCCACCUUUGGCUAGCUUCCCCCUCUCUAUCCCACACACACUGGGUGAUUACUUUCUCUUUGAAAAUGGCUUGUUUUUCUCAUUUUAGAUUCCACCAUCUAGUCCUUGGGCACUUCCAAGUCUUGUUCUUUUUUCUCACUCUUUUGAUAUGUACAUCCAUCACCAACAAGCGAUGUGGAUUAGCCAAGCUCUUCCCCGGUAUAACUUUGCAAUCCUUACAAGUUAUACGAUCCUUUUUCCUCAUUAGAAGAAAAUCUAUUUGUGUUUUUGACGACCCACUCUUGUAGGUGAUCACAUGUUCUUCUCUCUUCUUAAAGAAUGUGUUGGUUAAGAGGAGGUCAUAUGCCAUUGCAAAAUCCAAGAUAGCUUCCCCAUCCUCGUUUCUCUCCCCAAAACCAUGGCCACCAUGAAAACCUCCAUAGUUGCCUGUCUCCCUGCCCACGUGUCCAUUUAAAUCUCCUCCUAUAAAUAACUUCUCCGUCUGAGCAAUUCCUUGUACCAAGUCUCCAAGGUCUUCCCAAAAUUUCUCCUUCGAACUCGUAUACAACCCUACUUGAGGUGCGUACGCACUAAUCACAUUGAUGAGUUCUUGUCCUAUUACAAUCUUGAUUGCCAUGAUUCUAUCUCUUACCUUCUUGACAUCUACAACAUCUUGUGUCAAUGUCUUGUCCACGAUGAUGCCAACACCGUUUCUCGUUCUAUUUGUGCCCGAAUACCAAAGUUUAAACCCUGAGUUUUCUAGAUCCUUUGCCUUAAGACCAACCCACUUAGUUUCUUGUAGGCACAUAAUAUUUACCCUUCUCCUCACCAUAACUUCCACUACUUCCAUAGAUUUUCCCAUUAAGGUUCCUAUAUUCCACGUUCCUAAACGCAUUCUACUCUCUUGAACUCUACCCUUCUGUCCUAGCUUCUUCACCCUCCCCCGUCUAAUAGGAUCAAAGUACUUCUUUUGUGUGUCCUGUGUAAAGUUAAUAGGAGCAUAUGCUCCCAAACAACUUUGAGUGGAGUCGUUCGAAAAGAAGUUUCUAUGGCCCCCUUGUUAGGUCUGGCAAACGGGUCGUGUCAGUCGUGUUCGUGUCGUUUUCGUGUAACACCUGUUAUCUUAACGGGUCGUGGGUAAAGUGACCCGACCCGUUAAGAAAAAUAUUUUUUUUCUUUUUAAAUUUGCACAUACCACACAUUGUCACAUAAAUAUUACUUCAAAAUAUUAAAACACAUUUGUCGUUUAAGUACUACAUCUACACUCGAAAAUAAGAGUCUCAUAAAAAAUACAUCCAUACACUACUAAUCUAUUACAAAUAUUAAGUGUGCAAGGAUAUGCAAAAUGAAAGCGUUUUUGUUUUCAAGGUUGUGAAGUCUUUCUCAAAAGUUUAAACCUUACCAAUGGAACUCAAAGUUUAAUGAAAGUGACCCACUAGAGUGUUUAUUCGUACUUUCAUUAAGUAUAACAUAAGACUUUGUGGUAUCCACUAGUGUAAAUAUUUUAAAUUGAAGAUCGAAUUCAUUCAUUGUAUUCAUAUAGGGUCAAGGAGUGUAAUUGUAAAAAAUCAUCAAAAUCGGAGUUAAAAUAACCGUUAAAUUGUGAUUUUUCGUUUAUAACCAUCGAAAAGUUUUAUCCCGUUACUUAAUCUUUAAAUGUUUGUUUUUUGCAAUUUUUGGCAUAUGCGAUCUCGAAGCAUAUACAAACAAGUAUGACGGUUAGAUCGUUGAAAUUAGUUUCGUAGAAUGCGUAUCUCAUCAAAACAAUAGAUUCACUAAUACUUAAGAGUUUAUUCUUACUUUCAUUAAGUAUAACAUAAGAUUUUGUGAUAUCCACUAGUGUAAAUAUUUUAAAUUGAAGAUCGAAUUCAUUCAUUGUAUUCAUAUAGGAUCAAGGAGUGUAGCUGUAAAAAAUCAUCAAAAUCGGAGUUAAAAUAACCGUUAAAUCGUGAUUUUUCGUUUAUAACCGUCGAAAAGUUUUGUCUCGUUACUUGAUCUGUGAAUGUUUGUUUUUUGCAAUUUUUGGCAUAUGCAAUCUCGAAGUAUAUACAAACAUGUUUAACUGUUGGAUCGUUGAAAUUAGUUUCGUAGAAUGCGUAUCCCAUCAAAACAAUAGAUUCACUAACACUUAUAGAUUUUAUUCAUACUUUCAUCAAAUAUAACAUAAAAUUUUGUGGUAUCCAAUAGUGUAAAUAUUUUAAAUUGAAGAUCGAAUUCAUUCAUUGUAUUUAUAUAGGGUCAAGGAGUGUAGCUGUAAAAAAUUAUCAAAAUCGGAGUUAAAAUAACCGUUAAAUCGUGAUUUUUCGUUUAUAACCGUCAAAAUGUUUUGUCCCGUUACUUGAUCUCUGAAUGUUUGUUUUUUGCAAUUUUUGGCAUAUGUGAUCUCAAAGCAUAUACAAACAAGUUUGACGGUUGGAUCGUUGAAACUAGUUUCGCAAAAUGUGUAUCUCAUCAAAACAAUAUAUUCACUAACACUUAAGAGUUUAUUAAUAUUUUCAUUAAGUAUAACAUAAGAUUUUGUGGUAUCCACUAGUGUAAAUAUUUUAAAUUGAAGAUCGAAUUCAUUCAUUGUAUUCAUAUAGGGUCAAGGAGUGUAGCUGUAAAAAAUUAUCAAAAUCGGAGUUAAAAUAACCGUUAAAUCGUGAUUUUUCGUUUAUAACCGUCGAAAAGUUUUGUCCUAUUACUUGAUCUCUGAAUGUUUUUUUUUUCAAUUUUUGGCGUAUGCGAUCUCGAAAUAUAUACAAACAUGUUUGACGGUUGGAUCGUUGAAACUAGUUUCGUAGAAUGCGUAUCCCAUCAAAACAAUAGAUUCACUAGCACUUAAGAGUUUAUUCAUACUUUCAUCAAGUAUAACAUAAGAUUUUUGUGGUAUCCACUAGUGUAAAUAUUUUAAAUUGAAGAUCGAAUUCAUUCAUAUAGGGUCAAGGAGUGUAGAUGUAAAAAAUCAUCAAAAUCGGAGUUAAAAUAAUCGUUAAAUCGUGAUUUUUCGUUUAUAACCGUCGAAAAGUUUUGUCUUGUUACUUGAUCUCUGAAGGUUUGUUUUUUGCAAUUUUUGGCGUAUGCGAUCUCGAAGCAUAUACAAUACAAACAAGUUUGAUGGUUGGAUCGUUGAAACUAGUUUCGCAAAAUGCGUAUCUCAUCAAAACAAUAAAUUCAAUAACACUUAAGAGUUUAUUCAUAUUUUCAUUAAGUAUAACAUAAGAUUUUGUGGUAUCCACUAGUGUAAAUAUUUUAAAUCGAAGAUCGAAUUCAUUCAUUGUAUUCAUAUAGGGUCAAGGAGUGUAGCUGUAAAAAAUUAUCAAAAUUGUAGUUAAAAUAAUCGUUAAAUCGUGAUUUUUCGUUUAUAAUCGUCGAAAAGUUUUGUCUCGUUACUUGAUAUCUGAAUGUUUGUUUUUUGCAAUUUUUGGCGUAUGCGAUCUCGAAGUAUAUACAAACAUGUUUGACGGUUGGAUCAUUGAAACUAGUUUCGUAGAAUGCGUAUCCCAUCAAAAUAAUAGAUUCACUAACACUUAAGAGUUUAUUCAUACUUUCAUCAAGUAUAACAUAAGAUUUUGUGGUAUCCCCUAGUGUAAAUAUUUUAAAUUGAAGAUCGAAUUCAUUCAUUGUAUUCAUAUAAGAUCAAGAAGUGUAGCUGUACAAAAUCAUCAAAAUCGGAGUUAAAAUAACCGUUAAAUCGUGAUUUUUCGUUUAUAACCGUCGAAAGGUUUUGUCCCGUUACUUGAUCUGUGAAUGUUUAUUUUUUGAAAUUUUUGGCGUAUGCGAUCUCGAAGUAUAUACAAACAUGUUUGACGGUUGGAUCGUUGAAACUAGUUUCGUAGAAUGCGUAUCCCAUCAAAACAAUAGAUUCACUAACACUUAAGAGUUUAUUCAUACUUUCAUCAAGUAUAACAUAAGAUUUUGUGGUAUCCCCUAUUGUAAAUAUUUUAAAUUGAAGAUCAAAUUCAUUCAUUGUAUUCAUAUAGGGUCAAGGAGUGUAGUUGUAAAAAAUCAUCAAAAUCGGAGUUAAAAUAACCGUUAAAUCGUGAUUUUUCGUUUAUAACCGUCGAAAAGUUUGUCCCGUUACUUGAUCUGUGAAUGUUUGUUUUUUGUAAUUUUUUGCUGAUGCGAUCUCAAAGCAUAUACAAACAAGUUUGACGCUUGUAUCGUUGAAAUUAGUUUCGUAUAAUUCGUAUCCCAUGAAGUUCAAUGGUGUGUGUGUAUAUAUAUAUUUAUUUAUUUAUUAAGUAGAUUUAAAUCUAUUUAUUUUGUAUGUAUAAUUAUUAUAGUUUUUAGGGGUAUAAAAUUUAAUAUAUAUAUAUAUAUAUAUAACUAUUAUAGUUAAUAAUUUGGGGGUAUAAUUAUUACAGUAUAUAUAAUUAUUAUAGUUAAUUUAAUAUAUAUAUAUAUAUAAUUAUUAUAGUUUUUAGGGGUAUAAAAUUGUUAAAUUAAUAUAUAUAUAAUUAUUAUAGUAUUUUUUUAGGAUUAUAAAAUUGUUAAAUUAAUAUUCUGCUUAUCGUGUAUCGUGUUACCCACGUGUAUACCCGAACCAACCCUUUAUCUUAACAGGUGCUUAUCGAGUUACCCGAUAACGACCCGUUUCAUUAUCGUGUCGACCCGAACACCGGUUAAUUUCGUGUCGUGUCGUGUCGGGUUAUCGGGUCGUGUCAGGAAUUGCCAGGCCUACCCCUUGCUCAUUUAACACUGCAUCCGGGUGCCGAUGGAGAUACAGCGACCCUUGCUCACUUAUCACUGUGAUCGGGCUACACAGCACGCCACUUAUGGGUGAUGUCCUAGCUUUAGCGCGAUUUCGUUCUGGAUUCAUUUUCAUAAGGAUUCGACGUAACCGAGCAGUGCCGGCUGUCAACUACCUGACGCCCUCCCCCUCCUCCUUUAUCCGGGCUUGGGACCGGCAAUGUAAGAUAAACUUACACAGACGGAGUUGCUGCUCUGCAGAAUGCAGCAGAGGAAAAUCCUUCGUCAUUCAAAAAUCUCUCACUCUCUCUAUCACACAUAAGUCAUGCAAAGAGAAUAUUACCUUAGACAUCACAAAGUGAUCUCAGCCACACAUUUAGCUAUUUUCUAGGAUCAUCACACAUGACAUUAUUUGCCUUGCAUCUUUGAACCCACACUUGGCAAUAUUACAAGUCAAGUGAAUACACAAUUAAAAACUUAUUUUUCACUAAUUCUAAUCAGCCAGAGACUUACAAUUCAAUAGAAUUUGCGUCAUAGCUUUUUUUGUGCAGUGAUCUUUCAUAUAACAACCUCGCCUUAGAGGAUGCAAGUUGUCAACCACAAGUCGGCCUGUAAGAAUGUCUUCAUUAGCUUGAAGUUAAUCUGUAUGUGUUAUGUGGAGAAAAGCUUAACUUUUCAUUUUUGUUAAUUUCUGCAGUGAUUUGUUUGCAAGCUCGUCAAAUGGCAAUAGUUCGUAAGUUCAAAUUAAUCGUCUCAAAUCAUGCACCUAUAAAUUUACCUCGGCAUCAAACGGUGUAUUUUGUACCUUUUUUUUUUUCCAACUUCUUCUCAUUUAUGAUUGCUGACAUUUUCUGUACCCUGAAUUACUCUAUCAGGAUAACUGUUUCAUGUUUAAAAACUUUGAAGUGUCCAAAAUGUAAGCCGAGUUUCUACACAAAUAAUUACCUUUAUUUUUUCGGUUCAUUCUUUUUUAGUUUUCCUCCUCAAUGCCAACUAAUUUCCAUUUUCUUUUUUCAUAGAUUUGUACACUCUCUCCAUAUAAAUUGUGGUGGGAAACAAUUUACUGUCGCUGGAGAGAAAGAUACAGUAUAUGAUGAUGACACAUUUCAAGCUGGACCUUCAUCAUUUUACCAGAGCAGCACAAAUUGGGCAUUAAGCAGCACCGGUUGGUUCAUUGAUGUUGAACGCCCUUAUGACACCUAUAUAGGGACUAAUGGAACUAGACUCUCUAUGGCCAAUCCUCAACUGUACAUGAACGCACGCCUUUCACCCAUCUCUCUAACUUAUUUUGGGUUUUGUCUGGGAAAUGGAAACUACACUGUAAACCUCCAUUUUGCUGAGAUAAAGUUUAGAAACGGCAAAACGUAUAAAAGCUUGGGAAGGCGCAUAUUCGACAUUUACAUUCAGGUAAGUAUCGCAUCCACUUCCAUGUAUAUAUACCAGUGAAUUAUUCUAAUUUUCAACAAGCAUUGUUUAUAUCAUGAAGCCGACCCCACUUAGUGGGAAAAGGCUUUGUUGUUGUUGUUGUAUUGUUUAUAUCAUGAAAUGUUAAGCAACUAAAUUAGUGUGUGUGUGUGUGUGUUUAUAUAUAUGUAUAUAUUGCAGGGAAAACUAGUGAAGAAGGACUUCAAUAUCAUGGAUGAAGCUGGUGUGUUUGGUGAUGUAGUCAUAAAGAACUUUACUGCUCCUGUGACUAAUAAUACAUUGGAGAUUCGUUUCUAUUGGGCCGGGAAAGGGACGACGGCGAUCCCUGUUAAAGGAGUCUAUGGUCCACUUAUUUCAGCUAUAUCAGUAGACCCAAGUAAGCUUCCACUGAUUUUAGCUUCGUCUAAUUACUAUGCAUCGACCAUAUGCAUUGAUAUAUCUACUAAAUUAAGAGAUCCUACUUCUGCAAGGUUCUUCUUCUUCAAUAUUUCCUUUCCCUUGUUAUUUCACAAAAAUGCUUCUGCGUGUUUCUCUUGUUUUACAUAGUUUGAGCCAAGACUUGAAGAAAUACUCUCUUAAAUUUUCUUAUCACAUAAUAUGCUUCUUUUUUUCCUAGGUGAUGGGUAUGCGCUUUUAAAUACAACAAAAUUCAACUUCGAGCAUUUUUAACUAUUUACAUGAAAACUAUCCAGUUCACUAGAGUAAACAUAUAAUAUUUACAACCAUCCAACGAAAGUUUGUUCGAGAGAUUACUUCAUAUACUAUCUAAUUAUUUAAGGAUGCCCUAAAGACCGGGUUCAAUCUUCUGUUUCGUUUUGCAUUAGAUAGCUGGUUGAGCAAUCCAACCUCAUAUUAAUUACAUUUACAUUUACACUCAUUUAAGCUAUAUUCUUGCUUUCGACAGACUUUGAUCCCCCGCCAAAACCUGGUGGAAGUGGCCUGCCUGUAGGUGCUGUGGUUGGAAUUGUGGUUGGAGCAGUCUUCAUGAUACUACUGAUAUUUGGUAUUCUUUGGAAGAGAGGCCUCCUAGGACAACAAAAGACAUUGGAGGAUGGUAUUAAUUUGCAGUUUAUUCUGUUAUACUUAUUUUUCCUUUCUGUUUCUCCGUUACUUUUUCUGAUCGAGUUUUUUCGUAACUAAGUACAAUAUUUAGGGUAUUUUGCAUGGUUUUCAAGCAUAUUAACGUGCACCACAAAGACAGUAAUUAUUUAGAUAUUGAGCUUUCUGGCACUUUGAUGUUGCUGUAAUAUAUGUAUCGUCCAAACUCAUGAUGCUAAGUGUCUGCCUAUGGAUCCAGUUACUAGUUAAAUUCUAGAAUCAGGCACAAAGUAUUAAGAACUAAGAAUGCUAUCGUUCAAAACGUUUUCUUAGACACAAUUUCUUAUGAAUUUUACUUGUUAUACAGAUUUGAAGGGUGUGGACCUGCAAACUGGUAAAUUUACCUUCAAGCAACUCAAAGAUGCCACAAGCAACUUUAACAAAGCCAAUAAGAUUGGUGAGGGUGGUUUUGGUUCUGUUUAUAAGGUAUUCUUCGGGGCAAAGAAUUUAGUUAUUGAUUACACUUUUUUUCUAAUUUGAUACUGUCCGGUCUAAUGAAAGUUAAUUUGCUCCGUAGUGAUGCUAAUUUGAUUAUCUUUCUCAAAUGUAGGGCAUUCUAGCAGAUGGCACCGUAAUAGCUGUUAAGCAGCUUUCUUCCAAAUCAAAGCAAGGGAAUCGUGAAUUUGUUAAUGAGAUUGGCAUGAUUUCUGCUCUGCAACACCUUCAUCUUGUCAAGCUCCACGGAUGUUGUAUUGAAGGAAAUCAACUAUUGCUUGUUUAUGAGUACCUGGAAAAUAAUAGUGUCGCUUGUAUUUUAUUCGAUAAAUAUUAGUCUUGUUUGCCAAAAGUUCAUUUCAUCAUACAGUGGGCAUAAAAGAUCUUAUGCACUAAAAAUAUGUCCCUUACAACCAACUUUGUUUAAUUUGGCAAAUUGAAAGGGUAGAAGAAAGUCAAUUGAAGUUGGAUUGGCCAACAAGGCACAAGAUUUGUAUUGGUACAGCAAGAGGUUUGGCUUAUCUUCAUGAGGAAUCAAGAUUGAAGGUCGUUCAUAGAGACAUCAAAGCUUCUAAUGUUCUGCUUGAUAAAAAUCUUAACCCGAAAAUAUCUGACUUUGGAUUGGCCAAGCUUGAUGAAGAGGAUAAUACACACAUUAGCACCCGUAUUGCUGGAACUUAGUGAGUCCCUAAACUUUUAUUUAUCUUCUUAUUGUCUUGUUUUAAUCUUCUUCCACCCUUAAAAAAGAAGAUAGAGCAACGGAAAAUCUCUAACUUACAUAAUUUUCAACCUCAUCAAAUCUUUGUUGUUCAAUUCAAGGGCAGAUUUGUUCUUUCAAUAUAGUUGUAUUACUGUGCAUCUCUCUAACUAUUGGAUUAAUCAUAAGUAUUCAAUUAGCAAUAUUUUUACUAGUUACUUUAGCUAAAUUUGGGUUAAUGAUAUGAUUUCAUGAUAUUGCAGUGGAUAUAUGGCACCUGAAUAUGCAAUGAGAGGUUAUCUGACUGAUAAAGCAGAUGUCUAUAGUUUUGGUAUUCUCGUAUUGGAAAUUGUUAGCGGGAGAAACAACACAACGUACCGGAAAAAGGAAGAAAGCUUUUAUCUUCUUGAUUGGGUAACAUGAAUUUACUAGUUCCUAAUUUAACUUCAAAUUUUCUCACUAUACCUUAUAUGUGUGAAAGUACGUUUGAAUCGUUGAAGUUUAAUCCAAAGACAAAGUUUAUAUUGCUUUUGCUACUUCCAUUUUUUGUAGGCACGACUUCUAAAACAGCAAGGGGAUUUGAUGGACCUAGUUGAUCCAAGGUUGGGAUCAGACUUUAACAAAGAGGAGAUGAUUGUUGCAAUUAAUGUGGCUCUUCUUUGUUGCAAUGUUACUUCGACAGCUAGGCCUACCAUGUCUUCGGUUGUGAGCAUGCUCGAAGGAAAAGGCUGUUGUUCAGGAGUUGGUCUCGGAUCCAAAAGCCGAGAGUAUUGAGAUCGAUGCAAUGAGGAAACAUUUUCAAUCUAGUUUUGGAAGGGGCACGAGCGAGAAACGGAUAGAAAUGGAUCAGUCAACUGAAGGGCCAUGGACUGCUUCGUCUGCUCACGAUCUGUAACCCAUCAAUCCUGAUUCAGAUUAAUGGGAGAACAGAAGCGAGAGAACUUGAGCUGCACGGUUCUCUGUUUGACUCAUCCUCAGCACACUAAACAUAUCAGCUAAUAAAUAAUUUGCAUUUCCUCUAUAGCUAUUCUCUUUUUUCUGUUUGAUAAUAUAGUAGAAAGCAGAACUGAAGAAGUUUCUACAGCAUGGUAACUAUAAAUUGUGAAAUCAGCUCUUUUCAGUAUUUUGUAGUAUGAUAAAAUGAUUAUCUUUUCGAAUAAUAAAUUUAUACUUCAAUACCUAGAUUGGAUCAAUUGUUACUAAAAUUAAAGUAACGCAUUUAGUACUAGUUUGUUACUGCUUGAAUUAUAAAAUAAAAAACGGGUAUCAAAAAAAGUUUCCAGCUUCAGAAUUUUAUUAUCACAAAUCGUCACUAACGUUUUAAAAAGUCAAUUAAGUUUAGGCAAGUUUCAUCGUAUUGCAAAGACAAAAGUUGUAAAGGAAGGGAAUAGAGUAAGUUGGUUGAACACUAUACUAUUUUGGCUAUGCGGUUGUUUGUGAAGAGAGUAGGUAAUGUACACCGAAAUUGAAAUGGAGGAGAAUACAGCAAGUUGGUUGAGAGAAGGAACUUAAUUUAGUAAAAUCGGAAAUCAUUUACGGAGGAUUUUCUACAAAAAAAUAUAUAGCUAAUAUAUAAGGUAAACAAGAUUCAAAGAAUGUGCACGAAAAGAAAAAUGAUACGUGACGUAAAUCAUUCCCAAAAAUAAACAAAUUGCCAAGUUUUCUUAAAAUUAGUUCUGGAAGUUCUGGAAUUUACUUCAAUUGGAUUGAUUUUGAUUGUUGUAAAAUAUAGGUAUAUACAAUUACAAGAAUCCCUACUACAUAGCCAAUUGGUACAAAGUAAUUAAGUAAUCAGCUCGUGAUGCUCUCCCUUAUUAAAAACGUCCAACUUGCCUAAUAGAGAUUUAAAAUGUUCCUUUCCCAAAGCUUUAGUAAAAACUAGAAAUAUGGCCCGCGCGCUACUGCGGGAUUAGAAACCAUUUUUCAAAGCUAUAAGAAAUUGUUACAGAAGUUAAUGUUACUUACUGGGGUAAAAAGACAAUUCCCUUGCAAGAGCAAAACCACUAUGUUUGCCACUACUUAACUUAAAUACUUACCCAACAACAAUAACAAUAAAAAAUUAGCACAGAAAGCAUAGAUCCGUAAAACACAAAGUACAUACCACAUUCACUGAAUGACACCCUCAGAAGCUGAUGCUUCUUCUAGGCCACAUAGCACCAAGAAGUGCAGCAUCCCUAUGAAACAUAGCUCCCUGUAAUGGUCAAGAAGAACAAUAACACAUAAAAUAAUGAAAGAACAGAAUCAGAUGGUGGAAGCCAAUACCGAACCGAAUAUAAUUUAAAUUACGCAUUAAAAAUAGCUCCAUGUACUUGUUCACUUGCUGCCACCUCUUUCCUCCUACAUUAUACACAUUAAAAUUACAUGGGAUGCUGUAAUUUUAUUGUUUCAGUUUAAUUACUUUUCUUAUCAUAUCCUUGUUGGAAUAUAAUACGUGUUUCAUAGCGCUUUGUGACUUGAUCGCAUAUGAUCUUAUGCUCCACGACCUUACCAAAUUGUGAAAGGAAGCUUUCGAACUCAUGUGAUAUUCAAAUUGAAAAUUCUUAGUGAGAAGAUAACGAUUAAUCAGUUGUGCAACGAAAAACAUAACAUUAGAACACAACCAGUGGAGAAAACAAUUACAACAACCUUUCAUUAACUAUGGAUGAAAUACCAGCAGCAAAAUUUUUCUUUGUUCUGAAAUCAUUUACAAAACAAAUCCUGGAAUGAAUGCUCACGAAAGAUGAAUUACAUAUAAAUUUAAACAUAAAAAAGAAGAAAGAAAAGGUGAGAAAAGUACCUCAACCGAAACAUAUAGGCAAUAGUUAUACUAAAACAACAAUUAAUUGAAACCAUUACAACAACAACAAAGUCUUUUCCCACUAAGUGGGGUCGGCUAUAAUUAAUUGAAACCAUUGAAGGUAAAAAAAAAAGCAAGAGUGGAUAAAAACUUAGAAUUCAACAAAGAUUAUGUUCCCAAUCUAAAUACAUAUGAACUCCAGCACAAAAUAAAACCCAGGUCUGUUCAGCACUAAAGUUCAGUUCAUGUGGAUUUUGGAAGAAGAAAUGUUCAAAAUUUAACCAUCCAGAUGUUGGGGCUUAAAUAGACUUCACUACUUUGGAGAUAUUUAUCUCACAAGGAAGAAUGUAACGCAGCGGAAUUGAUAGGCUAGAGAAAGAAAGAAUACUUAAAGUAUUACACAAGACUUUUAUUCACUCACAAACUUAGUGCAAGAGGAAACACUCAAACACUCUUAGAAGCUUUGUUGCUUCUUCUCACUUCUCACUACUUGCUCUCUUGGUUGUUUCAAAUGGUGUGGACGCCUUCUCCUUUUAUAGGCAUGGAUGGAACCUUGGAUAAGCAUGGAAGCAUCAUGCUAGAGAUAUCUAGAUAAUUCCACUACCUUCCUAAGCUAGAAUUAUCUACAUUAAUCUUGUAUGUUGGUGGAAUCCUCACCAUUCUUCUAGACUCUUCCACCAACUUGAACUUUGCUAGAAUUCUCUAGCACGUGCAUGGAUCUUUCUUUGUGUAUAGGCCGGAUCAAUUGUCUUGGGCCAAGACAAGAUUACAAUUCAACACCAGAUUAGGGGAAACAACUAAACUGUAAAAUUAGCAACAAUUAAACAUUAGGAAGAGAAAAUUUUAUGUAAUUCAUAAAACAUAUAAAAUAAAUUGAAAAGAGUUCGCAAAGGAGAUUUAGAGUUAAAUCCAUACCUUGAUACUUGAUGGCGAGGUCGUAAGGGAUAGGUCAAUGGCAAAAGCCAACGUAUAGCGAGUAAGAGAAACUUAACGGAUGUCCACUGCAUGCUACACUGUGUUUCGGCAUAUUCUUUCUGGGAUUUGGUCAGGAAACUACAACCAUUUUUACAAAUUUCCAUAAGCCAACAAUGGAAAAUGAAAAUACUUAAGCAACUUAGAAGGAGGCAGACAACAGAAACCAAAUAACGGAACACGCGAGAAGUAAAACGUUAAAAACAGAACAUACCAUAAAGUUUAAUACCUCUGCAAAAGCCUACAAAUCAUGCAAAGACCAAAAAUUUCAAAGACCACAAAUCAUGCAGAGACAAAAAAUUCAGUAUAUUAGCAGUCCCUACAAAAGCCUAAAAUAAGAAAAUUAGUAAAAUAGAAUUUGAUAACAUUAUACUUUAAGAAACCCUAAAUUUCCAGUCAAAGGAAAAUUAAUACCUCUGCAAACAAAAAAAAAAAAAAUCGAGAGAUAAAAACUCAAAUCCCAGAAAAUAAAUCAUAAAGUUUGAUUAGAAUUUAGGAGAAGGGUAAGAUUGGAUACGCAAAGAGAGGGUGGCCUUGUAUUUCUACUUCUCUGAAAUGCAAUCCUCCUUGUCCCAGGGCUCUUCACAAACUUCUCCGAGUACCACCCGCACACAGAAACAAUAUCCAUUUACCCUAUUCAGAAAUCGAAAAAUGGAUUUUAGAGAGAGGCGAGAGAAGUAGGAUUUAAGAGUAAUCAUGGAAACUAAUUGUGCUGAGCGGAAGCAAUUGUGGUUGGCGUCUCUGAGAUUUGAACGGGGAGAAAUGGAGGAGCUGUGAGAGAGAGUUGGACCAAAGGUUGAGAGAUAUCUGAAGAAAUGAGAGAUCGAGCUCUAAUAACAACGGAUUUAUCAGAAAUCCGUUCAACAAACGAAUAAAUAAAUAAAAACCGUUAUUUUAGUUAAUUAAAAUUUAACGCUCCAUUGGUUGGCGAGCAACCGCGGAGGAUUAGAAAACAAAAAUUUCUGGUGAUGUGAAAUUUUAGUUCCUAUUAUUCCUUGUGUAAUUAUAUUUAUAGGUAUUGGAAAUGGAAAACUGAAUUAAAAAUGGAAUUAAAUUAAGAAGCCGGUGGGUAUUACCUUGAAAGCGUGGAUUUAAAGGUUUGAGGAUGAACAGAGAGUAGGGAUUUUCCCACCAACCAAACAGACGGGAAAAGAAAGUUGAACUAAACACGAAAGCCAACUCGAUCGAUCUCGUCCGCUCCAGCUAGGUAUGGUCCUCAAGCUCGUGACCGAUAGCAGCUCGAUUAUCUUCCUGAGGGGUUUUUUUGGUGUCAUUUUCUCUCUUUUUUGGUGUCCCAACGAAUUAUGUGUCAUUUUCUCUCUUUUUCGAUGUCCCAACAAAUUAUAUGAGGAUUGACUAGAUAGAUAUCAUAAAGAAUUAUAGAUGAAGCAAUCGAUGACCCUUUAAUUAAUCCUAAUUUGUAUUUUACUCGCGGCCCAUUAUAAAUAGGAUUAAAUCAUUGGAUCCAUCUCAUUACUUGAUUAGAGAUUUGGGUCUAAGACUAACUCUUGAACAGUAACCUUGCCUUCGAGCAUGCUCACAACUGAAGGCAUGAUAGGCUUAAAUUUUGAAGUGACAUUACAGUAAUGAGAGACAUAUUGAUUGUAACCAUAAUCUCUUCUUUGUUGAAGUCUGAGCCUAACCUUAGAUCCACUAGGUUCAUCAAAUUUGUCACAACCUGUCCCGGAAAAUAAUUCUUGUUAACGUGAAAAGACGGGAAUACCCUCUUACGUUGAAUGAUAUGUGUAUGUUAUGUUUUGGUGUAAGUAUUUGGGAUUGGUGACCCAAUUAGAACUAAGAUUUUUCUUAGUUUUGGUUGGUGGUUUUUGGACCACACACACACCCACCUACCCACUCUCUCUCUCCUUCCCGUGCUCUCUCUCUCUCAGACUCACUCUCUCUCUUCUCUCUUGUACGGACACAACCAGAAGCCCUUGCAAACAUGGCAGAUAGAAGAAGAAAAUGGUACCAUUGUGUUCCUAUGGUCUUCACGAGUUCAAAGGUACCAAAUAUAGGUAAGAUUACCUUCGAUUUCACGUUGAAUCACAAAAUCCGAUUUGAGGUACUAUUCAUGCUCACGUAAAAUGUUGAUUUUAGGGAAUUUAAAGGACAUAGGGAGCUUAAGGAGGUCCUUACGAAGGUCGGAGUACUUCAUUUGAAGAUUUUAGACGUCGGAAUAGUGAGAACGGAGAGUUUCAAAUCUGGCCGGAAUUAUUGAGGCUUUUUCCGGCCAAUUUCCAACGAGUCGAAGCUCAAGCCAGGUACGGUUGUGUUCAUCUUUGUGAGAUCUUCAUUUUGGUAUAAAGUACGUAGAAAAUGGUGCAAAAAUGAAGAAGAAAUAGUUAAAAUUUUCCAGUUUUCCGACGCCGACGACGAUCGUCGGAGUUCUGAAGAAGGAGACGACAGAAUAUUCCGUCAAGUCUGAUGGAAUAUUCCGACGCCGUCAGUUAGUUUGGAUGGAUUCUGUUAGGACUUAACGGAAUAUUCUCAGAAUAUUCCUGACGGUGUUAACUGAUGCCGUCAGUGUGCCUGGCAGAUGGCCGCGCUUGGGGGGGUUUGACCGUGCCAUUGUCAGCGCAUGGGGGCGCGUGAUGCUUCCAAAAAUUUAUCUAAAAAUUUGGGGAUGAUCCUGAGGUUGUGUAGGUCUCGAUGGUAUAUUCAUAUACCCAAUUUGAGCAAUAUAUGAGAAGUUAUUACCUAUUGUUGGUUAUGUGCGUCAAAUAACGUUUAUUCGAUUAUUACGCCUAUAGGUGAGGCCUAUUCUUGGGACGAGCGUAAUCAAUCGAGGCUCGGGGGCUACGACCCAUUGACAUCUCAGUGAGUGGGCAGUUAUUUUCAGUAUAUAUAUAUACUUGACGUUUUCCCCAGAAAACGUAUUUAUAGGAAAUGCAAUUCAAAUGCCAUGCAUAUACAAUUAUGUUUCGUGCAUGAAUUGAUGUGUGAUACCUUAUAUAUAUAAAUGUGGUGCUGUGGAGGCACAUGUAAGUUCAGGUAAGUUGUGUUUGGUUAUGUAAAUCAUCGAUGAUGUGAUAUAUGAUUGAGAAGCAAUAUCUCAUAAACUUGCACUCAGGGUGAUUGCAAUUUAGCCAGAGAGAGCUGGCACAUGCCUGUAUAUUAUGUCACCUCCCGCACCAUAUGCUCACAUUGGAUCCAAUUAGGUGCACAGUCUUGUCGUACAGACCACUAUAAGUGGUUCCGACUCGUAGGUGACUAACGUAUUAUCGCACAGCUAGCAUUGAGAGAGUGGAAUUGAGCAUAAUUAUAUUACACCCAACCUUGUCGUACAAACCAUUUUCAGUGGUUCCGACUUAUAUGCAGUAUAUUGUCGUAUAGGUCAUUAUAGUGACUUCGGCUAGAUUGACUAUUGAGCUAUAAACUCAGCCGUACAUACCACAUCAGGGAUUCUGGCUAACAUAUUAUAUUUCUAUGAAAUUAUUCUUACCUGAAUUGUGUACUUUGUUAUAUAUUGGCAUGGCAUGCAUAUGUUUAUGAAUAUGUAUGUAAAGCAUGAAUUGAAUUGAAACGAUAUAUUUAUAUGCUUAUUUAUGUAUUCUAAUUUCUGGGAAAAAUAAUCAUAUACUUGUUUUACGGCGAGGGGUUAGUAUAUUCCAAGGAAAAUAAGGUUUUCGUAUAAAUGUGUUUUACUGACCCACUCAACUUUGUUUUUCGCCCCUUCAAGUCUUAGAUAGCAGAGUUUGGUGGCCACGAGAACUUCAACGGUGUUCUAACAGAAUCUGUAAAAGUAGGAUUCAUCUUCGGGUGUUGUAUUUUAGUAAUCAUCCUACUCGACUGCAACUAGACGCUCUUAUUGCUUUGAAAGUGUAUUUAUACACUUACACUCUCACUGGCAUCCUUUCUAGAAUGGGAUUGUUAGUUAAUAGGUUUUAAAUUGUUAGUAUUUCUCUUACUCUUUAUCGUUUCCGCCUUGUACUCAUGGCUACGUCACUCUUACGUGACGGCCAGCACGUCUCGACUUUGGUCAGGGUGAGUCAAAAUUCCCGUCCGAUUUAGAACAUGUGACUUAAAACAUGAAAGGAAUAGAAGCAAAAAAAAAAUAUUUUCUUAAAAAAUAACCAGAGAACUUUCAACAAAAAAAAUAUAAAAGUUGUAUGUGUUUGCUACUAAUGUUAGUUCUUCUUCCACUACUAAUGUCCAAUACAACAAUUCCAAAGUUUAAACAUCUUCUUUAUCAGUCAAGUAACCUCUAAUUGCAUAAUUCAUUUUUCACUAAAUUGGUCUUAAGUUCACAGGGCUAGAAUCCUUCCCCCAAACAUAGCUCAGAGGACUCGCACCCUCCAAAUAAAGUAGACAACAAUACUACAAUUGACAUAAGUUUUUGUGUGGUAGUGAAUUAUUGUCACAUGCGCUCAUGUAAAUACUAAUAUGUAAAUAAAUUACGAGAAGUGAAUUAUAUAUACUUCUUUUUGUUGCAAUCUCUUUUCAUCUUUUUUAUAUGAAUUGAAUUCAGAAGAAUUCAGGAAACAAAGUAGCCCAAAAUGAUCUAUGUUAAAAUUAUUUCUAUAAACUCUAAUACACAUACACAAAAACAUUUGAGUAUUACUUUAGUCAUGGAAUGCUGAUCAAAGUACAAUUAAAUAGUAUCACUUAGAAUUAUAACUCUUGGCUUAUAGUAUGAAAACAAAAUUACAGAACAUUUGUAUAUUGCUUGCAAGCAAUUAGCUUCAGUGGUAAACUCCAGCAACUUGAUUAAGAAAGCAUGUAUAUAGAGCUGCGCAAUUACCAUGUCCACAUAUCCUGAUCAGGAAAUUUCCCAUGCUUGGCUUAGUUGAAAAUAGCAGAUAAGUCAACAGUGUAUUUUAAAGGGAUGUGCUAUCCACACACCUAUUUUUACUUCUCACACACUCCUUGUUAAUUUAUGUCUGUUGAUCUUCUUCAACUCAUCCGAUCCGACGGCCUAAAACCAAAAAGGUGUGGGAGAAGUAAAAAGAGGUGUGUAGAUAUCACACCCCUAUUUUAAAUUACUGUUACUUAAUUAUUUUAAAUUUCAUAAUCAAUAUUAAUUACCCGUGGGUGUGCUUUAAAUUAUGCUUGAUUAAUUAUUUUAAAUUUCGUAAUCAUAGAAAACUAAUAGCUUCUUAUAUACUGUUGUCAAAAUCGUGAGUUCGGCUGUCGGAAAGGUUUUUUAAUUAAGCUGACUAUGAGCUGCAAAUAAGAUGCGUCGACACUGUUUUGCUACAAAUCGGUGUAUUGAGCAAAUAAUACCAGUUACUUCAACAACAAAAAAACAGUUACAACUAAUUAUUUUUUUAUCGUCGCUUGUUAAUUACAAAUAUAGCUCAGGUCCCGUGAUCUCGUAAUAUUUUUAAGAAAAUUUUCAUUUCCUUUGUCAACUAAAAAAAAAGCUCUUUGUUUUUGUUGUUAAAAAACGACUUUCCAAUAUUAUAGAAUUCCCACUUGAUCAAACAAUUGAGAUAAUUAUUCAACAAAAAAAAACAAUUGCGAUAAUUAUAAUCCAUCCAUCUCAACUAUUUGCAGUUUUACUUAAAAAAAAUUAUUCCACAUACAUCUCAGUCAUCCAUUUAUGAUCACAUGACCAAAAGUUCACAUACGUCUCAAUCAACCAUUUAUGUUAAAAUUGUCUAAAAUGGAAAAUUCUCAUAUAUUAAAGUCUUGAAAUUGGAUCCUUAUGAAAGAGUGUCACUUGGGUGUGUAUGCAUAUCUUUAGCUGCAUCUGGCCGCCCACCGGUAUCGGUCAAAUAACAGGUUUUCAAAAUCUUUUUUAUGAUAUUUUUCUACUAGAAUUUGUCUUUAAUUAGUAUUUUGCAUGGAAUAUGUUCGAGAGAGCUCCCAAACUUGACCUCGGCAGGCGUUCACUGUUUAGUAAUACAUAGUUCAUACAAAUUUUCGUACUGAUUAUCUCAACUACAUAUUAAUAAAAUUCUCAUUGUCAACCAAAAAUUAAUGAAAUUGUCAUUCUAAACCUUUAAUUAAAACUGAAUAUAUAUAUAAGAAAUGUGGGCAGUAAUGUAAUUUUACACAACCAAAAUUUUGUUUUUUUUCUUCCAAGCCUAUCCUAUAUGUGAUUCUAACAUAUUUUUUUAUUAAAAAAAUAAAAAAUAAAGCUCUCUCCUCUCUCUCCACAUCCCACGCUCUCUCUCCCUCUCUUCCUCUCUCCUUCCAUUUCAAAUACAAAAAUAAAAAAUUCUCACACACAUUUUGUGCAUGGCCAUAUGCUAAUAUUCCACAGUAUGAUCCAAUACUUUUUGGUAAUUAGGUCAUGAUAAUCAAUUCAAUAACUCCCACCUUAUACCUAUAUAGCGAAAAGUAAUAUAAGGGCCAGAUUCAUGUCACCAUAUUUUUACACAACUUUUGAUACUUGUUUCAUAAGGCUCAUUUUGUAAUGUAUUUCAAGGAUCUAAACUGUCUAUCUUUUAAGUUUUUCUUCAAAUACGAUGUCUACCAAAAAUCACCUAAAUAUGAAAUCUUAUGACCGUUGAAUGUCUUAACGGUUUUAUAUUUGGUUAAUUUUUGCAAGAAUGAUCUAUGAAUAAUUUUCUAAAAAAUAAACAGUUUAGAUCGUUAAAAGUAUUUUAUGUAGUGAAAGCCACAAAACAGUUGUAAAAAAUUGUGUAAAAAAAUAGUGUUACAAAUUUGGCCCAAAUAUAUAUGUUAUAGUUUUUUAUUUUAUAAUGAAUAUCUACUCUUUUAAUUACAUUUUAUUUUCAGUAGUAUCUAAGAAGGGUUGUGUUAUCUACACACUCUUUUUUACUUCUCACACACCCUUAUUAAUUUUUAUCUUUUAAUUUUCUUCAAUUUAUCUAAAGUGAAAAAUAAUGUGUAAAUAGCACACUCUAUCUGAGAAACCAUUAACGAACUGGUCUGUAAUUCUAAAUUUACAAGUUUUUACUCCCAAAAGGAGACAGAGCUUCGUAAUUUUUAAUUUUUUAAGUUUCUGAUUGACUUGGGGUUGCCGUACAUACGGAAUAUGGUGCUUGGUCUCAGCUGAAUAGUCAAUUGAUCGUAUUCAUACACCAACCAACCUUUGCUUUUGAUUGAGUGUUAGUGAAGAAGUCCAAGUCCUGUAAGAUUAAUUUCGAACUACAUUUAUUUAGCCUUCCGGUACUCUGUGCCAUUCAUUUACUUAAUGUAGACGUGCACUUAAUUUCAUGCACGGUUUUUUUUGAAGUUUUUCCUUUUUAUUUCUUUUAUAACAUUAUAUAAGUGUCGGAUUGUCCAAAGAAUAUGACUGUAGACAUCGAAAUUUCGUAAAUAAAUAUUGACUGAUAAAUCAAAGUGUCAACGCUCAUGUAUUACAUAAAUUUUACACGUAGCGUGUGACUCAACGAAAAUUGAAAUAAGUUAGAAAAGUCAUCAAAUAGGACACGUGUCAACACCUGGAAGAAACGACUUAUUUCAUCUGCAAUAUUAUAUUCAAAAUUAGGGCCUUGGAAAUUUCUAUAAAUACAAGCCAAUUUCAUUCAUUUGGGGGAACCAAUUCAUAUUACACCUUGAAGCUCUGAAGCUCUGAAACUCCAAAGCUCUCAAGCAUCCAGGUUCCCGAAGAAUCAAGAAAGCCUUCUUCGUUCUUCAUUCAUCGUUCUUCCAAGAUCAAGCCCCAACGGCCAUUUGGAUCAACAAUCAUCCACCAAUUCAAGAUCAAGCCCCGACGGCCCUUGAAGAAAGCACCAUCGUUCAUCAUCCGUUCAUUCAAGAUCAAGCCCCGACGACCCUUGAAGAAAGCACCAUCGUUCAUCAUCCGUUCAUCCAAGAUCAAGCCCAACGGCCCUUUGGAUCAACAACGUCGGCGAAUCCACACACAUCCAACCGUUCUUCAAGAUCAAGCCCAAAAGCCCUUGAAGAUCUGUUCAUCACUGUUUCUUCAAGAUCAAGCCCAAAAGCCCUUGAAGAUCCACUCAUCACUGUUAUUCAAGAUCAAGCCUCAAACAGCCCUUGAAGAAACAUUCAUCCUCAAGAUCAAGCCCCCAACGGCUCCUUGAAGAUCCGCUCAAAUCCACCUUCAAAGAUCAAGUCCACGGCCCUUUGAAGAAACUUCCAACAGUUCAUCCAAUAUCAAGCCCCGACGGCCCUUGGAUCAACGAAACAUCCACAAAUCAACACCUUACGGAGAUCGAAUCAGAGGAUCAAAAUAGAGAGAGAUUGUAACCCAAAAUCAUCAAAUACAAAUAUUUGUUUGUGCACGUCGUUUCUUGUCUCUUUCGUUUCAGGAAUUUUCCGUGUUCACAAAUUGGCACGCCCAGUGGGACAAUCUCUACCUCUCAUCUCUUUCUCCGUUCAAGGAAUCCAAACACACCUCAAAGUCAAUGGCAUCAAGUAAGGGACAAGCCGUUCUCGCAACCACUGAGGGAUGGAUCCUGAGCACUUCUGCCGCAAAUGGACAAUCCAUUAGCGCCACAACCGCUCCUCAACAUGCCACUUCAAAGUUGGUGCCGCUAAAAGAGCAAGGGGAGCAUCAAAGGUGUAAGUCUGUCAUCAACCUGACCUCGCUGGGGGCACCGAAGCAUGCUGCUGAGGCACAUAAGAUGACACCCCAAAACAGCCAACAACAUUCUUCGUCAGCAUCAUGGAUGUCUAAAGGAAAGUCACGUUUAUUGGUUGCACAAGUCAUGACCAUCGGCGUUACCUCCAUCGAAGAACAACUGGCUCAAAUGAAUGAAGCGAUCGCAAGGCUAACCCGAACUGUGGAAGAAAAAGACUUGCAAAUUGCAGCACUCGUUAAUCGACUAGAGGCGCAGGACGGCGAUAAACCCGACCCAAAGAAUGAUCCACUAAAGAGAAGAGAUGACGAAGAAGAGGAGCCUCAGGUGGAGAAAAACGAUGCGAACCUGGAGCCAGACCAAGCAGCGGCAUUCAUGGGAUCUCUUUCUAUCCAGCAGCUGCAGAAGAUGAUCACCAACACCAUCAAGGCACAGUACGAAGGGAGCUCACAUACCUCUUUGUUCUACUCGAAGCCCUACUCCAAGAAGAUCGACGCCUUAAGGAUGCCGAUGGGCUAUCAACCGCCGAAGUUUAUGCAAUUUGACGGAAAGGGAAACCCGAAGCAACAUGUCGCACAUUUCGUGGAAACCUGCAACAAUGCAGGGACGGAGGGAGAUUACCUCGCCAAGCAGUUUGUGCGCUCGUUAAAAGGAAACGCCUUUGAGUGGUACACGGACCUGGAGCCCGAGUCCAUCAACAGCUGGGAGCAGUUAGAGCGAGAAUUCCUCAACCGCUUCUAUAGCACCCGCCGCACUGUGAGCAUGUUAGAGCUAACGAGCACAAAGCAGUGGAAGGACGAGCCAGUCAUUGACUACAUCAACAGAUGGCGCACUCUAAGCCUCGACUGUAAAGACAGGCUUUCGGAAACCUCUUCAAUCGAGAUGUGCAUCCAAGGCAUGCAAUGGGGUUUGCAAUACAUCCUUCAAGGCAUUAAACCACAGACCUUCGAGGAAUUGGCCACUCGCGCCCAUGACAUGGAGUUGAGCAUCGCCCAUCAUGGGAAGAAAGAACCGAUCGCCGACUACAAGGACGACAAAGUUCUUAGGACAAAAGUGGAAAAGGCUGCAUGGAAACCCACCAAGGAAGCGAUGACGGUCAACACAGCUCCCGUCAAAAUCUCCACACGAGGCAAGGCGAUUCAAGCCGAAGGCUUUCGUGAUCAAGAGAUGCGUAGACGCACUUUGAAAGAGCUUGAGGAGAAAACUUAUCCAUUCCCCGACUCUGAUGUGGUUGCCAUGUUAGAAGACUUGCUGGAAAAGAAGGUGAUCGGCUUGCCUGAGUGCAGACGGCCGGAAGAGAUGAAUCGUACCGACAGUCCAAGAUACUGUAAAUUCCACCGCUUCAUCAGUCAUCCGACAGAAAAAUGCUUCGUGCUGAAAGAUCUCAUCAUGAAGCUGGCUCAGAAAGGAAUCAUCGAGCUAGAUCUUGACGAUGUGGUGAAGUCAAACUAUACCACUUUCACUUCUGGCUCUUCCGACUCAAAGUUUUCACCUCAACCGCUAGGGGCAUCCUCCAAGACAAACAAAGUUGAAGGAUGGACUCAAGUCACUCAUAAGAAAUUGCACAAGAAGCAUAUGUCUCAUCCACAAGUCCGCCAAUCGGAAAGGGGGCAAAACAGCUCUUGUCAACCUUCAAAGCAACGUGAACGUGUUGAAGAUGAUGAAAUUUCGACAUAUAGAUCAUCCAUCCCCAUCACGAUGCGUGAUUUCUUGCCCGAAGACUUCUUCAAACACGCGGUCAAAGCUCCUUGCUAUGAAAAUUGUGAGGAACGCCUCUCCCGGAUUGCUUGACAAAAUUCACAAAUUCUCCUCGCCCGCACGAGUCUAAAAUGCAUGGCACAAAGCUCCUGGUCUGCACGAGCAUAAAAGGCAACACCAAUGCUCCUUGUUCGCACGAGCCUAAACUGCACGAACCAAAGCUCCUUGCCCGUACGAGUCUAAAAUGCAUGGCACAAAGCUCCUGGUCUGCACGAGCAUAAAAGGCAACACCAAUGCUCCUUGUUCGCACGAGCCUAAACUGCACGAACCAAAGCUCCUUGCCCGUACGAGUCUAAACUGCAUGGCACAAAGCUCCUGGUCUGCACGAGCAUAAAAGGCAACACCAAUGCUCCUUGUUCGCACGAGCCUAAACUGCACGAACCAAAGCUCAUUGCCCGUACGAGUCUAAACUGCAUGGCACAACGCUCCUGAUCCGCACGAGCAUAAAAGGCGACACCAAAUGCUCCUUGUCUGCACGAGUUGAAACUGCAAACGACACCAACACUCAUUGCCUGCAUGAGUUAAAACUGCAAACGGCACCAAAAGAAAAUACAAAAAAAAAAAUGUAUUUGAACUACGUUUUGACUUGAUCUCUUUCUUUGGAAGGGUACGUAGGCAGCUUGAAUAUUCAAUUUCAAGUUCAGUCACAUCAAAAUCAAAAGAAUAAAUGUUUUAUUAAAGAAGGUCAAUUUCAUUACAAAUUUAUUUUGUUAAGAAAAUUUGCAAUUUUCUUUGUACAAAAUUAAAUUACAGUUUCUUCGAGAAAAAAAAAAUUGAAUACAUAUGUUAUUACGUAUUUAGAAAAGAAAAGAAAGAAAAAAAAAUAUACAUAUGUUAUUAUGUAUUUAAAAAAAAAAAAAAAGGGAAACAUAUAUAUAUAUGUCUCGGCCCAACACCAAGCUCCACCAGCAACAAAACGCAUCAGCCCAGGCCCAGCUCUCUCAGUCCAUACCUCAUCCCCCCAGGCCCAGCUCUCUCAUACUCAAUCCGGGAUUCAGGUUAUCUGUUUUCCCAAAAUCGCGCCGCAGUCCUCCCUCCUCCUUCACGAGGACGCCUUUAUCACCAUACCCAAACACCCACCUUUCUUCACCAUGAUGCAGCAACCAUCAGGAGGAUUGGUACCACAACAGAUUUCGUCCGAUCCGCAGCAGCAGCCGCCGCAGCAGUGAAUGAUGAGCUCGCCGAGAAGCAGCGACAGCAGAUUCAGCAGAAGCGCAGGAGACCCAGUCUGCGCUUGAGACGCUGAUGAAUGGCGACUGGGUGAUGACUGGAGAACCGGAGCAGAUGCCUACCUCGUCAAUUCAGAAGGCAUGUUGCCACUUCCCAUUACAGCUGACAUGUCAACUCGAUCGGCGAAUGGGUGACCAAAUGCUAACCAAUCCUUUGCCGCUCGACCCAACCAGUCCGAACCCAUCAAGCCACACUCUCCACUCUUCUUUCUCAAAAGCAAAGGAUCCAACUCUCACUUCAACUACGACAAGUCGUCGUCCGGUGCUGCUGCGACGUCGUUUAACUGAUAUGCAUCCAGAACCCAGCAAAAAGGACUCCUAUCUGCUAAAAGUUUGAAGCUUUCGGCUUCAAUUUGAGGAACCCAGCAAGAAAUGGCGCUGAAUUUUCCGACUUCCUGUCCGAUUUUCUCGCCACUAUUGAACCCGAAAUCCCUCAUCACCCACAACUGCUUCAGUCGCUCUGCCAUAUCCCGCAGCACCGCGAAGCCGCUCGUCGACCCAAGAGACGACGGCCUCCGAUUUAAGUACUGCUCCACUAGCUCUGAACUCCCACGUCCAUGGUGGACCCAGCCGACGUCUCGGCGGUGCUCGAGUUCCUGAGGAAAAAACGGGUUUCCGAAGGCCGAAUCGGCUCUCAAAGAGGAUAUGAUUGAAAAGGGCGAUCUGGGUUCUUUCGAUUACGAGAAAUUCAUGUUUCCGAUGGUUCCUCGACUGCCGCCGGUCAGAAUUCUAGCCAGCUUCCGGCGGCCGGAGGUUCAGGGCGGCGGAGAAGCCUCGGGGUCGAGCUCGGCGGUGGACGACGAGUUUUUGAGCGCGGGAUCUUCUACUUCUAACAAGUGCUCUUCAGAAUUCACAAACUCGUAUGGAGUUCGAUCUACAUCUCCAAGCGGUUCCCAAGCUUCAUCCGAUAAGUUCUCUCAGUUUGGCACGGCACGCGAUUACCACGAUUUCGAUAUGCAGAAUGACCUUUUCUGGCAUGAUGAGAAAGAUGAUGGAGACUUCAUGACUCUUUGCUUUGAAGGGCCGGACUUCUUCGCCUGUCCCACGGAGGAUAAGUUCAUCAUGACUUCAGAUACAGACAAAGGGAACGAGAAAAUGCUGGAUCUGAAUCAUAAAUCCGAAGCAUUUCAACCAGAAAUAAGCCUCGAUUGCCUGGACAAGAGUUGUCUUACCAAUGUUUCUCCGGUGGAUGAUACAAGAAAGGAUUAUGCGACGAAUUAUAAGAAACAAAUCAGCUAGAAGAAGGCUUUGAAGAAUAUUGCGCAAAAUGCUGCUAUUUCCAGGUCUUUACAAGAGCGUUCAAAUAUGCUAUUCAAGAUAAGCGAAGAGAAGUCACAAGCUGAGGCGGAAACUGAGCACCUUCUUGCUGAAAAGCAAUGAGCGUUUGGAAGCUGAGACUGAAUUCAAGACAAAACAGGACAGGGAGUUGGCAGAUGCAGCGGAGAAGCUUGCCGAGUGUCAAGAAACCAUAUUUCUUCUUGGCAAGCAGUUGAAAGCAUUGCACCCUCAAACAGAGGUCAUGGGCUCUCUGUACAGUGAGAGGAGUCAACGGUUCACAGAGGAUGAACCCACUUCCAGUUCCAUGAACUUGCAAGACUCAGAAAAAAGGUGCGAUGGAAGGCACUUCUUCUGCCAAUGUAAACAGGGCGGGCAGCGAAUCUCCCAUCAACCUCUCCCCCAUCACUCUGCAUCUGCAUGCCCAUCGUCAGACGCAGAGGCAGCAACAAUCUUAAAAAUCACCAUCCAGUUCAGUUUCCUCAACAAGAGUCCGAAACACAGGCCUUCAAAGUCAACUUCCUCAUCUACGUCUUCUACCCCAACAGACAAGAAAGAUUUUGGGGACUUGCUCGUUAUGCUGCCAUUUCUCGGGACAACGGUCUUGUACCCGUUGUGGAUCCUGAAACUCUUCUCGACGGGGACCACCCAAUCGAAGGGACACUUGAAGUUGCAGAGAAGUACCAUGCAAUCAAAUGUGAGAAAGCUAUCAUUAAUAAUUAUUGUAUGAUGCUUGUGAAGAAUCCGACACGCUCCCGCAAUCUGGAAGUCGUACGACGAGACGCCAUGUUCAUAAAGAGGCGUUGUUUCCUCAGCCCUCGCCUUCCUCCUGCCCGCUUCCCCGAUCUGCGAACACCACCGUCGCUACACCACAACUGGCUUCCAUGCUCCGCUCAGGUGGAGGGUCUUGGGUUCGAAGGUUGAUGUGCUUCUCCUGCUUAGUAACAUUUGAUUCUGUCUCGACAGCAUCAGCAACAUCAGCACCAGCAGCGUGAUUCUCGACUCCGAGCUCGGCAGCAGCGGCGAGGACGGCGGCGUUGUUGUCCUGAAAUGUGGAAACGGCAGCGUCAGGGUUCCAGUUGUGGGAUUCAACGAAGAAGAGGGCUUCUUGCUUCAAAGCAAAUAUGAUAUCGCAGGAGGAGCUGACGACGACAUCGUUUUGGGAAUUAGAUUCUUGAGCUUCGACUUCCAUGACGAUUAGGAUUGUUCAGUGCUCUCCGUCCAUGCUUUUCAUUGUUCUCUUCCUCUUCUACUAUUGUUGUAUGAUGAUGUUGUUGAGCCUGGAAGUUGCUGGCGAUGAACAAGGCCUUGAAGAGGAAAAGAUUGCUCCGGCGAUGAAGUUGUAACUCAGGUCGAGCGUUCUCAGGUUGCUUAACCGUCCCCUCCUUCUUCCUUCUCCUCCGUCUCUUGCCUCGCAGCUGCCACCAACUUCAAAGACCGCUGUCAAACGACUAGCCGGCCGAGAAGCUCUUCCUUAAACUCCAGCUCUCCGUCCGUCUUCGUCCUUCCCUACAAAUCCCUCCGCCAAGCAUCCUAAUUUAUACAGAAAGAAAUACAAUUAAAAAAAAAAAAAAAAAAAAAAAAAAAAAGAGGUGGUGGUGCAUCUGGCACCACGUGAAAAAAGAGGAAUGGUGGAUCAAAGAUGGGGUACAGCCCCAUGGCAGAUCAAAAGUUUCUGGUGGUGCAUGGGCACCAUGUGCGGAAAGAAAAAAAAAAUUGUAAAAAAAUAAAAAAAUAAAUAAUAAAAAAAUGAUGGAACUUGGUGCAUCCAGCACCAAAGGAAAAAGAAAAAAACAAAAAAAAAAUAAAAAACAAAUGCAUAGAGAGAAAUAGAAGGUCCAUUUUAUUUAUUUUUCUGGAAAUUUUACAUAAAUUUGCAUUAUACAUAAAUUAAAAAAAAAAAAUCAAAUCAAAUCAAAUUUACAAGAGGGGAUAUUCAAGGACGAUCAGGUGGCGCUUCACAACUCGGCAGAGCUCCAGGAAGAGAAGGCGUCGGAGGUUGGCUGUUUGAAGCCUCAGCAGUCGGUACAGCCCCAGAAGACGAAGGUAAAUGCUGCUGGAACAAACUCACAAACCUCCGAUGAUCAAGUAAAAUCUGACCAUCAGAUUCCUGCAUCUGGUCAAUUUUCCUCUUCAUGUUUGUGGCAUAGUUGUGUGCAAGCUUGUGCAACUGUUUAUUCUCAUGCUUGAGCCCUCUGAUCUCCUGUUUGAGACUCAUCACUUCAGCCGCCAACGAUUCAACUUGACGGGUUCGAGCAAAUAGGCGUUGGGCCAUGUUGGACACAGAACCUGCACACUGUACACUGAGAGCCAGAGAAUCCUUAACAGCCAACUCAUCAGACCGUUUGGAAAGUAGUCUGUUAUCUCUGGGAGUGACAAGGUUUCGGGCCACCACCGCAGCGGUCAUAUCAUUCUUCACCACCGAAUCCCCAACGGUAAGAGGACCAGUAAGGGAUAUGAAGGAUGGGCGCCAUAUGUUGUCUGGAGAAGGCGGGACUGCCUCUUCACCAAGAUUCAAGUCAAAACGACGGUCAGAGGGUCCAGACAUUUUCAAAGUGUUGAAGGAAGAAGAGAUCGGACAAAUCAAGAUCUUAGAAGUACAAGAGGGGAGUUUUCACAUGCGAAAAUUCAAGUGUGCUUUGAAACGAACUGCAUGCCUCUAUAAAAAAAUCAGCACUCGACGGGAUUUCAGAGAUCGAAGAGGCGAGCUCAGAAUUCGAAAAGGCCAUUCAAAAAUCGAAGAGGCAAGCUCGGAAAUCAGAAAAGCAUCUUGCUUUUCCAGACGCGUCGACACCCAUCACACGCAAACUCAGCUUUGCGGAAAUCACGGGUAAUUUGUCGAAGCGCUGAUCCCAGAUAUCGAAGAGGCGCCAGUCUUUUUCAGCCGCGUCAUCACCUGUCAUAUGCACACUCAACUUUGCGCAAAUCACAGACAAUUUGUUGAAGAUUUUUGGGUGAAGGAAAAAGCACGUGAAGUUUACUGUUCAAUCAUCCAACGGUUGCCGACACGAGUGAAAGAAUAGUACCUCUACAGGUAUUAAGGGACCUCCUAUAACUGUCCACCUUCACCUUCCAUAGCAAGGCAGACAUACAGAGCCUUUCUUCAUCUCCAAAAAAUGCUUUCCCAACGAAACCUCUCGAGUCAUUCAGUGUUCCUUAUUCCUUGGGGUACCUCUGCAAGCCAAUAGCUCCAAAGCAAAAGUAUCUCAUAUCACCAGGGUAGAAAGCAAGAGUAUCUCAUAUCAUGCGUUCUCCCUGUCUUUUCCUUUGUCCUUGUUCUUACCUACAAAGACAAGGAUAAAGAAAACAAUAUGUCGGAACCUCCACUCAAACGCGGGUAAGGAAUCGACUGCUUGGAACCCUUCCCUGAUUGCCUACCUAGCACUGCUCUCGAGUACUCGUCUCCCACUGCUGCUGUACUUCCAAAGAAGCUACCACAUCUACCUGAAGAAUAGAUAAGGCAAGUGAAAAUGAUACUUUGCAGCAUGUGGAGACAAGGUGCAAAAGGAACAAGCAGAGAAGAAUGCAGUCUGCACAGUCAACUCAGCAGAAGGAGUCCGAGCUGAAGAACUCAAGAAGCUGCCAUAUCUGCCUGAAGAAACAAGCAGAGAAGAAUGCAGCAUGCUCAGUCAACUCGGCAGAAAGAGUCUGAGAUGAAGAACUCGUUUUGACCCUCAAAUUCUUGGGUCGACUUACUAGGCGUUGUGGGCUGCACGUGCCGAUUCACCACCCUUGAAUCAAAUCCUUAAAGAUCAAGUCACCAACUGGAAUAAGAGUUCAUCAAUCUUGAAGAUCAUACCGUUGACCAAACUGCUCAGGUGUGAAUUAGAAAGAUUGAACAGAGCAACAAGUCGUCACUUUCACCUCGUGCCUGCUUGUCAUGUGUUCGAGUCAACCUUCAAGAAUCAAGCCUCAACGGCCCUUGAAGAAGCUUUCAGCCAAAUUCGAAAUCAAGCCUCGACGGCCCUGGAAGAAAUCACAAGUCUGAUUCAAGAUCAAGUGUCUACCACCCUUGAAUCAAAACCUAGUUCAAGAAUAAGCUGUGGAAAAUCAACAAUUGGAGGAAUCCAGAAAAUCCUCCAACCCAGUUCAAGAUCAAAGCUGUGGAAAGUCAACAAGCGCAACAAAAUACGUGCCGAUUCAUCCACUACCAAAGCCAAAAAUCAUCUACCACAUGAAGCUCCUUGUGGCCCAAUUUCAACCUUCAAGAUCAAGCCUCGACGAUCCUUGAAGAAAUUUCAAACAAAAGUUCAAGAACAAGCCUCAACGGCCCUUGAAGAAAUCUCAAGCCCAAUUCAAGAUCAAGCCUCAACGACCCUUGAAGAAAUCUCCAGCCCAAUUCAAGAUCAAGCCUCGACGGCCCUUGGAUCGACAUCUACAAUAAAGGACUUCAAAACGCAUCUCCUACACGUGACAAGCACAUGUAUACGACGUGCCUUGAAGUGGGGGCAUUUGUAGACAUCGAAAUUUCGUAAAUAAAUAUUGACUGAUAAAUCAAAGUGUCAACGCUCAUGUAUUACAUAAAUUUUACACGUAGCGUGUGACUCAACGAAAAUUGAAAUAAGUUAGAAAAGUCAUCAAAUAGGACACGUGUCAACACCUGGAAGAAACGACUUAUUUCAUCUGCAAUAUUAUAUUCAAAAUUAGGGCCUUGGAAAUUUCUAUAAAUACAAGCCAAUUUCAUUCAUUUGGGGGAACCAAUUCAUAUUACACCUUGAAGCUCUGAAGCUCUGAAACUCCAAAGCUCUCAAGCAUCCAGGUUCCCGAAGAAUCAAGAAAGCCUUCUUCGUUCUUCAUUCAUCGUUCUUCCAAGAUCAAGCCCCAACGGCCAUUUGGAUCAACAAUCAUCCACCAAUUCAAGAUCAAGCCCCGACGGCCCUUGAAGAAAGCACCAUCGUUCAUCAUCCGUUCAUUCAAGAUCAAGCCCCGACGACCCUUGAAGAAAGCACCAUCGUUCAUCAUCCGUUCAUCCAAGAUCAAGCCCAACGGCCCUUUGGAUCAACAACGUCGGCGAAUCCACACACAUCCAACCGUUCUUCAAGAUCAAGCCCAAAAGCCCUUGAAGAUCUGUUCAUCACUGUUUCUUCAAGAUCAAGCCCAAAAGCCCUUGAAGAUCCACUCAUCACUGUUAUUCAAGAUCAAGCCUCAAACGGCCCUUGAAGAAACAUUCAUCCUCAAGAUCAAGCCCCCAACGGCUCCUUGAAGAUCCGCUCAAAUCCACCUUCAAAGAUCAAGUCCACGGCCCUUUGAAGAAACUUCCAACAGUUCAUCCAAUAUCAAGCCCCAACGGCCCUUGGAUCAACGAAACAUCCACAAAUCAACACCUUACGGAGAUCGAAUCAGAGGAUCAAAAUAGAGAGAGAUUGUAACCCAAAAUCAUCAAAUACAAAUAUUUGUUUGUGCACGUCGUUUCUUGUCUCUUUCGUUUCAGGAAUUUUCCGUGUUCACAAUGACUUUUUUCUUUAAUUUAUUGUGUUGCAAGUUUAAACACUCCGAUCUUUGUAGUUAAACUUAGAUUAUUAAUAAUAAGAUUGAUUGUAAUAAAAAUAUAUAUAUUCUCAAAAUGGAAAAAGGGUUAUUUUUUACGAAAACUAAUGAAAAUAGUUUGAAAACUUUAAAUUUUAACGAUAAGGACAAAAUAAAAGGGAAAAUAAAUAGUACCAAUAUUGACUUUUUAGUGUAAAAAUGUGGUUUUUCGUUAAAGUGAACAGUACCAUGAACUUUUCGUUAAAGUUCCAUUUUUUUUCGUUUUCAGAUGGUGUUGGACACAAUUUAUUUCUUAGAAACUUGACAUGAACAGCACUGUUAAGCAAAUAGAUAAAUUUGAGACACAAAUAUGGAUUUCUUUUCUAAUAAGUUCUUCCUUUAGACAUUCUACAUAAUUAACAUUUAAAUAGGUGGCCAAAUUAUAUCCUAAAGAUAUUGAUUGUAUUAAAUAUAUGUAAAUAUUGUAGUCAAAUUCAUAUUUUUAUCACAGAUGAUCCCUGAAAUUGAUAAACGUAUCAAAAUGAUAUAUGAAAUUGAAAAUUGAUUAAUGUUAUCUAUAAAUAUGGAGAUUGUUGUUGGUGGCGGAGUUCAAAGAAGGAGAAGAUGAGGAUUUUUAGUUUGUUGUUUUUCUUCUUUUUACCUUUUUAAAUUUUGAAACGCUUUAUUUAAUCCAUGUGUCAUCGUAUUAUUGGAGUGCAGAGUCUUAUGUGUGUCACAUCAGCACAUAAUAUAUUUUUUUUAAUAGAAUUCAGACAGAAGACAACAUUGAUUUGCAACACUCAUAUUCAGGGACCACUUAUAAUAAAAUUCUAUAUAAUAUAAUAACUUAAGUUCAACAAGUCACUACCCGCGAAACCAGUCUUUUUAACAUGUUACUAAGGAGUCUAUCCAUUGUCAAACAAUAAGAUAAUUAUAUUAAAUUUAACUAAAUUACGGCAAACGGAAUUCAAACUUUGUGUAGGAUAAAACACAAUGACAUAACUAGCAUGGCUAAACUCAAAUUAUGUAAAUGUAUCUUUAAUUAUAUAAAUAAUUAAAUAAAAAUAAAUAGAGUAAGUGGUUGGGAAUAAUAUAUUUGUUUCGGAAAACUAAUGAAAAUGACUUGAAAAUUUUGAGUUUUAACGAUAAGGACAAAAUAAAGGGUAAAGUAAAUAGUACCAUAAUCGACUUUUUAGUGUAAAAAUGUGAUUUUUCGUUAAAGUGAACAGUACCGGAAGUUUUUCGUUAAAGUUCCCUAUUUUUUUUCCUUUCUUGUUUGGUCUUUGGUUUUAAGGGCAAGUAAGGUAACACAAGUCAUUGACUUCUGUUUGUGUCCUUCGAGGUCCACUGCUUCCCUUCGAAUAAAAAGCUGUAAUUCAGACUCAUUCUCCUCACAAAUCUUUCUUUCUUUCUUCGCCACUCUCACAAAUUUUCAUACAUACAAUCCAACAAAUUCCAAAACCUCUCAACAUAUUCCAUCCAGCUAGCUGCACAAACUGAUCCUUUUGUCCCUGGUUUUCUCUUCAAAUGUGAAAGACCUUGCCUAGAAAAAUGAUGAAUAUGUUCUUCCCUCGAUUUCUUCCUCAUUCUCUUUUCUUUGUAGCUUGCUUUGUAACUUUUGCCUUUGGAGCUACUCGAUUGCCAAAUGAUGAAGGUACGAGUAAUUCACCUCAAUAUCUUUGUGUAAUAUCUUCCUUAGUUUCCUUUGUUUCAUUCUAUAAAUGAUGGUUUUAAGUUUGUUUGAUAAUCUUUUAGUUUUUUAAAAAUUUGGUUUGGGUUGAUUUUGGUUUUCAGUUUACAUUUUUUCCGAGAAGUGAAAACAGUUACCAAUGAACUAAUAAUUAAAAAAUUAAAAAUUAAAAUAGUUAUCAAUCAUAUGAUGCUGCGGUGCACUCUGUAGUUCUUGUCUAUGCAUCAAUUUUUUUUUUUACUAUUUUGUUGAGCACGAUGUUAAUUUGUUGCCUUUUAUUUUGCGUAUAUAUAGUGCACACUUUGAAAGACAUAGCAAAGACACUGGGGAAGACGGGCUGGAAUUUCAGUGGAGACGCAGAUCCAUGCAGCGGCCAACUUCCAUGGACUGAUCCAAAAGCAACCAAAGAAUCUGCGAAUGCCAUCAACUGUACUUGCUCCUCCACUGUCUGCCAUAUUACCGGAAUGUAAACCUCUCUCUCUCUCUCUCUCUCUCUCUCAAAAACAAACAUUUCGGAUUCAGAACAUGAGUUGGUAUACCACGUGUCAUUAUAUAAAUGAUGAGUUAUUUGUGUUAAAAAAUUAAUACAAUUUGAAAAAUAAAACUUUCCUCCACUCAUAUAAUGACACGCGGUCUACGAUCCGAACACAAUUUUUCCACAUCUCACAAGCUGAUACCAAAUAAUCUUAUCGGCUUUUUGUGAUGUAAAUUGAUGUGCAUUUAUUGGUGCCACCCUCAACAAAGGUUUUUCCGGAACAUUAUUAGAUCGUUGGGGAUAUUUACUUCGAUUAAAAUUAAGAAAUUAAAAUACUACUUGUUUUUUAAUUAACGGGGAGACAAAUUUGAAUUUUUUUUUUGGCAAAAAACAAAUUUGAAUUUGGUACAUCUUUUAAAUCUAAUAAGAGAAGUACCAUUAGACUGUCAACUAGUUAGUAAAAUGCUACUGCUUCUAAAUUUUUUUGUUGGGACGUUUUGAUGUAGUUGCCUUAUUUUUUAAUGGGAACUUUAACGAAAAGCACCCGGUACUGUUUACUUUAACGAAAAACCACAUUUUUACACUAAAAAGUCAAUCCUGGUACUAUUCACUUUACCCUUUAUUUUGUCCUUAUCAUUAAAACUCAAAGUUUUCAAGCCCUUUUCAUUAGUUUUUCUUUUUUUAAUUUCGUUGAGUAAACAUUGGUUCCUUUUAAGAAUUUGAUUAAACAUUUUUUAGAGGUACCUUUGAUAUUGGUGCAUUUGAUUUUAUGGUACAUUUAGAAUCUAAAUGUCCCAAAAGUUAGUACCUUUUUUUUAAAUAUACCAUAACUUUUAAAUACAUUUUUUAAUAAAAUUAAUGAAGUUUUUUAUUUUUUAUAUUUUAUUAUUUUUUUUAUAAAUAAAAGUAUUAAUGACUUUGUUUUUUUUUAUGAAAGAAGAGACUAAUUAAAUAUAAUAACAGAUAUAAAAAGUUAUUUUUCAAUGAUAUUGAUGAAUUACUUAAAUUAAUGUUUUUAAUAAAGCCAUGAAUUUGAAUCACAUUAUUGCUACUUCAUUAUGAGACUUAGCGCACUCCUCCGUCCCUAUCAGUUGUUAAAAAUAAAAAAAGUUAAAAAAUAAUGCCGUGAAUUUAAAAUUCCUAGAUUGUAGGAAAUUAGUUGUUAGCUAAUUUAAGUGAAUAUAUAUAUAUAUAUAUAUAUAUAUAUAUAUAUAUUAAAUGAAUAAAUAAAAUGCUAAGUUGGUAAUUGAUGAAAGCAUCUUCAUCAAAUUUUGUAAAAGAACAUAUGUUUAAUCUAAAAAAGUUGGAAAAAAUGCAAGAGAUUCUAAUUACUCCUUUUUCUGUUUCACCAUAGAGAACAUAUCGUUAAUAUAUAUAUAUAUAUAUAUAUAUAUAUAUAUAAUUAGUAUAUAUAUAUGGAAGUGUUAUUAGCACUUCAAAAAUUUCAUUCUACACUCAUUCUACUAAUUAAUAAAACACUCAUUGUCAACCAAAACUCUAUGAAAUUACUAGUUUAACCCUCUAAUUAAAAUAGAACAUGAAUAAGAAAUAUGGGGUAGAAAUGUAAUUUCACAACUGUCAACCAAAACCAUAUGAAAUUACCAGUUUAACUCUCUAAUUAAAACAAAACAUGAAUAAGAAAUAUGGGGCAGAAAUGUAAUUUCACACAACCAAAUUUUGUUUUUUUUUUCAAAGCCUCACCUACAUGUAAUUCUAACAUAUCUCUAAUUUAAAAAAAAAAAAAAAAAACUUCUGACAUUCUCUAUCACUCCCUUCCUCUCUCCUUCUAUUAAAAAAAAAAAAAAUUUCUCACACACUUUGUGUGUGCCCAUAUGCUAGUGUGUGUGUAUAUAUAUAGAUAUGAAUAGUUUUAUGUUUGUAUAGUUCUUUUGUUUGAGACACGUUGUGAAUAUAGAAUGUUACUUUACAGCGAAAAGAGUUGGAAAUAAGUUGUUAAUAAUAGAUUACCGAGAGAAAUAAGUGAUUCUUUGUCAUAAUAUGCAUAUGAGAUUAUUGCGUUAAUAAACACCAAUUUAAGUACUUAAUGUGUCACUUAGUUUUUUUUUUACUUGUAAGUGAGAGGUUUUAGGUUCGAUUCUGGCCAAAGGCGUAUUUGAACCAUAUAAUUACUAACUCAUUAUGAGGUUUAGACAACUCUCUCAUGCCUUAGUGUAGAUAAUCGUUUAUUAAAAAAAAAAAAACUUAAUGUGAUAAAGAGAACAUAAGUUGGAAAAUAAACGUUGGGUUAUAUAGAAUUGUCAUUGAUUAACUUAUUUCUUAAGCCAUUAAAAAUUGCUCAUUAAAUUUUUCUUUCCUGGAUAAAUAGUUUGCUCGUUGUGUUUUGAACGAGCUCCAUCUCAUGAUAUAUAGAACUAUUAAGAGAAAAAGAAAGAAAAAGUUGAGAAAAUAAAGAAAAAGCAACGUACAGAUUAGGCGCCUUUUGUUGUGAAAAAGGUUGAGAAGGAUAAGAUCAAAGUUUUUCAGUCUUUGUCAUAAGAAUAAACACUAAAAGAAAAAACAAGAAAGGUCUAUGUCCACGUACCAUCCAGUGACAUUGUAUAAUAUCCACAUGAAGACUUUUUAGGUCAAUGAAUCUUAAUGAGCAGAAAAUUUUGUAAUUGUUCAUUAUUCAAGCAAAUAAUUUAAGUGUUAUAAAAUAGGUGAGGGAAUACGAAAAAAAAAUAUCAUUUUCUCCAUGUGUAAUAUGAUAUUUGGUGUACCACUUGAAAAAAUCUCUUCUCAAUCAGCGUUGUCUCCUACAAAGAAAAUUAACUAUGCAUGUAAGAGAGGAAAAUAACUUAUAUUGAACAAUUUUUUUUAUUUAUUAAACAAAGCUUCAUAUAAACAGAGCUUUAUAAAAUUUACGUUGAAUCAUAUAUUAAUACGUGUAAAUUUUUCUUAGCGUGAUAUAUAUUAUUAUAUUAAAAAUAUUGAAAAAAAAAAUUCGUUCCAUCUAAACUGCUCACAAAUGUGCGAGGAGAAAUGUUGAUUAGAAGGUUGGAAUUCGGUUUUGUGGACCCCACGUCUAUUUGCUAUAAGUAUCAAUCAAUUUUUCACUAAAUGUCCCCAAACCUAACCCUAUGCCCAUGAAACCUCCAAAAUAAAGUAGGAAUUAUAAGGCCUAGUGUGGGCACCAUCGAGUUGUCUAUUGGCAACUUGGCACGUUGUAUUCACUCAUUCAACCUUACGUCGGGCAAGGUAGCUAGGCCAAUUAAUUCCAAUUGGAUUUGAGGGAUGUUAGUUUAAUAGCACAGUCGAGCUCGUUUCUUUCUUAGGGAUUUUCUCACACCCCGACCCUAGCUUCAAAGGGAUUUUUUUAGUGCGUUGAGAAUAUGGUUCGGUACAUCAAGUAUCAUAAUACAAAUAUUUAGAUACAUGGGAAAAAAUUUCUACCACUUGCAUUAUGACACUUAAUGUACCGAACCUUUUUCCUAACACAAUGAAAAUUUUGCCUGGGUUCGUGGCGUAAAAAUUUGAAGUUCUUAUUCGUGGCAUAAAAAUAAAUUGAAUCAAAUUUCUUAGAACUAUAAACUAUUCUUGACGUGCAAGUCAGGAUUGAAAAUUUCGAUUUCCACCAAUUCAGUUUUUGUUGGAACAAAAUUAUGAUGAAAAUUGGAAUAUAUCUUAAAAUUCUCAAAUGGGCUUCGGCUGCCUAACACUAGAACGGGCUUAGUCGUCUGUACUGUUCGGGUCAGGAAUUUUCGUCGAGGAUGUUUCCUGGCCAACAAGCACACAGCUCCCCGGGAGGUUGGCGCCGGUUGAGGGCUACUGUCGAGCUUCUGCUUCACUGUCGAGCUUUGUCGGGCAAGCUUCGUCGGGCAAGUCUUAUCGGGCAAGACUUGUCGGGCAAGGCUCGUAGGCCUUGAGGCUCACAAUCAAGAUUAACUUUUAGGUGCUCAGGCGUGCCACUGCCAUCUUCAGCAUGGCAGAUGUAAAAUGGAUGUCGAGUUUUAGUUAUAUAUAUGUAUAUACCCGAGAAACCGUGUUAGUUAUAACAGGUGCCUUUGUGGGGCCUUAGGUAUAAGCCUUGAGUCUUCCUAUCAAACCAAACCAGUGCUCGAACAUAUCAUAUUUGUUUUUGUGAGUGCAGGAGUCUUAUAACUAUUAUACUUCUGAUUAACCGAGUCCGAGAGGUAGAAUGAACCCAAAUAGGUGCCUUCGUAGGGCCUUAGGUGUAGGCCUUGAGGCUUCCCAUUAGAAUUCGUUCUUAUACUCAAACGUUCUAGAUCGCAGAACGGAAUGAAUCCAAAUAGGUGCCUUCGUAGGGCCUUAGGUGUAGGCCUUGAGGCUUCCCAUCAUAAUCCAUUCCAUGCUUAAGCGUUCUAUGAUAAUCAUAAUAUAAUAGAAAUAAAACUAAGAGGUAGGUCGAUUACUUGCGCCCCAAGUAACUUCAGACUUCUCGUUUAUCAAGGACUGUCGUGGAUGGGUUAAGUCCACAUAAGGUUCUUUUUUAUGCCUUGAGGCCAAUGACUUUUAACUGAUCAGAUUUGCAUGCCCGAGGGCUUAGGACUUGGAUCUGGUUUGAACACUAAAGAUAUAUUCAAAUCGGAUCCAAGUACUGAGAAAGCCUUUUAAUAGUCAUCUUGCUAGAAAUAACUUGCAUAUAACUGGAAGUAUACAACAUAUUGCUAGGCUAAUGAAUGAAAAGACAAAAACAAAGAAGGUCGGGCAAGGUUUAACCUUAUCAGGUAAGGCUGAUCGUCUUGCAGGUUCCUAUCUUUGUAGUUUUGUCAAGGGUCUGAAAGCUUAGAGAGAGAGAGAGAGAGAGAGAGAGAUAGAGAGAUUACAAAAGAUGAAUCGAUACUACAGCAAGGUUGAACAGGGUAGCAGAGCUAUUACAAAGGUUUGAAAGAAGGUUUAGCCCGCGAUGGAUGAAGGCUUGUCCCGAGAGGGAUGAAGGCUUGGGCUGACUACAACUUCAUUUUGAAGGCAAAUCUGGCUUUGAGCAGAGUUUGUGCUUGCAUUUGUUUGUUUGAUUGAGUGUCCUUAUUCCUGGUUUCUCUUUCUUCUUAUAUAGACAACUUGGCUUGGCCUCAUGUAGCAGCAGCCUUGCCCGAAUGCGGUUUGAGGGUGAUGACUCAUCAGCUAUUUUACAUGUAAUGCCACCAUAAAGUACUUUAUGGGCUGUGUAGCUGGUCAGUCUAUACCACUUGGCCUUUGGGUAGGUGAGCAAGUGGUCUUCAUGAGCUGCACCAAGUCAGAAAAGGCAUUUUCUGCUUUUCUGGGUUUUGGCCGGGCCUUGGUCAACUAUUCCUUCAGGCCUCCUUUUGGGCCAGCUCAUUUCUUGAGCCCAAAGUUAAGUUUUGAUCCAAACAGUGUCCCCUUCAAUUGAUAUUUAACCUGGAAUUCCAGGCGCCAAUAUUAAUUGAAUAUCCGCAUGCGUGUAUAUCAAUCUUUUGGAACUUGUGUUUUCUGUGCCCCUUGCUCUUCUCAUGACCUUUGAACUGUCCUGUGGGCCCUAUAAAUUAUGGCUCGGAAUUUCUUCUGUCAAGCCAUCAAAUCCUCUUCGGCCUUCCCUUCCAUCUUCCUCGAGCGUUCUUGUCUUCUUUUAAAAACUGAGAAAUGGGUUCCUCAGGCUUUGAGUGGAGUUUCCUAAAACUCCCUUUUCGUGAGAAAAAGGGUUUUCAUCAAAUGACUGCUAUCUCCAACACCCUUGGUCGAACACCCCGCUAUCUCCAACACCAUUGGUCAGGCGGUUUCCUCUUGAAGGCUUGUCUUCCUCCUUGUUACGGUGAUAAGUCGGGCUUCACCAUCACAUAUGGUGACGGUCCUGUCUAAGGAUCCUCUACUAGGCUCAUGUUGGCCGCACAACCCGAUCACCUGAUUGGGUUCUAUUCAUGAAGAUAUCGGAAAACCAGCUGAAAACACCACCAUAUCCAGAGAUAAUCAAAUGUAAUACGUAGGAAUUGAAUCUAUUGUUAAUUUCACCAAUUUGUCGACAUGAAAUAAAUAUUAUUUCAGCAACUUUUGUCUUUCUGUCUUCUUUGAAUGGUUGAUGAACAAACACUGCACAUGAAACUCCCGAAGCCUACUUUACUUUGCCCCCUCUUCAAUUUAACAAUCUCUAACAUCCCAUAAUGUAGGACAAUAUUUUUUCAAGAAUUUAACAUUAAUGGGAUGUUUCUGCCCAUUUACUUCGAGGUCCGCUAGGUAGUAUCCUCCUUUAUCCAAAACUCGACUAAUAAUGAAAUGACCUUCCCAUGUCGGGCUCCAUUUUCCAAAGCCCCGAAGCUGAGCUCCUAGCGGGAGGACUGUUUUCCAUACUAAAUCUCCCUCUUUGAAAGACUUUAUCUUCACCUUUUUGUUAUAAGCUCGGGCAACAGCUUUCUUUCCUUCCUGAAUCUGGUUCAAGGCUUCAAUUCGGGCUACAUCCAAGUCUUCAAUUCCUUGACACAUGCCUUCGAUGUAUUCUUCACUAUGUAACCCAAAUUGGUUUUGAAUUCUAACAGAACUAACAUUGAUCUCCAUAUGGAGCACUGCAUCUUGCCCGAAAAUCAAAGCAUAAGGAGUUGUCCCUGUUCCUGCCCUCUUGGAAGUUCUGUAUGCCCACAACGUAUUCCCCAGCUUUUCAUGUCACUUUUCUGGACUAUCUAUCACCAUUCUUUUGAUAAUGUUGACCAGGAUCUUGUUGCUGGCCUCUGCCUGAUUGAGGAUAGUACGGACUGGACUGGAUCAUCUUUAUUUUGUACUUGCUUGCAAACUCUUCAACUUUUUUUGAAAUAAAAGAUGGCCCACGGUCCGUUACUAUAGUUUCGGGCACCCCGUAUCUGUGCAGAAUCUUGGUCUCGAUAAAAUUCUUGACUGCGGCUGAAGUUAUGGAUUUUACUGCCGAUGUUUCCACCCACUUGGUGAAGUAAUCCAUUGCUACAAUUAUAAAAGUAUGCCCUUUACUAGAAGUUGGAUAGAUUUGCCCGAUGAAGUCCAUCGCCCACCCUCUGAAAGGCCAAGGCUUGACUACUGGAUUUAAAGGUACUGAAGGCACAUGUUGGAGAGGUCCGUGCCUUUGACAUUCUUCACAACCUCGGGCAUAAGACUUGCAAUCUUUUUCCAUGUCGGGCCAGAAAUAACCGUACCUUCUAAGCAACCAUCUCAUCUUUGUCCCCGCCUGAUGUGCUCCACAUAUUCCUUCAUGUACUUCGGCCAUUACUCUCAUGGAUUCUUCUUGGCCUAAGCAUUUUAAUAGUAGCCCAUCUGGAGUUUUCCUUAGUAGGUUCGUCGCCCAUAAGACAUACUUGGUUGCUUGCUGUCUAUUCUUCUUACUUGUAGGCGAAGAGGGAUCCUUCAAAUGAUGAAUGAUAGGUGACCUCCAAUCUUCUAUCUUGGUUUCUAGAACCAUUAUAUCCAGACUGAAUCCCCUUUCUAAGAUAGAAAAAAGGUUUCUUUUUUGGAUCUCGACAUCUACCCCAUAUUUUCUUUCCUGUAUUGGCACUCCUGAGGCUAGUUGUGCCAUCUCGUUGGCCGCUAAGUUGGAUCCCCUGGGAACAUGAUUGACUGAUAUCUCAGAAUCCCAGAAACUCAAUAAUUGCGUAGCUGCCAUGUGAUACCCCGCUAUAGUGAUAUGUCUGCACUUGAACUCACCAUUUAGCUGGUUUAUUACCAACUCUGAAUCACCAAAGACCUCUACCUCUGCUGCCCCCAAAUCCAUCAGGAUUUCCAGACCAAUUAUUAAGGCCUCAUACUCUACCCGAUUAUUAGUAUUUUCUUGGUAGUCUAGGAGAAAUGAGUAAUAAUGAUAAACCCCUUAAGGGUUUACAAUCACAAUCCCAGCUCCUGAAGCCUUCUGAGUGUGAGAUCCAUCGAAAUACAACUUCCAAGGAGUGAUCCAGAGACCAGUUACUCUUCUUAUUUCUUGCUGGACCUUAUCUUCUUUGCCCAAAAUAUCUUUUCUUGGUGGGAUCCAAAUGCUAGUAACCUCCAGGCUUCCCGGGAUAUUGAUUACCUCACUUUGAGAUUCUUGAUGCUCGGUCAGGAAGUCAGCAAUUGCUUGGCCUUUGACUGCCCUUUGGGGUACAUAUUGAAAACUGAACUCUGAUAAUGCUAGAAUCCACUUCCCAAUCCUUCCUGUUAGCAUUGGCUUUGACAACAUGUACUUUAUCACAUCUGUUUUGGCGAUGAUGUGUACGUGACAGGGCAACAUGUAAUGCCUUAGCUUGCUGGCAGUAAAAUAUAGAGCCAAGCAUAAUCUCUCUACUGGAGAAUAUCUUAUCUCUACCUCGGUCAGAAUUCUGCUGAGGUAGUAUACGGUCUGCUCCUUCCCGCCUUCAUUAUUUUGGGCUAGCAAACUUCCGAUUGACUUUUCUGAAGCAGAAAUAUACAACUUUAAGGGCUUUCCCCUUUGAGGUGGCACCAACACUGGUGGAGAAGUUAAAUAUGCCUUGAUGCUGUCAAAAGCCUGUUGGUGUGGCGGUCCCCACUCGAAGUUUUCUUUAUCUUUCAAUCUUAGUAGAGGAGUUAGCGGCUGGAUCUUGCCUGCUAAAUUGGCAAUGAAUCUCCUCAAGAAGUUAAUUUUGCCUAGUAGCCUUUGGAGUUGUACUUUAUUGGUGGGUGAAGGUGACUCCAUUAUUGCCCGAGAUUUGUUCUUGUCCACUUCCACACCUAUCUGAUGCACUAGGAAUCCCAAGAAGUUGCCCGCUCUCACUCCAAAUGCGCACUUAUUUGGAUUCAUCUUCAAUUUGUGGAUCCUCAUCCUUGUCAAUGUUUGCUUGAGGUCUACUAGAUGAUGCUCUUCUGUCUUAGAUUUUACCACGAUGUCAUCGAUAUAUACUUCCAUGCUCUGGCCAAUCAGAUCGUGAAAGAUGGCAUUCAUUGCCCUUUGGUAGGUUGCACCAGCAUUCUUGAGCCCGAAUGGUAUGACCAGAUAUUCAUAUGCCCCCACAUGACCGGGACACCUAAAAGUUGUUUUAUGUAUAUCUUCUGGAGCCAUCUUUAUCUGAUUAUACUCGGCAUUUCCAUCCAUAAAAGAUAAGACUUUAUGUUUUACUACUGCAUCUAUGGAUAAAUCGGCCAUGGGCAUGGGAUACUCAUCUUUCGGUGUGGCACUAUUAAUAUUUCUGUAGUCAACACAACAUCGUACUGCUUUUGUUACAGCUUUUAAAACGGGUACAAUGUUGGCUAGCCACUCCACAUAUUUGGCUAGUCUGAUAAAGCCAACUUUUACCAGUCUUUCAAUCUCUUCUUUGAUCUUUUCUUCUAUCUUCUUCGACAUCCUUCGUGGUGCUUGCUUAACAGGUUUAUAUCCCUCCUUGAUGGGCAUUCUAUGUUCCACCAAGGUUGGAUCUAACCCUGGCAUCUCAGUAUAAUGCCAAGCAAAACAGUCUUUGAAUUCUUGCAAAAGGCAAAUAAUCCUUGCCCGAUAAUCAACCCUCAAUAAACCACUGAUCUGUAUUGGUCUUGGAUCAUCCUCUGUUCCUAGAUCAAUAAUUUCCAGAGGAUCCUGGACUUCUGGUGGUGGCUUAUCCGGUUCUGCACACAAAAAUUCGACCAGCUCCAGGCUCUCGGGCAAGUCGUCUGGCCCGUCUAGGUCAUAUAUGCACUCGGCCAUUUGAAUGGCCCUAUCCAGUUCUUCUCUGCAAGAUUCCUCCUUGCGUUCAUGCUGGCUGGUUGAAGCUCCCUCCUGCCAUUCUUGCUCUUCCUUAUCCAAGAGCUCCCUUUCUUGCCUUCUUCCCUUCCCAUACACCAACAGUCUUUUAAUCAGGGAUCUGACUGCCAUUACCUGAUUUUUCUUCUUUUGUUCAGUCAUUGAUGGUGUAGGGGAUUUGGGAUGAUACAAGGUCUAUCCCACUCCUCUUUAGUAAGGAGCAUUCCUUGUUCCAAAAGCUUUUGGGCCGUCACCUUGGUAGGGCGGCCGUUCUUAUCAGCUCCUGAACAUUUCAAGAUUCCUACGUUGGGGUUGUAGAAACUUUCUUCCGCAACAUUGGCUGUGGGGAGGAAUGGCCGUGAUUCGGCCUCUACUAUCUCCCAAAAGCCUGGUCCUUCUGUGCCCGCCUCAUGAUAAACAACUACUUGUUGAUGAAGAGUGGAGGGUAUGGCCAAACUUUGGUGGAUCCAAUCUCUUCCGAGUAAGGCCCCAUAAGUGGAGGUGCAGUCCCCCACAAAGAAUGCCAGCAUUAUCUGUUUAGAUCCCAAAUCCACUUCUAAAGGCAAUAUCCCAUGAGUCUUGGUGAUAGCGCCUGAGAAGCUAGAGACCGUGAGGUCUGUGGGAAUAAGAUCCUCCGUGCCUCUUCCCAUUUUCCUCAUCUGCUUGGCUGGUAACACAUUAACAGCUGCUCCUCCAUCAAUUAGAAUUCUUUUGAAGGGCACACCUUUCAAGUAAGCUGUAACAUAUAUGGGCUUCAGAUGGUUGGCCAGCGAGAUGUUCGGGCGGUUAAACACCAUCUCGUCUGUAUAAAUCCUUAGAGGACCACUUUUGGAUGUUUUUGAAGAUUCGGCCUUGCCAGAUUCUUCUUCUUCAACUACCUCCACAUUGACAUGUGCCAUCAUUGGCUCAGUUGUCAAGUAAUCACCCUCCAUAGUAGCGGGUUGAUCAGGUCUGACACCAAACGUGGCGGAUAAUACAUAUGCCAUGUUGACAUGGAAAUUAUUAGGCUCGAGCAAAUCUUCCUUCUUGCUCCCAAUCUGGUCCAUGAAUUCAUCCAACCAGGCCAUCGCAUCGGCUGGAAGUAGUGGUUCUGGUGCCCCCCUGUUGCUGUUGAUUCAUGCCCGCAUACAGUGUUUGUUUUGGAACUUCACCAAAAGGAUCCACCAAUGGCAAAGAAGGUGGUCUCCUAUCAGAUGAAACAGUUCCAACGCAAAUAGGCUCUAGCUUCCACCCAGGGGUUGGCACCAUGAUCAGAUCUUCUUGAGCUCUCCUCAAGAUCCUAUACUUCCCAGGGUGUUGGUUCUGUGGCACGUGAUUCCCCUCGCCUUCUGUCUUACUAUUGGCCUUUUCUACCUCUUUCUUACUUCUCCAGCGGAGCUGACUCCUUCCCCUAGAUGCUGUUUUCUCCAACUUUUGAUUUUUUGAGGCUUCGGAUGUUGCGGGGGUCUUCAGGGAAUUCAUGUAGGCUUUAUGCUGCCUUUGAACCCUCCUGACCAUGGAGGCUCCCAUUGGUUUGGUAGGCUGUCUGUUCUUUCCGACUAUGUACCAUUUUCGCCCUAGGUGGGCAGGAUUUCCUUUUCUGACAGGAUUGGUUAUCCCAUCAAUCCUCUUGAUUUCCCUCCCCAUCUGGCCAUAUUGAGGAUGAUCUGCACCCCUCCGUAUUUUGGCCUCCAUAUCUUCUGCCUCUUUAGAAGCUUCAUGGUUUCGAAAUACUUCUGACAAAGCUUUGGGUUGGGAAUCACCUCCUAGUUGUUGAAAAACGCUUCGGGAAGUGUCCUUUUUUGUUGUCUGCUUGAUCUUUUCGCGGGCUUCUCUCCUUACGUCUUCUUCCUUCCUCCUGAUCAGUUCAUGAUCAAUGAGGAUUCCAGCUGGGGGAAUUUCGAGCUCACACUCGCAUUGGCACUUAUUACACAUAACCAUCCCCUUGAUUAUUGCUACUUUUGGAUAUUCGGGCGAUUUGAUCAUCCCUCAUGUAGGUUUUUUAGCCAGUCUUUCUUCCUCUGCUUCCCUUGUGAUCUUUUCUUUUCCUUUCUCCGCCCAUGCCAUAUUGAUCAUAUUUAUAGGGGCCUCCGAGAAGGGAACUGCAGGUUUGGCCAUCACCAUAUCUUCUGGCUGGCUAGCUUUAAGUCUUUUUCCUUUGGGAGGAACCAAGUCUGUAUCGUUUCUGGAGCCUGUGAAGGUUUUCUCCAAUCUUUGCAACAUUUGCAACAAUGUGGUUUGCAAAUCUUCUGACAUUUUUGUCAUAUAUCUUCUGAUCAAAAAGGGGAAUCCCACCGGGCGUGCCAAAACUAUGUUCGCGUCAGGAAUUUUCGUCGGGGAUGUUUCCUGGCCAACGAGCACACAGUUCCCCGGGAGGUUGGCGCCGGUUGAGGGCUGCUGUCGGGCUUCUGCUUCACUGUCGGGCUUUGUCGGGCAAGCUUCGUCGGGCAAGUCUUAUCGGGCAAGAUUUGUCGGGCAAGGCUCACCGGGCAAGGCUGAAAGAGAAGGACAAAAUUAACUUUGAAAGGUGCCUUUGUGGGGCCUUAGGUGUAGGCCUUGAGGCUCACAAUCAAGAUUAACUUUUAGGUGCUCAGGCAUGCCACUGCCAUCUUCAGCAUGGCAGAUGUAAAAUGGAUGUCGAGUUUUAGUUAUAUAUAUGUAUAUACUCGAGAAACCGUGUUAGUUAUAACAGGUGCCUUUGUGGGGCCUUAGGUAUAGGCCUUGAGGCUUCUUAUCAAACUAAACCAGUGCUCGAACACAUCAUAUUUGUUCUUGUGAGUGCAAGAGUCUUAUAACUAUUAUACUUCUGAUUAACCGAGUCCGAGAGGUAGAAUGAACCCAAAUAGGUGCCUUCGUAGGGCCUUAGGUGUAGGCCUUGAGGCUUCCCAUUAGAAUUCGUUCUUAGUCAAACGUUCUAGAUCGCAGAACGGAAUGAAUCCAAAUAGGUGCCUUCGUGGGGCCUUAGGUGUAGGCCUUGAGGCUUCCCAUCAGAAUCCAUUCCAUGCUUAAGCGUUCUAUGAUAAUCAUAAUAUAAUAGAAAUAAAACUAAGAGGUAUGUCGAUCACUUGCGCCCCAAGUAACUUUGGACUUCUCGUUUAUCAAGGACUGUCGUGGAUGGGUUAAGUCCACAUAAGGUUCUUUUUUUAUGCCUUGAGGCCAAGGACUUUUAACUGAUCAGAUUUGCAUGCCCGAGGGCUUAGGACUUGGAUCUGGUUUGAACACUGAAGAUAUAUUCAAAUCGGAUCCAAGUACUGAGAAAGCCUUUUAAUAGUCAUCUUGAAAUAACUUGCAUAUAAUUGGAAGUAUACAACAUAUUGCUAGGCUAAUGAAUGAAAAGACAAAAACAAAGAAGGUCGGGCAAGGUUUAACCUUAUCAGGUAAGGCUGAUCGUUUUGCAGGUUCCAAUCUUUGUAGUUUUGUCAAGGGUCUGAAAGCUUAGAGAGAGAGAGAGAGAGAUAGAGAGAUUACAAAAGAUGAAUCGAUACUACAGCAAGGUUGAACAGGGUAGCAGAGCUAUUAUAAAGGUUUGAAGGAAGGUUUAUCCCACGAGGGAUGAAGGCUUGUCCCGAGAGGGAUGAAGGCUUGGGCUGACUACAACUUCGUUUUGAAGGCAAAUCUGGCUUUGAGCAUAGUUUGUGCUUGCAUUUGUUUGUUUGAUUGAGUGUCCUUAUUCCUGGUUUCUCUUUCUUCUUAUAUAGACAACUCGGCUUGGCCUCCUGUAGCAGCAGCCUUGCCCGAAUGCGGUUUGAGGGUGAUAACUCAUCAGCUAUUUUACAUGUAAUGCCACCAUAAAGUACUUUAUAGGCUGUGUAGCUGGUCAGUCUAUACCACUUGGCCUUUGGGUAGGUGAGCAAGUGGUCUUCAUGAGCUGCACCAAGUCAAAAAAUGCCUUUUCUGCUUUUCUGGGUUUCGGCCGGGCCUUGGUCAACUAUUCCUUCAGGCCUCCUUUUGGGCUAGCUGCUUUCUUGAGCCCAAAGUCAAGUUUUGAUCCAAACACGUACACUAGUUGGGUUUCCAUUUCCCAAUACUUUACCCCUCCAGAUUUUUUAUUUUUUCUUCAACCCGCAACCAAUUGGAAGUUUUUCUUGAUCUAAUAAGAACUUCUUGUGCCUUGAAAUUCAAGAAAAUGCAAAAAGACUAAUCUAUUUCUCUUAUUGAAUGAACAACAAAACAUUCAACCCUACCAUGUACAGCAAUUCAACUUAACUUAUCUGCAAAAUCUAGUUCUGGGAUGUGACCAAUUUGCUCAAUUACUAUAACAAUGUGUUUCUGAUCUGGUUAUGAGCCAGCAUAGAUGUUCCAUGUCAUGCUGAGUUGUUAGGACUUGGUAUUACCGCUGUGCUGUAUUUAGGCUUGAUUCUUGCAUACUUGAUCAACGUAUAAUUGUACGUAGUCACCAUGAUUCUUGCAUACUUAUUAUACACAUACAACUCUGUAUUGACAAAGUUAUUAGUUGCAAAGUUAAUGAAAGAAUGAUUCACAGUGUGCUUGUAACAAAUACACAUUUACCGUUUGUGUAAUUCCUCAAGUUUUAUUCUUUCUAAAGAACAUUGGACAUUUUCCUUCGGUUUUAAAGUAAGAAAACCAGUUCCUUCUUCCUAUUUAAUUCCCUGACCAAAAGUAAGCAUUUUCUGUGAUAAAUUAGCGUUUUACCUGUUUGGUCUCAUUUCUAUGGUUGCUUUUCCUUUUAGUCACAGUAUAGAUGCGUAAUAGAUAUCUGUUAAUUUGCAACUAAUCUUUGAAACCCUAUUUUCCGAUGAAGCACAGAAUUCUAAAAGCCCUAAAAGCCCAAGAUUUGCAAGGAACACUCCCAGUAGAGCUGGUAAAUCUCACCUAUCUUCAAGAAAUGUAAGCACAUUUUUACCCCUCCAAGUUUACAUUAUUUAAAAGAAAAUAACUAUGUGUCGUGUAAAUGGUUUAUUCUAAUGUCAUAUAUAGCUUACCUUUAUUUUUGUUGUCAAUGAGACAAUAACUGGUUUCUUUCUUUCUCCUUCAGUGACCUCACCCGCAACUACCUGAGCGGUACCAUCCCUCCAGAAUGGAGCUCUCUUCCACUUCUGAACAUGUACUGUCUUCUCUCAACACUACCUGGCAUUUUUGUGUUUGAUGUUCAUGUCAUGUUCUUAUUGCUUUAUUUGGUCACUCCAAUGUUCUUCAGCCAUUUCUUUCUUAAACUAUGAAUCUACUACAUUGGGUUUUGUUCAUGAUGAUGGGCUUCCGUGGUCAUGAGGUGUUUGAAUCAUAAAUAUUGAAUUGAACACAUGGGGGUGUAUUGACGAACAUGUUAAUGUUAUUGAUCCUCUUGCUUGAAAAAAGUGAUCUUAAGACUAUAGUUUUUUAUGCAGAUCCCUUCUUGGAAAUCUUUUGAACGGUUCUAUCCCCAAAGAGCUCGGAAACAUCACCACCCUGAAGAGUUUGUGAGUGUUGAUUGCGCAUUGGUUUCUUGCUUACCCCAUUUGAUUCCAUGGAGAUCCUUAAUGAUGUUUUUUUAAUCAAUGGAAUUGAAUUUGUUUGUAUAGGGACAUCAGUUUCAAUAACUUCUCUGGACCUCUCCCUCAGGAGCUUGGAUCUUGGGUCAACAUAGAAAGAUUGUAAGAGUCCUUUUCAAAUUUUACCGUGUUAAAAAGUAUUUGGAUUUGGAGUUUUCUUUCUUGUAGACAAAUUCUGGAUGUUUUCACUAGUAAAUCAUCUACUUCUUUAUCAUUGAUAUAAUGGUUAUAUCUAUUUCGUAUUUAGGCUGCUUUCCUCAAACAAUUUUACUGGGGAGUUGCCAGAAACAUUUGCAAAUCUUACCAAAAUAAAGGACUUGUAAGUUUCUGUGGUUCUUUCUUCUUAAAGGUUUCCCGAGCACUUAUACAUUUUUUUUACUGCUUUCUGAUACUAAUUCGUAAUAUUUUCCCUUUUGUCCAAUCAUUAUGCAGUCGGGUUAGUGACAGUCACUUUUUCGGGCAGAUACCUGAUUUUAUUGAGAACUGGACAAAUCUUGAAAAACUGUGAGUGUUUUUCUUUUGUGUGUCAUCUUUCUGCUAUAUGAUUCUGAAUAUUAUCUCUAAUUCAUAUGUUAUGACUCGUUGAAACAGAGUGAUUCAAGCUAGCGGUUUGACAGGGCCAAUUCCUUCUGGCAUUUCUCUUUUGACAAACUUGACUGACUUGUUAGUAUAUCUCGUCUCUAUUUAUAAAUACAAAACGAUUAGCGAAAUGUGUAGUUUAUGUUCAUGGCCCAAUUUUAACGUGCAGGAGAAUCACUGACUUGAGUGGACCUGAAUCACCCAUUCCUUCGCUGGAUAAGAUGAAAAACAUGAAGACACUGUGAGUUAAUGGUUCCAUGACACACAAUUUCUGUCUGUACCAGAAAUCUUCUGUAAACUCAAAGCUUUGGUGUCUGUUGCAGGAUAUUGAGGAAUUGCAACCUUAUUGGAAAGCUACCUCCAUAUCUUGCGCAUAUGACCGAAUUGAAAACUUUGUAAGUACAAAUGUAUUCGUCCCUAUUUUUUUCCGUCUUCAAAUAAAAAAUUUCUUCUAGAUGUGAUUAUACUCUAGGAUUAUUGAAGUGACUUAGACGCUGUUGGGCGGACUUUAUGUUUCUGUAUUUAUUAAGAGAACAUCUCUUGCAGAUGUCAUUUCCCUUUCUGCAGAGAGCACAUCUAAACUGCAUUUGCUAUUUGUUUGUGUAGAGACCUCAGCUUUAACAAGCUGACCGGAGUAAUUCCAAGCAGCUUGGCUAGUCUACCAAAAGUGCAAUAUAUGUAAGCAAUUGGAAUGACCAAUCUAGUCUUCCUUACAUGAAAUUCAAGCAGACAUUCUUCAAUGGUUUUGAUACACCCCAGCCUGACAAGCUGGAAGGAUUUCCAAUCAGGAUUACUAUAAUUAUGAGUCACGGGUUAUACUGCAAUAGAAUUUAGUUUAUUCAUGCAAUUAACUGACACAAGGUGAUCACCCUUAGAUGUGUCUUUCUGAUGGAAGUACUGAUCUAAUGCACUCAGAGUUGGCAAACUCAAAUUUUCAAACCUUUAUAAAGAAAUUCCUAAGAAUAAACACUAUAUUCUUUACUGAGUUUUUCUGUAUUCUUUCUUUUUAGAUUCUUAACUGGAAACUUGCUGACUGGACCUGUACCUAAUUGGCCGAAAUACAAAGUGUAAGCUUCUAUUCCAAAUGCUACUCUUUAGUUACUCAGGAAAUUUAUGCUGUUUUUUUUACUAAGAUAGAUAUAAAACUAUUACAUCAAAAACUUCAUUCGAACCAUGUUAAUGCCUACCUCUUUCUCCUCACCCUUGUUCCCUUUUGUACUGACAAACCACAUCUGGAAAAGAAUUUGUUUAUGCUUCUUUGAUUCUGGUUUAUGAAACCUCAAUGAAUAUGAGGACUGCAGAAGAUGAUUAAUACUGAAAAAGGAGGAUGAAGAAAAUCACACAGAGAAUGUAUGUCCUCGCUGCUCUGCAGAAUGCAGCAGUGGAGAAUCCUUCUUCAUUCAAUAUCUCUCUCUCUCUCUCUAACAUACAAGUCGUGCAAAGAGAAUUUUACCGUUAGCAAAGCACAGCUGGAUCCUUAGACAUCACAAAGUGAUCUCAGCCACACAUCUAACUAUUUUUGCAUUAUUUGCCUUACAUCUUUGAACCUCACACUUGGCAAUAUUACAACUCAAGUGAAUACACAAUUAAGCUCAUAACUUAUUUCACUAAUUCUAAUCAGCUAGAGACUUACAAUUCAACAGAAUUUGCAUCAUAUCUCUUUUUGUGCAGUGAUCUUUCAUAUAACAACCUCACCAUAGAGGAUGCAAGUUGUCCAGCCCUAAGCAACACGUAAGAAUGUCUCCAUUAGCUUGAAGUUAAUCUGUUUGUGUUAUGUGGAGCAAAGCUUAGAUUAACUUUUCAUUUGUGUUAAUUUCUGCAGUAACUUGUUUGCAAGCUCGUCAGAAGGCAAUAGUUCGUAAGUUCAAAUUAACCGUCUCAAAGCAUGCACCUAUAAAUUUACUUUGGUUUCCAACGGUGUAUUCUGUACUAUUUUUUUUUCCCUACUUCUUCCAUUUAUGAUUGCUGACAUUUUCUAUACCCUGAAUUACUCUAUCAGGAGAACUGUUUCAUGUUUCAAAACUUCAGAAUGUCCAAAAUGUAAGCCGGGUUUCUACACAAAUAAUUACCUUUAUUUUUUCGGUUCAUUCUUUUUUAGUUUAGCCGACCCCACUUAGUGGGAAAAGGCUUUGUUGUUGUUGUUGUUGUUGUUGUAUUCUUUUUUAGUUUUCCUCCUCAAUGCCUACUAAUCUCCAUUUUCUUUUUUCAUAGAUUUGUACUACUCGCUCCAUAUAAAUUGUGGUGGGACACAAUUUACUGUCCCUGGAAAGAAAGAUACACUAUAUGAAGCUGACACAUUUCUAGAUGGACCUUCAUCAUUGUACCAGAGCACAACAAAUUGGGCAGUAAGCAGCACCGGUUCCUUCAUUGAUGAUGACCGCCCUAAGGACACCUUUAUAUGGCGUAAUGAAACUACACUCUCUAUGGCCAAUCCUCUACUGUACAUGAACGCACGCCUUUCUCCCAUCUCUCUAACUUAUUUUGGGUUUUGUCUGGGAAAUGGAGACUACACUGUAAAGCUCCAUUUUGCAGAGAUAAUGUUUAGAAAUGGCAAAACAUAUAAAAGCUUGGGAAGGCGCAUAUUCAAUAUUUACAUUCAGGUAAGUAUCGCAUCCACUUCCAUGUAUACCAGUGAAUUAUUCUAAUUUUCAGCUAGCAUUGUUUAUAUUUUGGUCGAUUUGAAUGUUAACUUUCACAUUUAUGUUCAUGAAAUGUUAAGCAACUAAAUUAGUAUAUAUACAUAAAUAUAUUGAAGGGAAUCCUAGUGAAGAAGGACUUCAAUAUCAUGGAUGAAGCUCGUGUGUUUGGUGAUGUAGUCAUAAUGAACUUUACUGCUCCUGUAACUAAUAUACAUUGGAGAUUCGUUUAUAUUGGGCCGGGAAAGGGACGACAGGCAUCCCUGUUAGAGGAGUCUAUGGUCCUCUUAUUUCAGCUAUUUCAGUAGACCCAAGUAAGUUUUCAAUGAUCUGACCUUUGUCUUAUUACUAUGCGUCGACCAUAUGCAUUGAUAUAUCUACUAAAUUAAGAGAUCCGACUUCAGCUCUGCAAGGUUCUUCAAUAUUUCCUUUCCCUUGUAUUUUCACAAAAAUGCUUCUGUGCUUUUCUCCUGUUUUACAUAGUUUGAGCCAAGACUUGAAAUACUCUUUUAAAUUUUCUUAUCACAUAAUAUGCUGAAUUUUCUAGGCGACGGUAUGUGCUUUUAAAUACAACAAAAUUCAACUUGAGGAUUGUUUGUUGAGGAAAAACUUAAGAGUACAGAAUUCUAACACAAGUGUUGGAGACACAAAACAAGUGAACAAAUUACUUGUAUUACACUCACAAAAUAUUGCAACACACAAACUCUCAAAGACACUCUUUAGAGGCAAUGACCUCACUCAUUUUCUAAAGACAAACUCUAGAUCACUCAUACUCCUCACAAGACUACUCUGACUUCUCACUCUCACUUGGUUGCCCGCUUCUUCUUGGUUGGUUGGUUUAUUUCACAACAUCACACACCUAUUUAUAGGCAUGUAUGCCGACUUCACUAGCACUUUCUAGUGCAUGUUCAUGCACACACUGCACCGACAUAUGACUUUUCAUAAUAGCCACAUAUUGUAUAAGCUGCUAGAACUUUCUAGCACAUGAUUAUAUACACACACCCACUGACUUAAUAGGAUAAUGCUAGAAUUAUCUAGCAUAUUGAUACGCCUGCAUGAUGCACCGUCUUUAGUGCUAGAAUUUUCUGGAUUUGUGUAGAAUGGGCUGGGGUUGGACUGUUUUAACAUUUUUAACUAUUUACAUGAAAAUAAUCCAGUUCACUUAAGGGAAACAUAUAAUAUUUACAACCAUCCGAAGAAAGUUUGUUCGAUGGAUUACUUCAUAUACUAUCUACUUAUUUAAGGAUGCCCCAAGGACCGGGUUCAAUCUUCUGUUUCUGUGUGCAUUAGAUAGCUGGUUGAAUAAUCCACUCUCAUAUCAAUUACAUUUACAUUUACUCUAAUUUAAGCUAUAUUCUUUCUUCCGACAGACUUUGAUCCCCCGCCAAAACCUGGUGGAAGUGGCGUGCCUACAGGUGGUGUGGUUGGAAUUGUGGUCGGAGGAGUCUUCAUUAUACUACUGAUAUUUGGUAUUCUUUGUAAGAGAGGUCUCCCAGGACAACAAAAGACAUUGGAGGAUGGUAAUAAUUUGCAGUUUAUUCUGUUAUACUGGUUUUUCUUUUUGUUUCUCCAUUACUUUUUCUUAUUGAACUUUUUUCGUAACUAAGAACAAUAUUUAUGCUAUUUUGCAUGGUUCUCAUGCAUAUUGACGUGCAUACACAAAGACAGUAAUUAUUUAGAUAUUGAGCUUUUUGGCCCUUUGAUGUUGCUAUAAUAUAUUUAUCGUCCAAACUCAUGAUGCGGAUUGCAGAGUGUCUGCCUAUAGAUCCAAUUACUAGUUAAAUUCUAGAAGCACAAAAUAUUAAGAACUAAGAAUACUAUCGUUCUGAAAGUUUUCUUCGACACAAUUUCUUAUGAGUUUUACUUGUGAUACAGAUUUGAAGGGUGUGGGCUUGCAAACCGGUAAAUUUACCUUAAAGCAACUCAAAGAUGCCACAAGCAACUUUAACAAAGCCAAUAAGAUUGGUGAAGGUGGUUUUGGUUCAGUUUAUAAGGUAUUCUUCGGAGCUGAUAUUUAUUUAUUUAUUACAUUUUUUUCUAAUUUGAUAUUGUCUGUUCAAAUGAAAGUUAAUUUGCUUUAUAUAGUGAGGCGAAUUUGACUAUCUUUCUCAAAUGCAGGGCGUUCUAGCAGAUAACACCGUAAUAGCUGUUAAGCAGCUUUCUUCCAAAUCAAAGCAAGGGAAUCGUGAAUUUGUUAAUGAGAUUGGCAUGAUUUCUGCUCUGCAACACCCUCAUCUUGUCAAGCUCCACGGAUGUUGUGUUGAAGGAAAUCAACUAUUGCUUGUCUAUGAGUACCUGGAAAAUAAUAGCGUCGCUCAUGCUUUGUUUAGUAAAUAUCAAUCUCGCUUGCCAAAAGUUCAUUUCAUUCAUACAAUGGGCAUAAAAGAUCUUAUGCACUAAAAAUGUCCUUUACAACUAACUUUGUUUAAUUUGGCAAAUUGAAGGGGCAAAAGAAAGUCAUUUGCAGUUGGAUUGGCCAACAAGGCACAAGAUUUGUAUUGGUACAGCAAGAGGUUUGGCUUAUCUUCAUGAAGAAUCAAGAUUGAAGGUCGUUCAUAGAGACAUCAAGGCUACUAAUGUUCUGCUUGAUAAAAAUCUUAAACCGAAAAUAUCUGACUUUGGAUUGGCCAAGCUUAAUGAAGAGGAUAAUACACACAUUAGCACCCGUAUUGCUGGAACUUAGUCAGUCCCUACACUUUUAUUUAUCUUCUUAUUCUCUUGUUUUGAUCUUCUUCAACCCUUAAAAAAGAAGAUAGAGCAACGGAAAGUCUCUAACUUACAUAAUUUCCAACCUAACCAAAUCCUUGUUCAAGAAAUUUCAAGGGCAGAUUUGUUCUUUCAAUAUAGUUGGGUUAAUGAUUUGAUUUCAUGAUAUUGCAGUGGAUACAUGGCGCCCGAAUAUGCAAUGCGGGGUUAUCUGACUGAUAAAGCAGAUGUCUAUAGUUUUGGUAUUCUUGUAUUGGAAAUUGUUAGCGGGAGAAACAACACAACUUACCGGAAAAAGGAAGAAAGCUUUUAUCUUCUUGAUUGGGUAGCAUGAAUCUACUACUUCCUAAUUUCACUUCAAAUUUUCUUAAUAUGCCUUAUACGUAUGAAAGUACAUUUGAAUCGAUGAAGUUUAAUCCAAAGACAGAAUUCAUAUUGCCUUUGAUGCUUCCAUUUUUUGUAGGCACGACUUCUAAAAGAUCAGGGGGAUUUGAUGGACCUAGUUGAUCCAAGGUUGGGAUCAGACUUUAAUAAAGAGGAGAUGAUUGUUGCAAUCAAUGUGGCUCUCCUUUGUUGCAAUGUUACUUCGACAGCUAGGCCUACCAUGUCUUCGGUUGUGAGCAUGCUUGAAGGAAAGGUUGUUGUUCAUGAGUUGGUCUCGGAUCCAAAUGCCAAGAGUAUUGAGAUUGAUGCAAUGAGGAAACAUUUUCAAUCUAGUUUUGGAAGGGGCACGGGAGAGAAACAUAUAGAAAUGGAGUCAACUGAAGGGCCAUGGACUGCUUCGUCUGCGUCUGCUCACGAUCUGUAUCCCGUCCAUCCUGAUUCAGAUUACUGGAAGAACAGAAGCGAUAUAACUUGAGCUGCACAGUUAUCAGUUUGACUCAACCUUGGCACACUCAAACACAUCAAAUAAUAAAUCAUUUGUAUUUCCUCUAUAACUAUUUGUUGACGUGAGUCAACCAUAUAGUUUAGGAAUGUGAUCAUGUGAUUGAUUCCUUGUAUAAUUCGGAUUCUUAUUUCCUAUUUUAUGGGACCUCUUGAACAACUAUUUAUUUACCUCCUAGAGAGAAGGAUACGUACAAUUACACCUUAACUUUUAUGUCGGUAUCAGAGGAUGCUUCGGCCCGUCUCUUUCCAAAAACCCUUAAAAACCCCCUCAAGGCAUGCAACUUGCAUCAAGAAUUAUUGCUGGUGUUUGUCACGAACCGAGAAAUCCAACGUCUGUGGCUUUGGAAUAAACAAAGCUACAAAGUCAAAAAAACAUAUCAAAAUAAACCUACAAAUCAGUCCCUGCAAUGACUGAAGACAGAAAAACAAAAACCGGUGAGAUAAUUCCCAUGCAAACUAUGUCUAUUCAAAGUGAGUCUACCAAAAUCAGCGGCCUUCCAUUCAGAUUUAGAUUGAGCGACUCGAAUUUCAAAGUUUAGUCGAAGAUGAUGGAGGUCCAUGCCUCUGGCCUUGGCAAACUGGGGUAUUUGACAGGAAAAACCCCUGUUGUUGCUGAAGACUCGCCUGGAUAUACAAAGUGGGUCAAUGAUCACUGCUAUAGUACGAGGAUGGUUGUUGAAAACCAUGAAGCCCCACCUAUCGAGUCUCUUUAUUGACUUGCCGACAGCCAAAGAUGUGUGGGAAAGUGUAACCCAGAUGUUUUACGACAAUUCAGACGAGUUCCAAUAUUGUGAACUCAGGUGUAGGGCUACGCGAACUAAACAAGACGGUCGUCCAGUAAAUUUGUACUUCACUGAACUCAAAGGAGUAUCGCAAGAUCUUGAUAAAAGGCGCCCUAUCAAGAUGAUAUGCAAAGCAGACCUGCAAAGCCGUAGGGAGGAGCUUUCAAAGGACAGGGUUUACGACUUUGUUGCGGGGUUAGAUCAUGGUUUUGAUCAAGUCAGGAGUGAAAUCCUAAGGAUGAAACCUAUCCCUGGGAUUGAAGAAUGUUUUUAUUUGGUUAGACGUGAAGGCCAGAGACAAACCCCUAUGCUUGAAACAAAAUCUAAAACCACAAGCUCUUCUAUGGUGAUGAUCACCAAGUCCCCAUCAUCAUCAUCCUUUCGUUUAACAUCCGCGGGAACAUCUAGCCCAAAUCGCACCCAAGAAGAUAUUUGACACGCCCCGAUCCCGAUAUUCCUCGAAUACCAAGAUAGGCACGUGCUGGCCGACACCCAAGGGUGACGAAAGCCAUUAAUUGAAUGCAAAUGCUGAGAAUAAGGAAUAGAUAAGGUUUAUAAAUAUAAAAGAAUAAAGAAUAUGCAUUUAAGGAACGUGUUCAGAGCACACAUCUAAUCGAGAAUAUUAGAAGAAUUAACAUAAACAAUUUGAAUGAACACAGAACGGGGUCCUACACCUAGAGGACUCGAAGAUACCGAUGCGGAAGUGUCUGGAUGCCGGGAUUGUACGCCUCGAUUCUAAGUCCUGAAGGGGGCGCAAAACAAACAUGAGUGGACCAAGUUGAUAUAUAUAUAAUAAAACAGUUAUCAACGUACUAACCCCCAGGUUUAUGAAAACAUAUAUAUAAUGAUAAACAUAGGUUUUCCGAAUUCUAGCAUGAUGUGCAGUAUCUCAAAUCAUAAUUCAUAUAUAAUAAUCACUAGUGAAUUGUCCGAUAACCCCCAGGCCCCAUGCCGGCUCCCCGUCUCUGAGCAGACAGUCAGAGGAAAAUACACUUCAGGCCCUAUGCCGGCUCCCCGUCCCUAUGCUAAAUAGCCAGAGGAAACACACUCCAAGCCCUAUGCCAACACCAAACCGUCGCCCGGGACGGACCGGAAUCUAUCCCUACGUCCCAUAGCAGAAAGGACCACUAGGUAAGUACAAAACCAUUGAACAUAUAUAUAUAUUAAAAAACAACUUCAUAGUAUAAAGUCAUCCAUCAUCUAUACUAUAAAGAGGUGUUCGAAACAUGUUCUACAUAUCAUAUCGUCAUCCAUCGGAUAUUCUAUAAGAACAUGGGUUAUAGGAAAAAUAGUAAUAAUUCAAACUAGCCUUAGUAAGCAUGUUAUCUCAAAACGUUUCAUAAAACGUAAUCAUUAAAUCAUGUCUUUCAUGUAUGCAUUUCUACUAUUAAAACAUGCUUUUGAAGGGGUCCACUCACAGUACUUAGCCGCCGAAGAGUCACGCAAACUAACGAACAAGAAAACGUCACCAAUAAUUGCCCCUAAGCACAUAAAGGGUCCAAUUAAUAAAACUCUAUUUUAACAAUUGAAUUGGGAAAACGGACUUCAAAAACGGGUCCAGGACGUCGAAAUUAGCCUAGGAGAGAUCCUGGACGAAAGCCAGAAUGGGCUUGGGGUUUGGGUUUUAAUUAAGCUAAAGGGACUUGGGAAAAGGGCUGAAAGCCCACUUUACAAUUGGCCCUAAGGCCUUACUUCCUAAAACAGAAAAUAAAUAAAAACCUUAAAAAGGUUUCUUGGGUUUGACUAAUGGGCUACGGGCCCUAAAUUCCUAAUGGCCCGAAGGCCUUUAAGGGUCCUAAAACAAUUACAAUUAAAUAAAAUAAUUAAAAGUAAAAUAGGCUAGGGUUUUGGGCUUGGCUCCCCAAACCACACGGGCCUAAGGCCCGCUUAGCAUGGAACCGGCCUGGGAGGCCUGUCUCGCCGGAGCACCACCACCGGAGCUUCACAGCUCCGGCCGACUUCCACACACAACCCUAGACUUCGAUCUAGGUACCAAAACGAAGAGCAAGACGAGGGGAGUAUUUCUAUACCUUCCUUUCGUCGUGGAAUGGACGGAGAUGGCCGGAAAAACCCCCGAGGUCGCCGGAGUUGGGUGUGCUUACACCCGGCUUCGAUUUCGUCCUAUAACCUCCAAAAAUCACGAAUUAACUCCAAUUAAACCUCAAUCUCGCAAGAAUCAAGGACGAAAAGAGAGAAUUAGGGGCUUACCUAACCGGAGAUUGAAAAAUCUCGCCGGAGCUCCUUUUCCGGUUCUCUGGGGUCGCGGGAACGAGAGGGAGAGAGAGAGAGAGCAGGACGCGGUGAUGAAGGGUGAUGGGCUUCCUCGCGCGGGGAGAUGGGUGCGUGCAUGUGUGCGCGGUGCAGAGAAGAGGGAGAGAAGUGAGAGAUGAGAGAGAGCCGAGAGGGAGAGACAGGAAGAAAGAAAAGAAAAACAGAAAAGAAGAAGGAGAAAUUGUUUGGGGUGCUGCCAAGUGGCAGAUUUAGAAAGAAAGGGAUCCAUUUUCAGAUUGGGUAGAUAAAAUGGGACAAAAUUGAUAUAAUUAAAAUGUUUUGGGGUAAUUACAUACAUAUAUUUUUAUAAUUAGAGGGCGGGUGUUACAAUAUUGACAAAGAUAAGCUUCACUGCAACCACUGCAAUGGAACAAGGCACACCGAAGAAACUUGUUUUGAAAUACACACAUACCCAGAAUGGUACUGGGAAAAAAUGAAGCAAUUGAAGGCCAAAAGGAGGAAGUCGGGCCAGGCUGAACUGGUCGAGAGACAGGACCUGGAUCCAACGGGAUUAAAGGCCGAAAUGAAGCAAUUAAUGAGCAAAUGAAUAUCUAAACUGGCCUUAACAAUUUUCAGCAAUAAAAAACAUGUCCCUUUAUCGAAGUUGCAUAAAUUACAGAACCUUGGGAUUAAGGAGGAAUAAAAAGCCCAAAUUCCAAUCAAGAAAAAAAAAAUUGUAUGUAAAUUUAAGCUUUACCUGUAGAUUGGCAGCAGCAAAAGCAUACUGGAUCCAACGGGAGCGAGAACUGGAUGCCCAGCCCUUGACACGUUAUCGAGUGAGUUUAGGGAUCUGGGUUUUGUGUUUGCCGUUGAAUUUUGGAAUGAUCUGGAGAAAUUUGGGUUUUAGGGUUCUAAGGAUUUGAGUGAACCGAAACUGAUUUGGAUGAGCAACUUUUGGUUUCGAUUCGCGGUGGAGCAAGGAUGAAGAGGUGGAGGAGGUAGGAACGAAAGGGUGAGAAAAUUUGGAUAGGCGGGAUUCGGUUUCGUUUCGAAUCAGGACAAGACCACCGAGAAACCUCAUUAGCACUCCACGUGUGCAAAAGGGUUUUUCGUCUUUUUACUGUACCAACUUGAAAUACACAAAGGCAAAUUGAAGAUGGGUAUUUUCGUCUUUACACCGUCGCUUAUGAACAAUGUUUUUUCCAUGGCGCUUUAGUAUAUAUAACUAGCAAAGAAUGUUCAAGAGCAAUGCUGCGGGAUUGAAAAUCAUACAAAAACUUUGUAUCUAGUACUAUUUAUAUACAAAGGAUAAUACUUUAUGUGUAUUACAUACUAUUUACAUACAAAAGAUUUGAUAGUCCUAUUAAAAAUCACACAAAAUCUACAAUCUGACUGAGUUACAUACUAUUUCCAUACAAAAUCUACAAUCUGAUUGAAAUACAUACACUUAAUAUGUGCGUACCCCUCUUGACCUUGAACUCCCCCUACAUAGUUUACAAAAUUUACAGAUUAAAUUAAAUAUAAAAUCCAACUUAUUAAUUAAUUAUCAAAAUCGGAAAAAAAAAAUUAAAAGGGUCAAAAGAGAGAAUAGGAGAGGAGUCAAAUACUAAAAAAUAAAAAGAAAAAAACGAAAAUAAAAUCAAUAAUAAGAUUACAUAAGCACAUUCAAUUUGAUGAUUUGGAAAUUAAAGCAAAGGCCUUUGACCUUCUACGUAGGCCUGGUGUAGACAUUGAAAUUUCGGUGGCAUAAAUGUUAGCCAUUGCAGUAAGAUUACAUUUGUAAACAUUGAAAUUUUGGUGAAAUAAAUGUUGACCAUUGUAUUAAAAUUACAACCUUCAUUCACUUCACCUACAUCAUACACUAAGUUCACCUACAACAUCCACCAAGUUUCACCUACAAACAUCCACCAAGUUUCACCUACAACAUCCACCAAAAUUCACCUACAACAUCCACCAAAACAAAUGGAUGGUGGUGAUUCGUUCCCAAAGCCUAUAAAUAGGCUCAUCCAUCAAAGAAUCAAUAAACCAAUUCACAAAUACAUUUCUCUACUCCCAAAAUGGAAGAGAAUACUCCCCACACAUCCAAAAUCCUUGAAGCUUUGAAACUCUAAAGCUUUCAAGCAUCCAACCUCCCAAAUUCAAGCAAAUCCCGAAGGAUCAAGAAAGCCCUCUUCGUUCUUCGUCAAAUCCUCCUUCAAGAUCAAGCCCUAACGGCCCUUGAAGAAAUUUCUCCUUCAAGAUCAAGCCCCAACGGCCCUUGAAGAACUUCCACCAAUUCAAGAUCAAGUCUCGACGGCCCUUGAAGAAAGUGUUCAACAAAUCCACACAACUGUUCAUCCUAAGAUCAAGCCCCGACGCCCCUUUUUGGAUCAACAACAUCACCAAAUCCACAUAAAAUGUUCAUCCUAAGAUCAAGCCCCAACGGCCAUUUGGAUCAACAACAUCAACAAAUCCACACAACUGUUCAUCCUAAGAUCAAGCCCCAACGGCCCUUUGGAUCAACAACAUCAAUAAAUCCACACAACUGUUCAUCCCAAGAUCAAGCCCCGACGGCCCUUGGAUCAACAAUCAUCCAUCUUCAAGAUCAAGCCCCGACGGCCCUUGGAUCAACCAUCCACCAAUUCAAAAUCAAGCCCCGACGGCCCUUGAAGAAAGCACCAUCGUUCAUCAUCCGUUCAUCCAAGAUCAAGCCCCGACGGCCCUUGGAUCAACAACAUCAACAAAUCCACACAUCCAACCGUUCUUCAAGAUCAAGCCCAAAAGCCCUUGAAGAUCCGUUCAUCACCGUUAUUCAAGAUCAAACCUUAACGGCCCUUGAAGAAACACUCAUCCUCAAGAUCAAGCCCCAAUGGCUCUUUGAAGAUCCGCUCAAAUCCACCUUCAAAGAUCAAGCCCACGGCCCCUUGAAGAAACUUCCAACAGUUCAUCCAAGAUCAAGCCUCGACGGCCCUUGGAUCAACGAAACAUCCAUAAAUCAACACCUUACGGAGAUCGAAUCAGAAGAUCAAAAUUGAGAGAGAUUGUAACCCAAAUCAAAAUCACAAAAUAUUAUUUUGUGCACGUUGUUCUUGUCUUUUUCGUUUCAGGAAUUUUCCGUGUUCACAAAUUGGCACGCCCGGUGGGAUAAUCUCUACCUCUCAUCUCUUUCUCCGUUCAAGGAAUCCAAAUCCACCUUCAAAGAUCAAGCCCACGGCCCCUUGAAGAAACUUCCAACAGUUCAUCCAAGAUCAAGCCUCGACGGCCCUUGGAUCAACGAAACAUCCAUAAAUCAACACCUUACGGAGAUCGAAUCAGAGGAUCAAAAUUGAGAGAGAUUGUAACCCAAAUCAAAAUCACAAAAUAUUAUUUUGUGCACGUUGUUCUUGUCUUUUUCGUUUCAGGAAUUUUCCGUGUUCACAAAUUGGCACGCCCGGUGGGAUAAUCUCUACCUCUCAUCUCUUUCUCCGUUCAAGGAAUCCAAACACACCUCAAAGUCAAUAGCAUCAAGCAAGGGACAAGCCGUUCUCGCAAUCACUGAGGGAAUGAUCCUAAGCACUUCUGCCGCAAAUGGACAAUCCAUUAGCGCCACAACCGCUCCUCAACAUGCCACUUCAAAGUUGGUGCCGCUAAAAGAGCAAAUGGAGCAUCAAAGGUGUGAGUCUGUCAUCAACCUGACCUCGCUGGGGGCACCGAAGCAUGCUGCUGAGGCACACAAGAUGACAUCCCAAAACAACCAACGACGUUCUUCGUCAGCAUCUUGGAUGUCUAAAGGAAAGUCACGUCUAGUGGUUGCACAAGUCAUGACCAUCAGCGUUACCUCCAUCGAAGAACAACUGGCUCAAAUGAAUGAAGCAAUCGCAAGGCUAACCCGAACUGUGGAAGAAACAGACUUGCAAAUCGCUGCACUCGUCAGUCGACUGGAGCCACAGGACGGCGAGAACCCUAACCCAGAAGAUGAGUCUACGGUAGAGAGAAUCGAUGUGAAGCUGGAGCCAGACCAAGAAGCGGCACUCAUGGGAUCUCUUUCUAUCCAGCAGUUGCAAGAGAUGAUUGCCAGCACCGUCAAGGCACAGUUCGAAGGGAGCUCAAAUACCUCUAGGUUGUACUAAAAGCCUUAUUCAAAGAAGAUUGAUGCCCUAAAGAUGCCGAGGGGAUAUCAACCACCAAAGUUCAUGCAGUUUGAUGGAAAAGGAAACCCAAAGCAGCACGUUGCACAUUUCGUCGAAACUUGCAACAAUGCGGGGACGGAGGGAGACUACCUUGCCAAGCAGUUUGUGCGCUCGCUAAAAUGAAAAGCCUUUGAAUGGUACACGGACCUAGAGCCUGAGUCCAUCAACAGCUGGGAACAGUUGGAAAGGGAAUUCCUCAACCGCUUCUACAGCACCCGCCGCACUGUGAGCAUGCUAGAGCUAACGAGCACAAAGCAGUGGAAGGACGAGCCAGUCUAUUUACUACUCCAGCAUAUCAUUCAUGGAAGAUAUGGCGGACACUCUUCAAGCCUUCCUGUUAUCCUCGUGUUAUAAAGAACAGUAGCUCAUCGGGUACAGCUACUUCAAUCGUGAGGCAUGAUGCAUCUCCAAGGUCAGAUUCUCAAUUAUUAAGUUGUUUAUAUUGAUAAUUGAUUUUUUGUGUAGCCGGUGGCCGAUAUUCGACUUUAAUUACAUAUCGAUUCAAUGGCAUUCAUAGAACCCGAUCUAAUAUGUGCGGACCGAAUACUUGCCUUACCCCGCCACAAAGCUGCCGCUCUAUUCCCGAACGAUUAUGGAAAGUUGUGUGAGCAUCGCCCAUAAUUGGGUAAGAAAAUGUACACCUGCAAGUCGCAACCGUGCAGAACGUACAUGAUACAGUACGAUUAUACGACAAAGAGAGUGCUUCGAGAACACAAAAGGUUGAGUGUGUGCGAAGGAAAGUGUCCUCCGUGGAUAUACCAUACUCUCAACGAUUUAUCAGAGACUACAUGACCAGUCAACACAUUUCUGUACCUCGUUCAAAUGAUGACAAGACUCUGCGUACUACUAGCAUCUGAACUAACUUGUUAUGUUAUUAUAUGAUUUGAAGUUUUCUUAGCCGUGUCUUAGGCAUGGAAAGAUCGCAUGUUCUUGGUUUCCUGCUCUCAAAUGCUGAGAUACUCAUGAGAAGCUUCCAUACUUUCUCAAGGUGUUUGUGAGAGAAGGUGUUGUUAUGCCGUGGACCUACUUAUUUACCUGGUACUCCAAAUUCAGUUUUCGCGCUACCAGAAUCUUCUGCUGAAAAGGAGUCGUGAUAUCCUGUUCUCUGAACAUAUCACGUUUUCCUAGAGCGUUAUGUGACGAAGCAAACGAGCAUACUUGCAAAUCCAAGAAUGGGGAAUUCCAUUUGGUUAUCAGAAACUAAGAUGUUCCGCCUUAUCAAUCAGACAGAAAGUAAUGGUUCAUCCUCCAAGCUUCAGUGGAGAUUCCCCCGCCCAUACUGUUAACUCUCAAGCCCUGCGACAAUGGACUGUCAGCGGCAUGUGCUUUAAGCCUUUUAAGACAAUACUUUCCCGUAUUCAGAAGUCCGGGCUGUUGAGUUGGGAGUUUACAGAUGAUCUAUUUACAUUUUGAAAGAGUCUAUUGCAUGAAUGCGAUAUUGCAGGUGUUGAGUGAGAGCCAAAAAACGAAGCAAAGCGGAAGGAUCGAAAGCUUUUGGGGAUCUCGCUUGAGUAUAAGACUAGUUCUUGCAAGUUAAGCCGAGAGAGUAUUCACUGAUUGGUGUCCGGUGUACGUGAGAUUGCUAGCCGAACUAACGCAAGGGUAUGGUGUAUCCACUUUGAGUUCAUUGGUAGAUAGGUGUGGUUUGUUUGCUGCAUUGCUUCAACUAUUUUUUUCUUAUGGGUACUUCUCCAAGGAGAGGAUUUCGUGAAGCCUAAUGCUUCUGCGCCAAGGCUUCAUGAGCAAGCCUGCGAAGAAGAUUUCAAAUCAUUUGUUGCUGUUCUUUUCCUUUCAUUAUUUAAUGAAGGAAUGUAGCAUCCAUAUGGGGGACUGUCCUACAGUAUCAGAAGCUGCCAAAUGCCUUGUCCUCCUCCUAGUAGGCCCGUUCCGGUUUGUAGCAUAGUCAUUCAAUCAGGUCAUCCACUGGUUGAGGGCACGCCUCUCACUCUGGACUUAGCUGAUUAUCCUCAGCCCUUUAACAAGUGUUGCAGUUCUUUGUCGAGCACGAAGCCGAGAAAAGAAUCCGAGACUAUUCUCGAACGUUUGUUUCUGAUCUUGAUCCAUUAGGCAAGUUUAGCUGCUGUAGAAGAGUUUCUUUGGGCUCUCGGGAUCACCAGCCGCGAGGGGAAUCUGGUUCAGAGCCUGCCUGCCCUCUGCUGGAAUAACUCGGGGAAUCUGGAACUCACACCGCACAGGUGCUCGUGCUUCAUCUCUGGUCUACUUCAAAUCUGCUUCACCACUCGUUCGCCAUUCAACCGAUCCAGAAACAUCUGUGAAUAUAGGAGAUACAGCUAGGAGGGAACCACACAAAGGAGUAGCAAGAGCACAAGACUCAUCAAAGGAAGGGUAAGCUGUUUGAAGCCUUCUCAGGAUGAAGCAAGAGGACCUCAAACAGAAAUGCAGCUACGUAGACGGGCACUCUUUUGAUAAAAGAUGUUCAAACUGAAGCCACAAAUGGGGACACUACUCUGAGGUUGUUACUGAUACCAAAGUGACAUGUAAUUAUUAUUAUUAUUAUUAAUUUGUGAAUAUGCGUGUUUGGGUUAUUUUGUUCAUGCUAACAAAGACACUUCUAGUAGUACUUUUUCACUAAGCAAUCUUCUUUCUUGCAUAUCUGUAUGGGUUUUGAUAUGGCAUUGGGGUUCCCGAUAGGAUUCAGUUUACAUUCCCCAAGCUUAUUGUGUUGAUUAUCAAUUAAAAGAUUAAUUCUAACGCGACAGAGAAUCAUGGUUCAUUGUUUCUGAUGGGCUACUUUAUCGACAAGGGUUUAUUGGGUAUUUGGUGAACCAAACCUUGCUAAGGGCAACUUUAAGCGAGAUGGGUAUGUGGGGUAAGCAAGUGGACAUUAACUUUGGUGUCCCUAUAAUGAGUUAGUCCUCCACGCGUUUGCGCUCUUACAGCACUUUAUCUUUUUAAAUUUCUUUAUAUUGGUAAAGUUGGUUGGCAAUUCACUUCUUAGAUAUCUCAUCUCGGUAUGAGGUUUGUUUAAUACCACUAACAACCUCCUCCUUCUAGUGAGACGUAUUUUCUUUUUUCGAAAUUUUUUUUGGUUGAGUAAUCGCUGCCAUAGUCAUCCAAUCUGCCUUUCCAAUACAAUUUCUGUUGAACAGUCAUUGAUGUUGUCUUCUGUAGGAUGAGGAAUCUGAUAAUAUCGCCUGUGAGAUGGGAUGAAUUGUUUAGAAGAUGAUGAAAUAUCUCAGAUGACGAAGAUGUGACCUAUUAUGUAUGUUAUUGGAGUCUUUAAUUUUUAUGUCCUGAACAGGAGUAUUGGAUACUUUGAGUUUUUAUUGUUGCUAUUAUUGGGUACUUUUGGCAGGUUCUAAGAGAUGAUCUCUGGUCCCGCUUUGCAUGCCGGGAUAAAGUUACAACCUGCAUGUCAUAAAUUGGGAGAACUCAACUAAUGAGGAUGCUACAUUCUAAGCUUUCCAGCCAGCAACGUGAACAAUCUACUAACCCCAGCUUGUCUUCAGUAGCCAUCAGUCACUCCGACAAAAGGCUUGUGCUGUGAAAAUCUCAUCAUAGAAGCGCUCAUAAAGCAAUCCAGACGCAUGCUACAGUCGUAAGAGGCUGCCAGAUCUGCUGAGCGAUAGGCUAAUAGUAUUCUGCUUAAUUAGGUUCAAUAUAGACUUGCAUGUGAAUUUUGCUCUUGCCCCAUGGCUGGGCUUGGAUCUGCAGCAGGGGCAUUAGGGGAGGCAGAGAUAGAUCAAGGACGUCCUAUUUUUGUCAUUCUAGUGAUCCUCCUAAGUUGAUUUUUACUUUCUGGAGGGGACAGCUUAAUAGGCUCUGACAUCAUAUCGGCUAUUCAGAGGACAGCUUGUGCAGAUAGGUAGAUGAUGAAAGUAUGCUGGAGUGAUUUUGUAUCAGUAAGGUUGCAGGCUAUGGAGUGAUAUUUACACUAUCACUACCAGGGCCAGAACAUUCCAAAACUGCAGGCAUUCGUUUGUUGAGAAGGGCAUAACCAAGUAUCCAUACCCCAACACCUGCAUCACAUGAUCUGGACAGCUCAAAUUUCUGCGACUUAACAAAUAUUUCUUGCACCUUCACACUUGCAUUCGCAGAUUCCAUUCGAAUUCAAUUGCAUCGAAUGUCACUUGUCUAUGCGCUCCGUAGUAUAUAUAGAAUGCCAGGAGUCGAGAAGGCUUUUUGACAGCUUGGUGAUGGACUCAAUGUCUUAAGCAUAAACACAUACAAUAAUAUGCUACCACAUAGGCAUCUUACGUUCUCCCCCACAUAAUAGAUGCAAUCGGACUGGAGGCGGCUGAGCGCCAUAAACCUGCGUAGGUCAUCUUAGAGGGCUUGGAACUUUAGCACUACCUUCCAAUCCUCGCCUGAAGCUCAGAAUGCAACAGUUUCCGACAUUUUUGCGGAGGUAAAGUUUUGGAAUUGAUGACUUGAGUACAACUUGGUGCUAGAGUUUUUCCUUGAGGAAUUUAUGUAACGAACGCUAAAUCUACGUCGCAAAAUUGAGAUGAUCGCCGGCCAAAAAUUCAUAGCGACACAAUGCCCUUGUCAGUAGUCGUCCAGCCAGUGGGCGCGCGAAGUCUUCACUUCUUGAUCUUUGUGGUUACCAUGUCUUUACACCAUCACAUGAGAUCCUUAUCUUUCAUAUGUUCACCCUUUUGAGACUCGGAACAACGUAUGUCUCAUGAGUUCUCCCAUGCGCAUAUUAAGAGUAUGUCCCUCAGCCGGAACCGUCCCUGUACCUCUCCCUAUAUAUAUUCCGAGCACCAGCAGUGCUGACUGGUCCAUGCACAUUAACAAAAUUUCACAAAUUCUCCUCCCCGCAAUGAACCAGAAUGAGUCUAAACUGGGUGAGCAUAGGCACAAGAAGAAGUCUCACCUUGGGGCUAGCAAAGUCGACGAGUCUAUUUUACACACGAAACCGGAUUUUGGAUUCUGCCUGCCCAAGACAGUUAACUGAGCCAGAGAUGAUUGCAUUCCCCAUCUCCAGAAAAUCUCUGUCGCUGAAGUAAGCAGAUGAAUCUCUUUAUGAACUGGCGUGGGCCACUGAGCCUGAUGGGUCCAACUGCUCUUUAGGCUUUCAGUCAAUCCAGAGCCUAAACAACCUAUAAUGAACCACAAGCUCACUGGUGCGCAGCCCUACCAAGAGUAAACUAGUUGGCAAUUGCGAUAAGAACUGUGCAUAAUUCUUCAAAUGUACGCACAAAAUCAAUCGAAGUGCAAAUGAGGAAUGUUACUGUUAAAACUCUCAUUCAAGAUGGCUCACUCAAAUAUGCAAAUUACGGUCGACAAUAUGCCCUCAAAUGCUGAUCCCUCUUGUGUGUUGUCCCUUCUCCUGGAAUCCGAAAGCCGUUAGUUCGUAGCUCCUGUUAAUUGCCAGUUUUUCCAUACAGAAACAUUCAAGAAGUUCGAAGGUUCAAAGUCAAUAUACACUAAAUUAAGAAUUAGAGAAAAAAUAUAAAGUUUUAUUAGAAUGGAAAGUGCAAUUUCUAGUGUACAAAAAUUAGUAAUAAAUAAUGCACGUGAAAUAGUCACUAUUCGUAAGUUUACAUAUAGAAAAACAGACUAAAUGAAGAACAACCCUACAAUAACCAACCAGAAUUUGUUUAAAGUUUUGCUGGUCAGGCCCAGAUAGAAUAAGUUAAGAGAGAAAUAUAAAGUAGACGCUUUCUUAUUUUAUUUUUUUCUCAUGAUAAUCAAUUUACACCUAAUAAAUUUUAUUAAUGAUAAGUAGAUAUCUUAUAAGAAUAUAAAAUAAAUUUUCAUAUAUCAAAUAUUAACAAUUUUGAGAGGGAUGCUUAAAAAAGAAUUAAACCCAAUUUUCCAUCUCCUGAUCUAUCUUCCCUCCUUCAGGAAUGCGCUUCGACUUAACCACUCAUAUCCCUUGGCUAUCCGUGUCUCUCACAAAUGCAUAGUUGAAGACUUGAGCAAGAGUGAACAUCGUUAUAUAUGAAGCAUACACACUAACUCAGACAGAACUUCCUUCAGUGCUAGACGUGAGAAAUGAAACCCUCAUAUAAUAGUUAGAAUCCAAAAUUAUUACAUUAGGAGCUUUUCAAUUGACGCAGUACGAGCCUAGACGAUGCGGCCAUAUUGGUGCUGAACAAACCUCUGAAAUCAAUGCCCUUGAUUUUGAAGCCCGAAGCUCAAAACUUGGCGGAGUAGCGCAUCAGAUUCCUGCAAUUUCUGAGUGUUAAUACCUCUCGCGUUCUGUCUAUGAGAUUUGUUUAUCCCAACUUAGAUCACCUUGGCGAGCUUUAAUCUGCAGACUAUUAUUGAGUCUUUCCUGCGUUCGACCUCCUCGAAACCUAACUCGCUGGUGUGAAAUACUGCAAUGAUAUUCUUCAAACUGCGAUGCAGCCGCUGAAAUUGAUUCAAAACUUUUGGUACUUAGUUCUUCGGUGCAUUAAUAAUUUGGCUGUAGGGCUUUCAUUAUUUUAGGACUUUCUAUUCCUGCAUCAACGUACUAUCUUGGAGCUCAAUGGGAUGAAUCUCUCGAUAAUAUGGUCGCCUAUCUCUAGAUCCGGACUAUUGGUGUAAAAUACUGAUUUAAUCUCGGGUAAUUUCUAUAGGUUAGUUAGACACAAAUGGUCAAUUACACGUUGGCCAGGACCACGCGCUAGUACAAGCAUACAUUUCAUAAAUUCUCUAAGCCAUGCGUCGAUAGAGUCACCCCAGCACAGUGCAAGUAUCUUAAGGAUAUGAAUACUAAGUAGGCAAUAUGAAAGUGUGAAGCAAUGUGUGGGCCCAUAUGGUUAAUCUGAGAAUAGACAGACUCACCUCAGGUUCACCGAGUUUUCUAAAUCAAAAAUCGGGGUCGGUCGGUAUGUUGUCUUCUAGUAUACUAUUUUCUAAAGCGUUUGUUGAAAUAAAGACACUGACCGGUGAUAUAGCAGGAGCAAUUCAAGAUCUAAUGAAGUGCAGGAAUGAAAUUUUUAACAGAGGCUGACAACUCAGAGAGUGUGAGUCUUUCUUGUAUACAACGAAUACUGAGCGAUUCGACCUUUCUAUAUAAAUGUAUCAAGCCAUUCACGACGGGUGACUCAAAAAGAUGUCGUAAGACCGUCUGGAGCUCCGAGAAUUCGGAUGAUGAGGACAUAUUUCAAAUAAUACUCAAGAGGGCUAAGUCAGGAGAACACUUGAAAAGAAAGUUAUUCUGCACUUUUCCAUGCUAUAUCUGUGCCAACUGCAAGUUUAAACAUUCCCGCUUACAAUACGCGCCCAAAUCAGCUCUGAUGGAAAAAGUUACUUUGCGGGGCACGAAUGUUUGUAAAGAGCUCGCAUGGAAAUUCGCGCAGUGAGUUUAUCGAAGAAGCGAGCGUGUACUUAUUCAUCGCUACGUUCAGCACCUGGUCCAUCUCUGGGCGAAAACUCAUCUUACGGGUAUUUAAUCGAAAGUGAGGCAAUUUAUCAGAGGCGUUUAUGAAGCCUGUCUGUCACAAGCCCAAGUAAGUAAAUCUCAAGAACACGCACCUGGUCGUGCUCAGUCUUUGCAGGUACUGGCGUUCGCUGAGACACACGUGUCCUAACUACACUUUGCUUCAGCUCUUUUAGAUUACAUAUUUGGAGCUAAAAUUGCGUACUUCACUACGGACAGAGAGUUUGUCGGAGGAUUUUUCUGGAUAUGUAAAUAUAAUGAAGUAUAUAUUGAGUCUAAGCUUCCUACGCUCAUCUAUUGGCUGUUUACCGACAAACCGCGUGUGAAAGUAGAUAUAGUUCAGGUUUACCCAAUACCUGAUGUAUUAAAGUAAUGUUUUAUCUCUUUCUCUGUGUUACGUAAGCCUGUUGUCCAACCUCUCUACCCCUCCGUCCAAUAUGCAAUGUCUGAACAUACUAUUACUGCUUAAUCUUCAUAUCUACUCGAGAAUGACGCGCUUUUCUCUCUCCCUCAAAGACGUAUAAAGAACCUUCGUCGGAGUGAUGAUCAGUUCAGUCUUUGAAUCUUUAGUUGUCACUUUGGGUGUCCUCUGCUGCAAAAUACUAUUAUCGACUCACUCUCCUAGCGCACGAGAGGUAUCAUCAGUUGAGAUCAACCAGAGUAUGGUUUAAAUUGCUCUUUCUGAAUCGAGCCAUAAUUCUUACAAUCAUGUCUUUACUCCCUUUCCCAUUCUCUCUGUUUUCCGCUUUUUACUCUUACCCUGUACAAACUUCUCACAGGAUAGAGAGGUCAAAUACAUAUAUGCCAGGAAUACUCUCCCAGCUCUCCAAUAUACUUCGGACGACCAACAUUAUUUCCUGCGUCCACAUGAGUUGGACUAUCUGGACUGUUAUCGAGGUACAAGUCGGGCAAGAGGUGAAAAUUUGUGGAGUAGCAUGCAGACAGUUAAUGUGGAUACAAUCGUAGCAUGACUAUCACGCUAAAAUAAGUAGAAAUUACCACGAAGAAGAUAAUGCUUAUUAACUAUCUAGCGAACAAGCAUUGCCUCAAGCCAUAAGUGAGUGUUUUGAGCUGAGAUCUGUUGAUAUUCUAAUGACUGAAACUUCGCUCUACAUUCUGCUGAGAGGACGAGAGACGAGACCGAACAAUUUGGCAGUGACCUGUUGCACGAUGAAUCAGUCAUAUCAGUCAAAGAGGAGUUCUGAGGCGAAGAACUCAUGCAGGAAGAUGCUUAUGGCAAUGACCAACCAGCCUCGCCAGAAAUGGAGACUCCAUAGAGCGAGGAAAAUGGAUAACAUUCUUAAAGCUAUGGAGGACAUAGUGACAACAACAUAUCAUCGUUCUGUGCUCGAAAUCCUUCAAUGUGCGCGAGUGCGCUUCUCUGUUCAAAGAAUUUGCAAAAGUUGUUCUAGUUCUAUUGAUCAUCAGUGUAGCACAGUUCUUCUUGUGUUUAUAAAUUUGUAGGUUUGCGUCGAUGAUUAGAUAGCUCGGUUUGUGGAACCUCCAACGACUCUCAUGGGGUCGACUUGACUAGGCGUUGUUAAGGGCUGACAGCUUUCUCACCAACCCUUAAUCAAGCCUUAAGAUUUCAAGUCACCAACUGGCAAGAAGAGAGGCCCACGCAUCAAUUCUUGACAUAGAGCCAUCUUACCUUUGACGCACACAAGUCUGGUCUCAUUGACUUGGUGAAUUAAUGCAGAACCUCUGGUUGUAAUCUCACAGACACACUAAUCGGUUCACCGUUUCUUCGUGCCUUGUCUUGUGGCCCUUUCGAUUUAACCUCUCUCAGAAGAAUCAAUGCAUCAGACCCUGAAGAAGUUUCCGGCCAAAUUCAAGAUCAAGCCUCGACGGCCCUUGAGGAAAUCACAAGUCCGAUUCAAGAUCAAGCGUCCACCAUAUUUGAAUCAAAUCCAGUUCAAGAAUAAGCUGUGGAAAAUCAACAAUUGGAGGAAUCCAAAAAAUCCUCCAACCCAGUUCAAGAUCAAAGCUGUGGAAAGUCAACAAAGCGCAAAAACAAAUACGUGCCGAUUCAUCCACUACCAAAACCAAAGAUCAUCUACCACAUAAAGCUCCUUGUGGUCCAAUUUCAACCUUCAAGAUCAAGCCUCGACGGCCCUUGAAGAAAUUUCGAACAAAGUCCAAGAACAAGCCUCAACGGCCCUUGAAGAAAUCUCCAGCCCAAUUCAAGAUCAAGCCUCGAUGGCCCUUGGAUUGACAACUACAUUAACGGACUUCAAAACGCAUCUCCUACAUGUAACAAGCACAUGUAUACAACGCGCCUUGAAGUGGGGGCAUUUGUAGACAUUGAAAUUUCGGUGGCAUAAAUGUUAGCCAUUGCAUUAAGAUUACAUUUGUAAACAUUGAAAUUUUGGUGAAAUAAAUGUUGACCAUUGUAUUAAAAUUACAACCUUCAUUCACUUCACCUCACCUACAUCAUAGUUUCACUACAAGUUCCACAGUUUCACCUACAAACAUCCACCAAGUUUCACCUACAACAUCCACCAAAAUACAAUCACCUACAACAUCCACCAAAACAAAUGGAUGGUGGUGAUUCGUUCCCAAAGCCUAUAAAUAGGCUCAUCCAUCAAAGAAUCAAUAAACCAAUUCACAAAUACAUUUCUCUACUCCCAAAAUGGAAGAGAAUACUCCCCACACAUCCAAAAUCCUUGAAGCUUUGAAACUCUAAAGCUUUCAAGCAUCCAACCUCCCAAAUUCAAGCAAAUCCCGAAGGAUCAAGAAAGCCCUCUUCGUUCUUCGUCAAAUCCUCCUUCAAGAUCAAGCCCUAACGGCCCUUGAAGAAAUUUCUCCUUCAAGAUCAAGCCCCAACGGCCCUUGAAGAACUUCCACCAAUUCAAGAUCAAGUCUCGACGGCCCUUGAAGAAAGUGUUCAACAAAUCCACACAACUGUUCAUCCUAAGAUCAAGCCCCGACGCCCCUUUUGGAUCAACAACAUCACCAAAUCCACAUAAAUGUUCAUCCUAAGAUCAAGCCCCAACGGCCAUUUGGAUCAACAACAUCAACAAAUCCACACAACUGUUCAUCCUAAGAUCAAGCCCCAACGGCCCUUUGGAUCAACAACAUCAAUAAAUCCACACAACUGUUCAUCCCAAGAUCAAGCCCCGACGGCCCUUGGAUCAACAAUCAUCCAUCUUCAAGAUCAAGCCCCGACGGCCCUUGGAUCAACCAUCCACCAAUUCAAGAUCAAGCCCCGACGGCCCUUGAAGAAAGCACCAUCGUUCAUCAUCCGUUCAUCCAAGAUCAAGCCCCGACGGCCCUUGGAUCAACAACAUCAACAAAUCCACACAUCCAACCGUUCUUCAAGAUCAAGCCCAAAAGCCCUUGAAGAUCCGUUCAUCACCGUUAUUCAAGAUCAAACCUUAACGGCCCUUGAAGAAACACUCAUCCUCAAGAUCAAGCCCCAAUGGCUCUUUGAAGAUCCGCUCAAAUCCACCUUCAAAGAUCAAGCCCACGGCCCCUUGAAGAAACUUCCAACAGUUCAUCCAAGAUCAAGCCUCGACGGCCCUUGGAUCAACGAAACAUCCAUAAAUCAACACCUUACGGAGAUCGAAUCAGAUGAUCAAAAUUGAGAGAGAUUGUAACCCAAAUCAAAAUCACAAAAUAUUAUUUUGUGCACGUUGUUCUUGUCUUUUUCGUUUCAGGAAUUUUCCGUGUUCACACCUGGCAAUUCCUGACACGACCUGAUAAUCCGACACGACACGACACAAAAUUAACAGAUGUUCGGGUCGACACGAUAACGAAUCGGGUGUUAUCGGGUAACCCGAUAAGCAACUGUUAAGAUAACGGGUUAGUUCGAGUAUACAUGUGGAUAACACGAUAAGCACCUGUUAAUAAUUUUAUAACGCUAAAAAAUACUAUAAUAAUUAUAUAUAUUAAUUUAACAAUUUUAUACCCCUAAAAAGUUUAAAACUAUAAUAAUUAUAUAUAUAUAUAUUAAAUUAACUAUAAUAAUUAUAUAUACUAUAAUAAUUAUACCCCCAAAAUAUUAACUAAAAUAAUUAUAAUAAUUAUAUAUACUAUAAUAAUUAUACCCCCAAAAUAUUACUAUAAUAAUUAUAUAUAUAUAUAUAUAUAUUAAGUUUUAAAUUAAAUUUAUACCCCUAAAAACUAUAAUAAUUAUACGUACAAAAUAAAUAGAUUUAAAUCUACAUAAUAUAUAUAUAUAUACACACCAUUGAACUUGAUGGAAUACACGAAACUAAUUUCAACGAUCCAACCAUUAAACUUGUUUGUAUAUGCUUCGAGAUCGCAUCAGCAAAAAAUUGCAAAAAACAAACAUUUAGAGAUCAAGUAACGAGACAAAACUUUUCGACGGUUAUAAAACAAAAAAUUACGAUUUAACAGUUAUUUUAACUCCGAUUUUGAUAUUUUUUACAGCUACACUCGUUGACCAUAUAUGAAUACAAUGAAUGAAUUCGAUUUUCAAUUUAAAAUAUUUACACUAGUGGAUACUACAAAAUUUUAUGUUAUACUUAAUGAAAAUAUAAAUAAACUCUAAGUGUUAGUGAAUCUAUCGUUUUGAUGAGAUACAAACUCUAUGAAACUAAUUUUAACGAUCCAACCGUCAAACUUGUUUGUAUAUGCUUCGAGAUCACAUAUGCCAAAAAUCACAAAAAAAAAACAAUCAGAGAUUAAGUAAUGAGACAAAACGUUUCGACGGUUAUAAAACAAAAAAUCACGAUUUAACGGUUAUUUUAACUCCGAUUUUGAUGAUUUUUUACAACGACACUCCUUGACCCUAUACGAAUUCAAUGAAUGAAUUGGAUAUUCAAUUUAAAAUAUUUACACAAGUGGAUAUCACAAAAUCUUAUGUUAUACUUAAUGAAAGUAUAAAUAAAAUCUAACUGUUAGUGAAUCUAUCGUUUUGAUGAGAUAUGAAUUCUAUGAACCUAAUUUUAACAAUCCAACCGUCAAACUUGUUUAUAUAUGCUUCGAGAUCGCAUACGCCAAAAAUUACAAAAAACAAACAUUCAGAGAUCAAGAAAUGAGACAAAACAUUUCGACGGUUAUAAAACAAAAAAUCAUGAUUUAACGGUUAUUUUAACUCCAAUUUUGAUGAUUUUUUACGACUACACUCAUUGACCCUAUAUGAAUACAAUGAAUGAAUUUGAUCGUCAAUUUAAAAUAUUUACACAAGUGGAUACCACAAAAUCUUAUGAUACACUUAAUGAAAGUAUAAAUAAACUCUAAGUGUUAAUGAAUCUAUCGUUUUGAUGGGAUACGAAUUCUAUGAAACUAAUUUUAAAAAUCCAACCGUCAAACUUGUUUGUAUAUGCUUCAAGAUCGCAUACGCCAAAAAUCACAAAAAACAAACAUUCAGAGAUCAAGUAAUGAGACAAAACUUUUCGACGGUUAUAAAACAAAAAAUCAUGAUUUAACGGUUAUUUUAACUCCGAUUUUGAUGAUUUUUUACAACUACAAUCUUUGACCCUGUACGAAUACAAUGAAUGAAUUUGAUCGUCAAUUUAAAAUAUUUACACAAGUGGAUACCACAAAAUCUUAUGUUAUACUUAAUGAAAGUAUAAAUAAACUUUAAGUGUUAGUGAAUCUAUCGUUUUGAUAUGAUACGAAUUCUAUGAAACUAAUUUUAACGAUCCAACCGUCAAACUUGUUUGUAUAUGCUUCAAGAUCGCAUAUGCCAAAAAUCACAAAAAACAAACAUUUAGAAAUCAAGUAAUGAGACAAAACUUUUUCGACGGUUAUAAAACAAAAAAUCAUGAUUUAACGGUUAUUUUAACUCCGAUUUUGAUGAUUUUUUACAACUACACUCCUUGACCCUAUACGAAUACAAUGAAUGAAUUUGAUCGUCAAUUUAAAAUAUUUACACAAGUGGAUACCACAAAAUCUUAUGUUAUACUUAAUGAAAGUAUAAUUAAACUCUAAGUGUUAAUGAAUCUAUCGUUUUGAUGCGAUACGAAUUCUAUGAAACUAAUUUUAACGAACCAACCGUCAAACUUGUUUGAUAUGCUUCGAGAUCGCAUACGCCAAAAAUCACAAAAAACAAACAUUCAGAGAUCAAGAAUUGAGACAAAACUUUUCGACGAUUAUAAAACAAAAAAUCACGAUUUAACGGUUAUUUUAACUCCGAUUUUGAUGAUUUUUUCAACUACACUCCUUGACCCUAUACGAAUACAAUGAAUGAAUUUGAUCAUCAAUUUAAAAUAUUUACACAAGUGGAUACCACAAAAUCUUACGUUAUACUUAAUGAAAGUAUAAAUAAACCCUAAGUGUUAGUGAAUCUAUCGCUUUGAUGGGAUAUGAAUUCUAUGAAACUAAUUUUAACGAUCCAACCGUCAAACUUGUUUGUAUAUGCUUCGAGAUCGCAUAUGCCAAAAAUCACAAAAAACACACAUUCAAAGAUCAAGUAAUGAGACAAAACUUUUCGACGGUUAUAAAACAAAAAAUCACGAUUUAACGGUUAUUUUAACUCUGAUUUUGAUGAUUAUUUACAACUACACUCCUUGACCCUAUACAAAUACAAUGAAUGAAUUUGAUCUUCAAUUUAAAAUAUUUACACAUGUGGAUACCACAAAUCUUAUGUUAUACUUAAUGAAAGUAUAAAUAAACUCUAAGAGCAAGUCCACCCCUAAGGACUUUGCGCCAGCACCCAGCGUAUUUAUCCACCCAAGUGAACAGUAAUAGACCCCAAUGAACAGUAAUAGGCUAAAGCAGCUCCACCCCUAAAAAUGGACUGGCACCCAGCCCAUCUAAUAUUAUAUUAUUUUAUUCAUAUCAAUUAAUAUUUUAUCAUUUAAUUUAUUUUUUCUUCCUUUCUUUGUCCGGUCCUCACCCUUUUAUUCUCUCUCUCUCUCUCUCUCUCUCUCUCUCUCUCUCUCUCUCUCUCUCUCUCUUUUCCAGCUCACUCCCGUGAGCUCUCUCUCUCUCUCUCUCCUUUUUCUCCAUGUUUUCUUCUUCAAAUGAGCACCCAGCACCUGAAAUGGACCUCUUCCCCCAAAAAUGGGAGGUCGCCGUGGAGGUGCUCCACACCAACGGUUGGGAUCUCGCCGGAGCUCCACACAAACGCUCACAGGCACCUCGUUGUCGUCUCCUCACCGGAGCUCGCCAUGGAGGUGCUCCACACCCACGGAGUCGGAUCUCGCCGUGGAGGUGCUCCACACCAACGCUCCUCGAAAAAUGGACCUCCUCCUCCUCCGCAUUACCCGGCUGGCGUCAGCAUGAGUCAGAUGUACCGGGCAACACCUCAGUCAAUUUUGGACUGGGCUACAGACCAGCUUGCGCUGGGUGCCAGUCAAUUGGGUCGGGUGGAGGGGUUUCACAGGGUGCUGGGCAGUUUUUUCAGCUGGGUGCUGGGCAAAAUGCCCUCCGCUGGAACUGCUCUAAGUGUUAGUGAAUCUAUCGUUUUGAUGAGAUACGAAUUCUAUGAAACUAAUUUUAAUGAUCCAACCGUCAAACUUGUUUUUUAUUAGGCUCUUAUUUUCAUGUGUAGAUGUAGUACUUAAAUGACAAAUAUGUUUUAAUGUUUUGAAGUAAUAUUUAUGUGGUCAAACUUGUUUUUUAUUAGGCUCUUAUUUUCGUGUGUAGAUGUAGUACUUAAAUGACAAAUAUGUUUUAAUGUUUUGAAGUAAUAUUUAUGUGGUAAUGUGUGGUAUAUGCAAAUUUAAGAAAAAAAUAUAUUUUUCUUAACGGGUCAUAAAGGGUCGGGUCACUUUACCCAGGGUCGGGUCACUUUACCCGUUGGGUAAAGUGACCCGACCUGUUAAAGACCCGUUAAGAUAACAUGUGUGACACGACACGACCCGUUACGAUGACAGGUGUUAUACGAAAACGACACGAACACGACAGACACGACCCGUUUGCCAGGCCUACUUCUAUGACAUAUUAAAUACCUCCUUGAGCACAAAAAUAGAAAGAAAGGAGGCAUAACAUAUAAUAACUCUAGUUUGGGCUAAUUCAUUCACAUACUAAGUGUCAAAGAGGUUAAUAUAUAUAUAUAUAUAUAUAUAUAUAUAUAUAUAUAUAUAUAUAUAAUAUAUAUUUUUUUUUUUUUUUUUUUUGGUCGAAGAGGUUAAUAUUUUUAUUGGAACUAAGACUUCUGUUUUAAACAAAAGAAGAAAACACGCGGCAGACAGAAAAACAUAAAGUGGAGUACUUACAUCAGGCCAAGAAUCGAUAAUGAGCUCUGCAAUUCAUUGGCUAUAUCUCAUUCCACAUCAACUUGUUCCUUCUCAGUUGGCCGCUAAAACCAACCAUUCCAAUUUAAUUAUAAGAAAUCAAUAGGAAGGCUAGUAAUUUAUUGUCAAAGUUCACCGUAUAUAGAUUUCCUCAGAUAUAAUUCAUCGUAUAUAGAUUUCCUCAGAAAUACGAUAAAAUACAAUUACAUUAAAUCUAAGGGUUGAAUUGCAAACUCAAGCAUUUCCUUGUAAAUAAAAACUAAUAAUAGCUCAUGACAAAAAAUUUACAGAACACAUAAAGUAGAAACAUUAGUACCUAAUUAGACAUGAAAAUUACAGAAUAAGCCGGAUUAAGCCAUCUAAAAACAGAAUAAGCCACUCAGUACUACGAUGGUCUAGUGAUAUUUCUCUUCACUUUGAAGUGAGAUGUCGUAGGUUCGAAUAUCGUGGAUGGUGAAUUCGAUAUCAAAUUAGGCUGUCUAAUGUGUGACUUAGCCAAACUUCCCCUCCCUUGGUAUAAAAAUACGAUGUACUAAAAAAAAAAAAAAAAAAAAAAAACAGAAAAUUAAUACCACCAUAGCGAAAUACUACAGAAUAAUCUAAUUAUUUAUGCAUUUGGCAAGUUAAAAUAAUUAACUAAAAAACUUGGAGCAAAACAACACUUUAAUUCCAUGGUUGGUUUUAUAUAUGUGUUUGGGCCCAAAAUAAUAGUUUGGGUCGAGUUUAGUGACUCUUGGCGUAGUAACCAUUUAGGGUGUGUUUGUUGCACCAAACUAUCUCGAACUGGACUUAGCUCAUGGACUAACCUAGAUUGACUUAGACUAGAUUAAGCUGGACUAACUUAGUGAAGCGUUUGUUGCAGUGUCAGACUAAAAAGCUGGACUAACAAUAAAUUAUUAUUAUAUUCUAAUUUUUUUUAUUAAGAAUAUCAAAAUUAAUAGAUUAAAGAAAGAGGAUAUCUUCUUCGCCAAUUUCCUGGUGUUCCUCAACACCUUGGAAGUUACAAAAUUUCCAAUAACAAAAGGCUUAAACUUGAUCUUGAAGAUAAACCUCCGCUGCUAAAGACCCAAUUCCCAAAUAUUUUGAUUAUUACAAAUAAAAAGUACCCAUAACCCUAAAAAUACCCAAUCUUCAUCCUUCUCACCCUCAGAUUCCUAUACCCAUGGCCAUGUAUGCGACUGAAGAUAGACAUCGACCACUAAAGGCCGUCGUCGAAGAGUCGAGCUUAAUCAUCCAAAGAAAUCGCCAGAUUAUAUAAUCGAUUCGGUUUGAGAUUUGCAUCGAAUGCGACCGCUAAGAGGAACUCAUCAAUUAAUUUCCCAACGAGCUUGAUCUAGCAGAGAGAGGUAAAGACAAAGAUAGAUGAGGAAAGACGAAGAAGGAGGUAGCAAGUGAGGAAAGCGAAGAAGAAGGCAUAUCGUAGUCCUUGGCAAUCCCAUGGUUUAACACGAGACUAUUUUGGACAAUCUAACGAGGCUCGGAGUCCACACGAGUCCGGGCUAGUCUCAUUUAAGUUAGUCCCCAAGCAUACCAAACAUGAGACAAUAAUCCUAGCUAGUCCAGUCCCACUUAAGAAGGUGAAACAAACACACACUUAGAGUCCUAUCAUGGGCCGUCCAAUCAUCAUCGACCGUCUAGUUAAGGUUGGCCGAAUCCCAUUGCAAAGAGGAUUGGUUUAGAUAAAAAGUAUACUCUAAGAGACGAGCGAUAAUAGUGCUAUACAUACCAGGUUGCUCAAACUACUGGUCAAUAAAGGCCACGAAGAUGGACCCGUCGAUCGUUCCCGACAGCCCUCACUUAAGAAUAAUUUGCCACCAGUGAUACAAGCCGAGACAAUAUAUGGUUGGCUCAAAAUGAUUGACUUAAAGAAAAGGGGUGGAUCAACUAGUAGAUCAGACAUAUUUGACCAAGGAGCGGAAACAACAUCUAUUGAUAUGGUCGAGGUUUAGAGAAUGAUUGAUUCGGCCCUAAAAAAAGGGCCGAAGUUUCCGAAAUUCAUUCACCCAUAUCCAGCAUUCGUAGAAAAGUUUGAAUACCCCAAGAGGUUCAAAAUUCCGGAUUUCAACCUUUUCGCCGGAGAGUCAUCCUUAUAGUCGUUAUAACAUGUAGCUCAAUUCACUGCCCAACGUAGGGACGUUAACAAUGAUUUUCAUAAGCUUCGACUGUUCAAUUUCUCAUUAACCGGCUCAGCAUUCGCGUGGUAUAUAAACCUUUCACCUAAUUCCAUCCAAAGCUGGGAGGAAUUAGUUAAGAAAUUUCAUGAGCAGUUCUAUCGACCAGGGAUGGAUGUGUCAGUAUUUUCUCUGGCCAGGAUGGCUCAAGCUUCUGACGAGUCGCCAAUGGAAUACCUUACGAGGUUUAAGUCGGCCAAAAACUGGUGUCGAGUAUCUAUCCCAGAAGUCGAGUUCGUUAGGCUUGCCUUGAAUGACCUAUAUGUGGAAUACAAAAAGAAAUUUUUGAGGGAAAACUUCGAGAUAUGUACGAACUGGCUUAACAUGUUGAGCAAUAUGAUUAUUUGCUACGAGAAUAAAAUAUUUGAAGCCCCUAUCCUGAGGAACAAUCUACAAGAACCCUACGGUCAGUUAUGCAUCGGUCGAAGGCGAAGAAUCCCAAUAUGCCAGUAUUGACGCGGCCGAGAUAGUGAUUGACAAGCCAUACAUAUGCAAAGCAUUGGCUUAUGCUAAUUCCAAGGAUGCCAAAACCCGCUCGGCCUCUGAAGAAGCUACCAUCAAAACAUCGAAAGUUUAUACUGUUGACAUUACCAAGGCCGACGCCAUCUUCAAGUAGCUGUUGCUCGUGAAAAUUAUCAAGCUUCGGUAAGGGCAUAACAUUUUCAAGGCUGAAGAUUUGAAAGGAAAAACAUAUUGCAAGUACCAUGACUUGAACAAACAUACAACAAACAACUACGUCGUAUUUCGUGAUGUCAUCUAGAUCUGGAUCGACAAUGGUAAGCUCAAGUUCCCCGAGAAACAAAUGGGCGCUGACACCGAUCAUUUUCCUACGGUGACAGUAAACAUGGUAGAUGUUCAUCUACCGAGGGAUAAAGGAAAAUGAAAAGCCGAGUUCGUUCCAAUGCAAUUCAUCCCAAAGCAGAACUCUCAACCACGAUUGAAGAUUGAUUUAUUUUCAAACGAGUACCCCAAGAUUUGAUUGGACCAACUAUUAUCGAGUCAAUGUCGGACUCCAGCACUGAGGAAACCGACGAGCCGAUAAAUCUUAUGUAGUCGGUGUAAAACAAAUGUCAUCUUAACUGAGCCGAAGAAAAAGCUAUUUCGAACUAAAAGGUCACGACAGGCAUCCACAACUGCAACACCAUCCCAAAAGGUACUUGGGGUAGGACAACACUAGAAAGUUUUGAUAGGCUCGGCCCGCAGGUACAAGACAAGAUGCCAUCUUCGGCCAGACGACACCUUGAUUUCAACGUGCAGUUUUACAACGAGGAUUAUUAUACGUGUAACUCUGGUAAUUCAAGUUCACCUGCGAACCAGUGUAUCAUCAGACCUCCUGAGCCACGUGAUCAACACUGGUAUACUUAUAACUCCCCUACCAGUGUAUACAUUGCGUUGUCCAAAUCGUUAAAACGUCGGAGCCAAAGAAUAGAUUGUAUAGCCCGCCGACGAGCAACUUAGGAUACCUCGGUUACCAAGUGGAAGCCGAAGGAAACGACCAAUAAUAAAGAUGACCGAUAACCUCCUGCGAUCAUGAUCGAGUUGCUCCAAGGGAAGAAAGUGAUUGAUCGUGACUUUGAAACCACGAUCGAAGAAUCCAAAAAGUGAAUCAAACUCCUCAUUCAACCUGAGGAAAUAGAAGCUCGCCUCGAGCACUUCCGGAAUGAGAUUAAGAGCAAACUUCCCCUGCUAUCUACACAAGAACCGUUGAUCAGAGUUAGAUAGAAUCUCCACCCACCAUUUCUUAGUGAAACUUUAGAAUACAUGCGAGAGUUUCACAAGAAGCAUUCGGCAAAUGAUUUAUACGGCUUGCCGAAAGCAUGCCAAGAUACUCUUGAUCUUGUUCUAACUUGCCCCGAUGUUGAAUGAAUCAUCCAAAAGACCUCAGAUCCGGGGAUGAAAGCUAGGUUCCAACAUAUACGAGAGCCUUGAGUUUUCGACUUCGAGGUAGAUCCAUAUAUUGAUAUUGACGCUGCCGAACUUCCUCUUUCGAUGACCUUCAAUAUUUACGAUACUAUUUCAAAGUCUUUUCAGAUGUUUCUCUCUUCGACCUUACUGUCGAUGAAAAGGAAUGCGUAGCACAAUUAGAUGCUUACCUUGACACGAGAGAUACUCGCAUCACAUAUCAGGAGCAAACUCAUAUGUCGUCACAAGACCAAAACCCAGUUUUAACACUGAACGAACCUGAGGUCAACAUGCAGAAUGAGAAGACUCUAGUGAACAUACCGCAUGAGCAUACCCCGGCGUCAGCUGAAAAAAGCAAGCAAAUACUGCCCAUACGUAGGACACCUCACCCGAAAGUCCAGAAGAAGAAGAUCAUGACCCGAUAGGUCAUUCGGUCAUCGACAACAGGGAAAUCAGCAUGGUCUAUGUUUUACCUACCGAGUUCCAACCAACCACAUCCCAACCAAAUUUCCUGGACAGCAACGUGGUUGCCGAGGAAGCCACGCAAGUUGAUUUUAUGGUCGCCGAAGAGAUUUAGCAAGCAACAAAAGAAGAUAAACUUAAAACAGUUUUUGCCGAAUUGUUUCCUCACUUUUCAUCAGUUAAUCUCCAUCAUCUUAAGCCGUUAUAUGUUAUGGCUCAUAUUGAAGGAUAUCCGGUCUUCAAAAUUUUCAUCGACUAUGGAGCAACGGUCAACAUCAUGCCUGUUGUUAUCAUGAACACAUUACGUCGUUCCAACGACGAACUUAUUCCAUCAGGGGUCACCAUGAGCAGCUUCGUCGGUGACAAAUCCCAGACCAAAUGAGUGCUUCCGUUGGAGGUAAUUAUCGUAGGUCGUAAUCACAUGACUGUAAUUUUCAUAGUCGAUUCAAAGACAGGGUAUAAUGCAUUUCUUGAUCAUGACUGGAUCUAUCAAAUGAGCUGCAUCCCCUCGUUAUUAUACUAGGUCAUUAUCUUUUGAGACGGCAAAUCGAUCUUAGUUCAUCUAGCCGACAAUUAGCCAUUCGAAGCAAAUAUGAUUCAAGCUCGUUAUUAUGACGAUCACGUCGGCUACAUCACCCUGCAAGCGUUUGAUGAGGAAUGACGGUCGACUUAGAUCUCAGUUCAGAAAGCCAUCGAGGUAAGCGCCGAGAUUGUUCAUUAAGAUUCGGCGAAACUAGGGUUGGCCGACCUAGUUGCCGAUCCUGAUGUCUGGUACCAAACUAGAUAGAUGCUGGGCCAUGGUUUCAUCCAUCAUAGAACGACUACUGGCGCAUUGGUAUGCUAUUUCUAGGUAGCUAAAUUCGGGUGUGAACUUGGUAGAGUUUCUCGCCGAAGGAAACAACAGUCCAGUUUUAUCACUUGACAAGAUUCAAGCUGCCAUGGCCGAGCUCGAAGACAGUCGGGCCCAAGUCAAAGAACCUUUAGAGGAAGUAAAUGUCGAAACGGCCGAAAACCCACGGCCUUUGUUUAUUAGUGCUUUGUUACCCCAACCUAUGAAAACUGCACUUUGUAAUUUACUCAAGGAAUUUAAAGAUUGUUUUGCUUGAGUUACCAUAAGAUGCCUAGUUUAGACCGAACGUUCAUCUAGCACGAAUUACGCAUCAAACCUGGUUGUAAACCGUUCCUCCAACCCCUCCCCCCCCCCCCCGACGAUUCUCGACCGAAGUACAACUUGGCAUAAAAGAUGAACUCGUUCGACUUUUAAAAGCUGGGUUUAUCCGGACAACUCGAUACAUUGAAUGGCUGGCGACCAUCGUCCUAUUUUUACAGAAAAGUGGUGCUCUACAUAUUUGUAUCAAUUUUUGAAAUUUGAAUUUGGCAACCCCUAAAGACGAGUAUACAAUGCCAAUUUUAGAUUUGUUAAUCGAAGUAGUAGUACACCAUGAGAUAUUAUCCUUCAUGAAUGGUCAUGCUGGUUACAACCAGAUUUUCAUUGCUGAGGCCGACGUCUAUAAAAUUACUUUUCGUUGCCCAUGGGCACUCGGGACUUACGAAUGGGUCGUCAUGCCAUUUGACUUGAAAAACACUGGUGCCAUAUGCCAACGUGCUAUGAAUACGAUUUUUCAUGUUUUAAUUGGUACCAUCAUCGAAGUCUAUUUUGAUGAUGUUGUAGUUAAAUCAAAACAUCGCCGAACACAUUUAGAUGAUCUUCGGCAGGUUUUCCUUCAAAUGCGCCAACAUAACCUUAAAAUGAAUCCUGCCAAAUAAGCAUUUGGUGUAUCGGUCGGCAACUUUUUAGGUUUUCUUGUACAUCAUCGUGGCAUUGAAGUGGACACAAAUAAAGCUCGGGUGAUCAUCGAUGCUCCACCUCCGACAACAAAGAAACAAUAACAAUCACUACUCGAUAAAGUCAAUUUCCUCUGCCGUUUCAUUUCUAACUCGGCAGGGAAGAUGAAAGCUUUCUCCACGCUCUUGAAACUUAUAGAUUCGGACAAAUUCGAAUGGCGUGAGGAGCACCAAGAUGCUUUCACGAAGACAGCCAACGGAUUCCUCGGCGGCCAAAAUAUACAACUUGAGUGAUUUACCGCGCCGAGGUGGCACAAUGACAUGUGGGUUAGUGAGGGAGACCCUAAUUUGUUUACUUUUAUUAAUUAAAUUCGUUUUUAAUUUAAGUAGGUUAUAAACUCAAUCAUCUCAAUUUCUACUUUACAAUAAUUAAUUGGAAUUUGGUUUGUUUCGAAUUAUUUAAUAAUUCCUGUGGAGAACGACCUUGCGAGAUCCGUUUAUACUACAAUAACUUUGUCAUUCUUACAAGUAUUAUAGGAGUUUUUAGCCCGUUUACGUGUGUAGUAAAAUCCGUAUCACCUUUCUUCAGACAGACUUUGAUCCCCCGCCAAAACCUGUAAGUGACACAUCAACUGGUAGAAGUGGCGUGCCUAUAGGUACGGUGGUUGGAAUUGUGGUUGGGGGAGUCUUAAUUAUACUACUGAUAUUUGGUGUUCAUUGGAAGAGAGGCCUCUUGGGGCAACAAAAGACAUUGGAGGAUGGUAUUAAUUUGCAGUUUAUUCUGUUAUACUGGUUUUUCCUUUUUGUUUCUCCAUUACUUUUUCUCAUCGACCUUUUUUCGUAACUAAUUAAGUACAACAUUUAUGCUAUUUUGCAUGGUUCUCCUGCAUAUUGACGUGCACUACAAAGACAGUAAUUAUUUAGAUAUUGAGCUUUCCGGCACUUUGAUGUUGCUGUAAUAUAUUUAUCUUCCAAACUCAUGAUGCAAAGUGUCUGCCUUACUUGUUAAAUUCUAGAAUCAGGCACAAAAUAUUAAGAACUAAGAAUGCUGUCGUUCUGAAAGUUUUCUUAAGACACAAUUUCUUAUGAGUUUUACUUGUUAUAUAGAUUUGAAGGGUGUGGACCUGCAAACUGGUAAAUUUACCUUCAAGCAACUCAAAGAUGCCACAAGCAACUUUAAUAGAGGCAAUAACUAGGUCUGGCAAACGGAUCGUGUCAAUCGUGUUCGUGUAACAUCUGUUAUCUUAACGGGUCGUGUCGUGUCACACCUGUUAUUUUAACGGGUCCUCAACAGGUCGGGUCACAAAACGCUUACAUUUUGCAUAUCCUUGCACAUUUAAAGUGACCCGACCCGUUAUGACCCGUUAAGAAAAAUAUUUUUUUUUCUUAAAUUUGCACAUACCACACAUUGUCACAUAAAUAUUACUUCAAAACAUUAAAACACAUUUGUCGCUUAAGUACUACAUCUACACUCGAAAAUAAGAGCCUCAUAAAAAAUACAUCCAUACACUACUAAUUUAUUACAAAUAUUAAAUGUGCAAGGAUAUGCAAAAUGUAAGCGUUUUUGUUUUCAAGGUUGUGAAGCCUUUCUCAAAAGUUUAAACCUUGCCAAUGGAACUCAAAGCUUAAUGAAACUGACCCACUAGUGUGUUUAUUCGUACUUUCAUUAAGUAUAGCAUAAGAUUUUGUGGUAUCCACUAGUGUAAAUAUUUUAAAUUGAAUAUCGAAUUCAAUCAUUGUAUUCAUAUAGGGUCAAGAAGUGUAGUUGUAAAAAAUCAUCAAAAUCGGAGUUAAAAUAACCGUUAAAUUGUGAUUUUUCGUUUAUAACCGUUGAAAAGUUGUGUCCCGUUACUUAAUCUUUAAAUGUUUGUUUUUUACAAUUUUUGGCGUAUGUGAUCUCGAAGUAUAUACAAACAAGUAUGACGGUUAGAUUGUUGAAACUAGUUUCGUAGAAUGCGUAUCCCAUCAAAACAAUAGAUUCACUAACACUUAAAAGUUUAUUCUUACUUUCAUUAAGUAUAACAUAAGAUUUUGUGGUAUCCACUAGUGUAAAUAUUUUAAAUUGAAGAUCGAAUUCAUUCAUUGUAUUCAUACAGGGUCAAGGAGUGUAACUGUAAAAAAUCAUCAAAAUCGAAGUUAAAAUAACUGUUAAAUCGUGAUUUUUCGUUUAUAACCGUCGAAAAGUUUUGUCUCGUUACUUGAUCUCUAAAUGUUUGUUUUUUGCAAUUUUUGGCAUAUGCAAUCUCGAAGUAUAUACAAACAUUUUUUACGGUUGGAUCGUUGAAACUAGUUUCAUAGAAUGCGUAUCCUAUCAAAACAAUAGAUUCACUAACACUUAAGAGUUUAUUCAUACUUUCAUCAAGUAUAACAUAAGAUUUUGUGGUAUCCACUAGUGUAAAUAUUUUAAAUUGAAGAUCAAAUUCAUUAAUUGUAUUUAUAUAGGGUCAAGGAGUAUAUCAUUAAAAAAUCAUCAAAGUCGGAGUUAAAAUAACCGUUAAAUUGUGAUUUUUCGUUUAUAACCGUCGAAAAGUUUUGUCCCGUUACUUGAUCUUUGAAUGUUUCUUUUUUGCAAUUUUUGGCCUAUGCGAUCUCGAAGCAUAUACAAACAAGUUUGACGGUUGGAUCGUUGAAACUAGUUUCGCAAAAUGCGUAUCUCAUCAAAACAAUAGAUUCACUAACACUUGAGAGUUUAUUUAUAUUUUCGCUAAGUAUAACAUAAGAUUUUGUAGUAUCCACUAGUGUAAAUAUUUUAAAUUGAAGAUCGAUUUCAUUCAUUGUAUUCAUAUAGGGUCAAAGAGUGUAGCUGUAAAAAAUCAUCAAAAUCGGAGUUAAAAUAACCGUUAAAUCGUGAUUUUUCUUUUAUAACCGUCAAAAGGUUUUGUCCUGUUACAUGAUCUCUGAAUUUUUAUUUUUUUGCAAUUUUUGGCAUAUGCGAUCUUGAAGUAUAUACAAACAUGUUUGACGGUUGGAUCGUUGAAACUAGUUUCGUCGAAUGCGUAUCCCAUCAAAACAAUAGAUUCACUAACACUUAAGAGUUUAUUCAUACUUUCAUCAAGUAUAACAUAAGAUUUUAUGGUAUCCACUAGUGUAAAUAUUUUAAAUUGAAGAUCGAAUUCAUUCAUUGUAUUCAUAUAGGGUCAACGAGUGUAGAUGUAAAAAAUCAUUAAAAUUGGAGUUAAAAUAACCGUUAAAUCGUGAUUUUUCGUUUAUAACCGUCGAAAAGUUUUGUCCCGUUACUUGAUCUCUGAAUGUUUGUUUUUUUCAAUUUUUGGCGUAUGCGAUCUCGAAGCAUAUACAAACAAGUUUGACGGUUGGAUCGUUGAAACUAGUCUCGCAAAAUGCGUAUCUCAUCAAAACAAUAUAUUCACUAACAAUUAAGAGUUUAUUCAUAUUUUCAUUAAGUAUAAUAUAAGAUUUUGUGGUAUCCACUAGUGUAAAUAUUUUAAAUUGAAGAUUGAAUUCAUUCAUUGUAUUCAUAUAGGGUCAAGGAGUGUAGCUGUAAAAAAUUAUCAAAAUUGGAGUUAAAAUAACCGUUAAAUCAUGAUUUUUCGUUUAUAACCGUCGAAAAGUUUUGUCUCGUUACUUGAUCUCUAAAUGUUUGUUUUUUGCAAUUUUUGGCGUAUGUGAUCUCGAAGUAUAUACAAACAUGUUUGACGGUUGGAUCGUUGAAACUAGUUUUGUAGAAUGCGUAUCCUAUCAAAACAAUAUAUUCACUAACACUUAAGAGUUUAUUCAUACUUUCAUCAAGUAUAACAUAAGAUUUUGUGGUAUCCACUAGUGUAAAUAUUUUAAAUUGAAGAUCAAAUUCAUUCAUUGUAUUCAUAUACGGUCAAUGAGUGUAGCUGUAAAAAAUCAUCAAAAUCAGAGUUAAAAUAACCGUUAAAUCUUGAUUUUUCGUUUAUAACCGUCGGAAAGUUUUGUCUCGUUACUUGAUCUGUGAAUGUUUGUUUUUUUGUAAUUUUUUGCUGAUGCGAUCUCGAAGCAUAUACAAACAAGUUUGACGGUUGGAUCGUUGAAAUUAGUUUCGUAUAAUUCGUAUCCCAUGAAGUUCAGUGGUGUGUGUGUAUAUAUAUAUUUAUUUAUUUAUUAAGUAGAUUUAAAUCUAUUUAUUUUGUAUGUAUAAUUAUUAUAGUUUUUAGGGGUAUAAAAUUUAAUAUAUAUAUAUAUAUAUAUAUAUAUAUAUAUAUAUAUAUAUAUAUAGAACUAUUAUAGUUAAUAUUUUGGGGGUAUAAUUAUUAUAGUAUAUAUAAUUAUUAUAAUUAUUAUAGUUAAUUUAAUAUAUAUAUAUAAUUAUUAUAGUUUUUAGGGGUAUAAAAUUGUUAAAUUAAUAUAUAUAAUUAUUAUAGUAUUUUUUUUAGGGUUAUAAAUUAUUAAAUUAAUAUUCUGCUUAUCGUGUAUCGUGUUACCCACGUGUAUACCCGAACAACCCAUUAUCUUAACAGGUGCUUAUCGGGUUACCCGAUAACGACCCGCUUCGUUAUCGUGUCGACCCGAACACCUGUUAAUUUCGUGUCGUGUCGUGUCAGAUUAUCGGGUCGUGUCAGGAAUUGCCAGGCCUAGCAAUAACAUUGGUGAAUGUGGUUUUGAUUCUGUUUAUAAGGUAUUCUUUGGAGCAAAUAAUUUAUUUAUUGAUUAUAUAUUUUUUUCUAGUUUGACACUGUCCGUUCUAAUGAAAGUUAAUUUGCUCCAUAGUGAUGCGAAUUUGACUAUCUUUCUUAAAUGUAGGGCAUUCUAGCAGAUGGCACCGUAAUAACUAUUAAGCAGCUGUCUUCCAAAUCAAAGCAAGGGAAUCAUGAAUUUGUUAAUGAGAUUGGCAUGAUUUCUGCUCUGCAACACCCUCAUCUUGUCAAGCUCCACAUAUGUUGUAUUGAAAGAAAUCAAUUAUUGCUUGUCUAUAAGUACCUGGAAAAUUAUAGCAUCGCUCAUGCUUAUCUUCAGUAAAUAUUAGUCUUGUUUGCCAAAAGUUCAUUUCAUCAUAUAGUGGCAUAAAAGAUCUUAUGCACUAAAAAUAUGUCCCUUACAACUAACUUUGUUUAAUUUGGCAAAUUGAACGGGUGAAGAAAGUCAUUAGAAGUUGGAUUGGCCAACAAGGCACAAGAUUUGUAUUGUUACAGCAAGAGGUUUGGCUUAUCUUCAUGAGGAAUCAAGAUUGAAGGUCGUUCAUAGAGACAUCAAGGCUACUAAUGUUCUGCUUGAUAAAAAUCUUAACCAGAAAAUAUCUAACUUUGGAUUGGCCAAGCUUGAUAAAGAGGAUAAUACACACAUUAGCACCCGUAUUGCUAGAACUUAGUGAGUCCCUAAACUUUUAUUUAUCUUCUUAUUCUCUUGUUUUGAUCUUCUUCCACCCUUAAAAAAGAAGAUAGAGCAAUGGAAAGUCUAUAACUUACAUAAUUUUCAACCUAACCAAAUCUUUGUUGUUCAAGAAAUUUCAAGGGCAGAUUUGUUCUUUGAAUAUAGUUGUAUUACUAUGUAUCUCUCUAACUAUUGCAUUAAUCUUAAGUAUUCAAUUAGCAAUAUUUUUACUAAUUAUUUUAGCUAAAUCUGGGUUAAUGAUGUGAUUUCAUGAUUUGCAGUGGAUACAUGGCGCCCGAAUAUGCAAUACGGGGUUAUCUGACUGAUAAAGCAUAUGUCUAUAGUUUUGGUACUCUCGUAUUGGAAAUUGUUAGCGGGAGAAACAACACAACUUACUGGAAAAAGGAAGAAAGCUUUUAUCUUCUUGAUUGGGUAACAUGAAUCCACUACUUCCUAAUUUAACUUCAAAUUUUCUUAAUAUACCUUAUAUAUGUGAAAGUACAUUUGAAUCGGUGAAGUUUAAACCAAAGACAGAAUUUAUAUUGCUUUUGUUACAUCCAUUUUUUGUAGGCACGACUUCUAAAAGAGCAAGGGAAUUUGAUGGACCUAGUUGAUCCAAGGUUGGAAUCAGACUUUAACAAAGACGAGAUGACUGUUGCAAUCAAUGUGGCUCUCCUUUGUUGCAAUGUUACUUCGACAGCUAGGCCUACCAUGUCUUUGAUUGUGAGCAUGCUCGAAGGAAAGGCUGUUGUUCAGGAGUUGGUCUCGGAUCCAAAUGCUGAGAGUAUUGAGAUCGAUGCAAUGAGGAAACAUUUUCAAUCUAGUUUUGGAAGGGGCAUGGGCGAGAAACAGAUAGAAACAGAGUCAAUUGAAGGGCCAUGAACUGCUUCGUCUGCGUCUGCUCACGAUCUUUAUCUCGUCAAUCCUGAUUCAAAUUACUGGGGGAACAGAAGCGAGAGAACUUGAGCUGCACGGUUAUCAGUUCGACUUAACCUUAGCACACUCAAAACAUAUCAGCUAAUAAAUCAUCUGUAUUUCCUCUAUAACUAUUUUCUUUUUUUUGUUUGAUAAUAUAGUAGAAAGCAUAAUUGAAGAAGUUUCUACAGCAUGGUAAUUGUAAAAUCAGUUCUUUUCAGUAUUUUGUAGUAUGAUAAAAUGAUUUUCUUUUCGAAUAAUCGAAUAGAGUAAGUUGGUUGAACACUAUACUAUUUUGGCUAUGUGGUGGUUUGUGAAGAGAGGAGAUAAUGUACACCAAAUUCGAAAAGGAUGGGAAUAGAGUAAGUUGAUUAAGAGAAGGAACUUAAAUUUAGUAAAAUCGGAAAUCAUUUGUGGAGGAUUUUUCUAUAUCAAUAUAUUGUUAAUAUACAAGGUAAAGCAAGAUUCAGAGGAUAUGCAUGAAAAGAAAAAUGAUACCUGACGUAAAUCAUUGCCAAAAAGAUAAACAAAUUGCCAAGUUUUCUUAAAUUUAGUUUUGGAAGUUCUGAAAUUUACUUCAAUUGCAUUGAUUUUGAUUGUACUAGAAUACAGGUAUAUAUAAAUACAAGAAUUCCUACUACAUAGGUAAUUGGUACAAACUAAGUAAUCAGCCUGUGAUGCUUUACCUUAUUAAGAACGCCCAACUUGCCUAAUAGAGAUUUAAAAUGUUCAUUCCCCAAAGCUUUAGUGAAAAUGUCGGCAAGCUGUGACAUGUUGACAACUUUUCAUUCCAUGAUUUUAUUUCCGACAAAGUAACAAUCAAUCUCAAUACGUUCAUGAAAUACUGAAUUUGCGGCAAUGUGAAGAGCAGCGUGAUUAUCACAAAACAAAGUUGCAGCCCCCUUGUUGCCAAGUUAUAGACCACGAAAUAGAUUUUGUAACCAAGCCAACUCGCAAUAGGCUGCUGCCAUGGAUCUAUACUCUGCUUCGGCAGAGGACAAAGAAAUUGUCUUUUGACGUUUGUUGUUCCACGAAACAAGAGAGUCUCCAAGAAAAACUCAAGAAUCAGUGGCGGGUCGCAGAGUGGUUGGCCAUCCUAUCCUAUCCAAGUCACAAUAUGCAUUCAACUUCAAAUCAUUUUCUGAAGAAAACAUAAUACCUCGUCCGGGUGUCCGUUUUAAGUAUCUCAAAAUCCAUAAUGCAGCCUCAUAUCAUGGCUUCCGAGGUGCUUACAUGAAUCUACUCAACAAGUGGACCAAGUACAUGAUAUUUGGCUAGGUAAUAGUGAGAUAAAUUGGACGACCAAUCAAUCUCCUAUAUUUAACAUGAUCAUUGAGAAUUUCACCCUCAUUAGGAGAAAUUUUUCAUUGUAACGAGAACACACGUGGUAAACCACGUGUCAUUGUGUAAGUGGUGGAAAAUUUUAUUUUUUAAGCUAUUACCUUUUUAACACACAUAUGAUAUAUCCUACCAUUUAUACAGUAACACGUGGUGUACCACUUCGUAUGCCGGUCACUCUGAAAAAUCUCUCCCUCAUCAGAAAGCAAUUUGAGAUUUUGCUCCAUAGAGAAAGUGCAAGGUUGUGAUCCUAAAAGACCCACAUCAUUGAGAAUAUCCAACAAGCAUUUCCUUUGUGACAUAAAAAUCCCCCUUUUUUAACACGCCAUUUCUAUGCCCAAAAAGUAUUUUAAAUUACUAAGAUCUUUGCUAUAGAACUUGGUAUUUAAAAAAUGUUUUAGACUAUUAAUUGCAGUUGAAUCAUUUUCUAUAAUCAAAAUGUCGUCAACAUAAAUAAGGGGUGAAGUAAAUGACUUGCCUUUGUGUUUAGUGAAAAGCGAAUAAUUUGCUUUUGAUUGAACAUAACCGGCGAACCGAAUGGCUUGCGAAAACUUGAAAAAUCAUUGUCGAGAGACUUGCUUCAAACCAUAAAGUGAUUUAUUGAGGCAACAUAUCAGUUUCUCCCCCUAUCGGCGAAGAUUGAAAGGUGGGACCAUGUAUAUUUCCUCCAUGAGAUCACCAUGAAAGAAGGCAUUAUGAACAUCCUAUUGAUGUAAAGACCAUGAAUAGGCGGUGGCAAGAGCAAUAAGGCAGCGGAAUGUGACCAGUUUGACAGUAGGGGAAAGAUAUCAUGAUAAUCAAUACCCUUUGAGUGUACCUCUUAGCGACCAAAUGAGCUUUGUAACACUUAAUACCAUUGGAUUAGUACUUGACUUUGUAGACCCAUUUGCAACCAAUGAGUGAUACUCCAUAUGUUGUUAGCCUUGAGAGCUUGGAUUUUGUCAUCCAUGACUUGAUUCCAUUUAGGAUAUGUGCAAGCUUCUGCUUAUGUGGUUGGCUCCAUAUGGUAGAAAUACUAGCAAGAAAGGUAGAAUAUAGGGGCAACAAGUGGAUACCUGGUACUGGAACUGGAAGACGAGGGCGUAAUGGGGCAAUGUAAGAGAGGGACAAACAUAGUCACUGAGCUUCGCAGGUGGAGUUAUGAGGCGAUUACAUCCUCGUAAAGGGAUAUCAGAGAGCUAGUCAUCAGGCUGCAUGGUAGGGAGCUGAUCAUCAGGCUGCGUGUCAGGGAACUAAUCAUCAAGCUUCGUGAUAGGGGCAAGGUGCUCAUCAGGUGACUACAUGUUAGAAAGCUGAUCAUCAGGAGCAAUAUCAACAGAUGUCUCGACAUUUUGUAGGGCAUUGGUGGGGUCAUGCAGUUUAUGAGAUAGUGAGCAAGGCUCAAUGCAUGGAUUGAAUAUAGGUGUCUGAUAGCUAUUUGUAAGGGGAUUUAAUUCUUUUUGGCCAUGAUAGGGAAACAAAUCCUCGUAAAAAACAUCUCGACUCGUAAAAAUAUGUUUGGAUUGAAGAUCAUAUAAUUUGUAUAUUUUUGUCCUAAAAGGUACCCAAUGAAAAUUCAGGAGGGUGCCAUCAGAUAAGCCCACGGUAGGCAAUGGUGGUUUAAAUGUUGCUUGGGCCAAUGGAAGACCUGAAACGUGGUAUGUUGCACCACUGUCUAAUACCGACUCGUUAGAAACCCUACCUGCAGCGGUGACUGCGUGGGCUUUGCUUUCCAGGCCUACCUUAUGGCUCAUCAGCGAUAAAAGUUACUGGAACUGCUUUUGAAUAAGGUUGGGCAUCAUGUCAGCACACCCUGUGGAUUAAAUGUUGUUGACCAAUGAAACCCCCCUCUGGAACUGUUACCUUUAGUUUUCUUUUUGUGAUCGCCAUCACAGGUUUCUCUGGAUUUUCCAUGAAGACAAUGACUAGGCAGAUAAUCGUGAAGUAUUUCCAGCAGGUGUCAAAGGUGUGAUGGUCAUGGUCACAGUACAAACAGUGGAAAGGUUUACGUUCUAUCGAUCGUUCCUUGCCAUUAUUGGAUGAAGACUGCACCGCCAUGGCUGCGGGUUCAAUCAAGGCUUGCACAAUGGUUAUGCCUCAUUGCUUCUCUUCCUGAUAAAAGAGAGAAUAGAUCUUGCAAAUGAACAGAAGGGUUGCAUUGUUGAAUAUCUCACUUCUAACUCAUCAUUGCUAGCUCAUCAAAACAGUUGUAAAUGAUUGGAUGAUGUAAUAGUUAGUUGAAAAAGUUAGUUAGAGUUUGUUGCUCAAAGCUUAUGAGCUAGGUCCUAUAGGCUAUAUAGUCAACUAUAUAUAGCUGUCGUAAACAUGAUCUUUUGUCAUGAUCUUAUCAAACAUGAAGCACGUGAUUCUGUCUCAGGUUUCUUUUGGGUAAAUGAUAUGGCAGGGUCUUGAAGCUUGAUUCAAUUGUGGGAGGCAAGUUAUGGAAAAAUAUUGAUGUGCUCAUCUUUAACACUUGGCAUUGGUAGAAUCGUAGAUGACCCUCUCAAUCGUGAACAUAUCUUCAAUUUGGAGAAACAGUAAUGUGUUGGCAACCAGCAACAUCUUCAGUUUGGAUAAACAGCACUGGAGCUGUAGAAUCAGCCGAUCGAGGAUCACCUUCAGUUUGGAUAAAUAACAUUGUUUUGAGACCAACUGGUUAUCUAUCCAAGUUUUGGCCAUCAAAGAUUUCCGAAUCUUUGUUGGAAGAUGUCAUCUCAUUAGCCUUCUAGGUAAAGUGAGGUGUUACAAGGUUACGACAUUCGGCACACUGAAAGUCAAAUACUUAUUGAACUUCGCAGAACUAGUAGCCUUGUCUUCAGACUCCAGAACCCAAAGGUCAAUAUGUGUUCCAUCCUCGACUGCAGUCACAAGAUUCAGAAGUCAUUAGCGCGCCUAACACCACAUUAACAUUCAUUCACUCCCCGGCCAAGCUCGGCCAACGAGUUGGCACGCCUUACAUUCAACUAAAGGAUGUAGUUAGCUUAUUAGCUAUUCGGCCUAUACACCACGUAGGCUAAGUAGUUUUUAAGGUGAACACCAUGGCAUCAAUCAAAUUAAUAGUCUCUUAUUUUCUCUUUUUUUUUUUAAUUUUAAUUUUAGUGGCAGUGAGUGGCAUGAACCAAGGGCAAGAAGAUGUGUAGGGCAGAAUGAGCCUUUGCUUAGGUCGACCUAUCCAGGAGCUUUGCCACCAGCUCUGGGUGCGCUGAGGAAUGUGUUAAGCACAAUAAAAAAGCUCGUGACAUUGCAAGAUAUAACAAGCCUCUCACUCAUGCGUAAAGAUGGACAUCCUUCAAUCUAUGGACUGGGAGGCCAAUAACUGCAAGCAAGGAAUGGAUGACAAUGGUAGCAAUAGCUGCAACAGGCCAACAUAUAAAAAUAGGAUAUUACUAGAGAAACUAAAUUUUUUAAAUUAAAUUUCAAACCAAAUGAUUUGUCAACAAUAAGAAACAAGUACGUUAAUAGACACUUAAUUAAUAAUCCAAUCAUCUACAACCACAUCAUUUAGUUUGCAAAUUUGGUUUUAAAAAAUUUAGUUUUCCUAGCAUUACUCUAUCCAUAAAGAUAACAUCUAGGGAAACCCAAUCGGUGAAGUAUAGCAAACAACUAUUCACUAAGGAAUGAGGAUCCUCUUCGAAUCCAUUUUGUGAGGAUCUCAAGAAUCAUUCAAUCACGUCUGUUCAUCGUACAUCGUGUGGUAACAAUUAUUGUAAAUUUUUUUAUUUAAAAUUAAAUAUAAAUAAUACCUGAUGAAAACUGGUAAUGUACAAUGAACAGACAUGAUUUGAGGAUUGCCGAGAUUCUCACAAAAAUUAUCCGGAAAGGACCCCCAUUCUUCACUAAGGAAUAAACUAGAAAUUAUAAUAUUAAAAUGCAUAAUGGUUACCAAGCAAGCAAAUUUAUUGGGACUUGGAUUGUUUGCCUCCCCAUCCCAUACCCUCCAUAUGCCCUUAUAUUUCUAUGGUCAUGGUUAAACCACGUUAACAUUUUAUAUUUGCAUUGCUUUUUGUUUUAUUAUUUUUAUAAAAAAAAUUAAUAUAAAAUAUUGACGUGAUUUAACCGUGACCACAAAAUAUAGGAGGGCAUGAGAAAUGUAUAGAAUGGGGGAGGACAGACAAUCCAAGUCCAAUUUAUUGGCCUUGAAGUACCCAUGCCUGCAGAAGACAGAACCCAAAGUAACUCGGGAACUCAAACGUGGCCAAUUCAUCCAAGCAAAACAAUUAAAGCAUCCAAGGAGCCGAAACGACAUCCCAUUACAACCAUUAAACAUCAAGGAGAAUGGAAAACAUAUGAACUUUUUUUAUGAUGCUUUAUGAAUGAUGAAUUGAAAUAUAAACGGCUCAUACCUUUGAAAAAAAAGAAUUACAAAAUGAAAACCACAAAAAUUGUGUUAAAAUGUGUGUCAAAUAUAUGAGGAUGUGUAUAUAUAUGCACACCCACAUAUACACACACACACUUAAACGUGUAGCACUGGGUAUAGGUAGCAAAAGGCCACUUGUGAUGAGUGCUUGAUUCUAAAAUGUAGUAUUUCUCUCAAACAUUUGACUAUUACUUUAGUCAUGGAAUGCUGAUCAAAAUGCAAUUAAAUAGUAUCACUUAGAAUCAUAACUCUUGGCUUAUAGUAUGAAAAAAUAACAGAACAUUUGUAUAUUGCUUGCAAGUAAUUAGCUUCAGUUAGUCAACUCCAGCAACUUGAUUAAGAAAGCAUGUACAUAGAGCUGCGCAAUUACCAUGUCCACAUUUCCUGAUCAGGAAAUUUCCCAUGCUUGGCUUAGUUGAAAAUAGCAGAUAAGUCAAGAGUGUAUUUUAAAUUACUGUUACUUAAUUAUUCUAAAGUUCAUAAUCAAUAUUAAUUACUAGCAGCUUAUUAUAUACUGUUGUCAAAAUCGUGAGUUGGACUGUUGGUAAGGGUUUUUAAUUAGGGAACUUUAACGAAAAGCACCCGGUACUGUUCAUUUUAACGAAAAACCACAUUUUUACACUAAAAAGUCAAUUUUGGUACUAUUCACUUUACCUUUUAUUUUGUCCUUAUCAUUAAAACUCAAAGUUUUCAAGCUCUUUUCAUUAGUUUUCCUUUUUAAUUAAGCUGACUUUGGGCCCCAAAUAAUAAAGUGUCGACAUAAUACCUGUUACUUCAACAACAACGAAUAUGAAAAAAAAAAAACCCUUGAUUGUCAGUUGCUUGUUGUAAAUAUAAUUUUUUAUGUAAUCUUUCGUUUUCUUCCUGCUUACGUCCAUUGUCAGCUAAACAUCAGCUCUUUGUUUUUGUUGUUAAAAAACGGCUUUCUAAUAUUAUAGAAUUCCCACUUGAUCUAACAAUUGGGAUAAUUAUUCGAAAGAAAAAAAUACAAUUGAGAUAAUUAUAACAAAUCAUCUCAACUAUUUGCAGUUUUACUUUAAAAAAAAAAAAAUCUCACAUACGUCUCAAUCAUCCAUAAUGAUCAGAUGACUAAAAUUUCACAUCCGUCUCGAACAACCAUUUAUGUUAAAAUUGACUAAAAUGCAAAAUUCUCAUAUAUUAGAGUCUUUAAAUUGGAUCCUCACUACAGAAUGUCACUUGGUUGUGUAUGCGUAUCUUUAGCUGAAUCUGGCCGGCCACAGGUAUCGGUCAAAAAAACAGGUUUUCAAAAUCUGUUUUUUAUGAUAUUGUUCUACUAGAAUUUGUCUUUGAUUAGUAUUGUCCAUAGACUAUGUUCGAGAGAGCUCCCAAACUUGACCUCGGGAGGCGUUCAGUGUUUCGUGAUACAAUAAUAUAGUCCAUACAAAUUUUCUUGCUGAUUAUAUUCCACAGUAUGAUCCAAUACUUUUUGGUAAUUUAGGUCAUGAUUAUCAAUUCAAUAACUCCCACCUUAUACCUUUAAAGCCAAAAGUAACAUAAGGGGCAGAUCCGUGUUAUCACAUUUUUACACAACUUUUUAUUCUUAUUUUUCGUGAGAAUCAUUCUGUAAUGUAUUUCAAUAAUCCGAACGUCUAUCUUUUAGGUUUUUCUUCAAAUAUCAUGUAUACCAAGAAUCACCUAAAUAUGAAAUCAUAUGACUGUUGAAUGUCUUCACAGUUUUAUAUUUGUCUAAUUUUUUACAAGAAUCAUCCAUGAAUGAUUUUCUAAAAAAAUAGACGUUCAAAUCGUUAAAAGUACAUUACAAAUUUGACCCCACAAAACCUGUGUAAAAAAUUAUGUAAAAAAAAUAGUGCCACGGAUUCGCUAUAUAUAUAUAUAUAUAUAUAUCCAUACAUUUUUUUUACUUCUCACAUACCUCUUAUUAAUUUCUGUCCUUUGAUAUAUAUAUAAAAAAAAUCUUCUUCAAUUCAUCCAAUCCGAUGGCCGAAAAUUAAAAGUGUGUGAGAAGUAAAAAGAAGUGUGUAAAUAGCACACAUCAUCUAAAAAACCAUUAACGAACGGGCCUGUAAUUCCAAAUUUACAAGUUUUUACUCCCAAAAGAGACAGAGCUUAUUAAUUUUGAAUUUUUUUAAUUUUCUGAUUGACUUGGGGUUGGGGUAAGUACGGAAUAUAGCGCUUGAUCUGUUGAAAUGUCCCACAUCGACCGUAUCAAUGAAAAAAGAAGAGUUUAAAUACCCUAAUCUCACUUUAACUAAUACCGAGGUCUUCUGUAAUAAAACCACAUAUCUGACGGAUUGUGCAUAUGGUAAUUACCAAGUUGGGGACAAUAUCGGUGUUGUUGGAAGUGGGCCGUGUGGUUCGUCUCUUUGAUAAUUCUACAUGGUAUCAAAGCCAAGAAGCUGGCAUGUACCGUACUGCCACGUGAUUGGUGGGUCCCCUUGGCCCCGCGCGAUGAUGGUGGGUCCCUUGGUCCCGCGUGUAGAGUGAGUCCUCUUGACUCCACGUGGUUGUCGAUGUGUGGAUCUCCCACGUGUGACCUGGUAAUUGGGUCCCACAUGAGGGGGGUGUUGAAAUGUCCCACAUCGACCGUAUCAAUGACAAAAGAAGAGUUUAAAUAUCAUAAUCUCACUUCAACUAAUACCGAAGCCUUUUGUGAUAAAACCCCACAUCUGACGGAUUGUGCAGGUAGUAAUUACUAAAUUGAGGACAAUAUCGGUGUUGUUGGAAGUGGGUCGUGUGGCCCAUCUCUCUAAUAAUUCUACAUGAUCACGGCUGAAUAGUCAAUUGGGUCCCACGUGAGGGGAGUGUUGAAAUGUCCCACAUCGACCGUAUCAAUGACAAAAGAAAAGUUUAAAUAUCAUAAUCUCACUCCAACUAAUACCGAAGCUUUUUGUGAUAAAACUUCAUACCUGACAGAUUAUGCAGGUAGUAAUUACUAAAUUGAGAACAUUAUCGAUGUUGUUGAAAGUGAGCCGUAUGGUCCAUCUCUCUAAUAAUUCUACAUGAUCACGGCUGAAUAGUCAAUUGAUCGUAUCAUAUACCAACGAACCUUUGCUUUUGAUUGAGUAGUUGUGAAGAAGUCAAGGUCGUGUAAGAUUAAUUUUCAAACUACAAUUAUUUAGCCUUCUAUCAUUCUGUGCCAUUCAUUUGUUUUAGCUAAAUGUAGACAUGCACUUAAUUUCAUGCCCGACUUUUAAAAAUGAAUAUGACUUUUCUCUUUAAUUUGUCGUGUCACCGGUUUAAAAGCUCCGAUCUUCACAGUGUAGCUUAGAUUAUUAAUAAUAACAUCGAUUGUAAUAAAAAUAUAUAUAUAUUCUCAAAACACAAAAAGGGUUAUUAAUAAAAAUAUAUAUAUUCUCAAAACACAAAAAGGGUUAUUUUUUUCAUUUUCAGAUUAUGUUGGACACGGAAUAGGAUCCUCUGGAUUUGUGGGGAUCUGAAAGAUCAAUUAAAUCGGUGUAUUGAGCAAAUAAUACUAGUUACUUCAACAAAAAAAAAAAAACAGUUACAACUAAUUAUUUUUGAUCGUCAGUUGCUAGUUACAAAUAUAGCUAAUGUCCUGUGACCUCGUAAUAUUUUUAUGAAAAUUUUCAUUUUCUUUGUCAACUAAAAAAAUACUCUUUAUUUUUGUUGUUAAAAAACAACUUUCCAAUAUUAUAGAAUUCCCACUUGAUCUAACAAACGCAUCAAAAUGAUACCUGAAAUUGAAAAUUGAUCAAUGUCGUCUAUGAAUAUGGAGAUUGUUGUCGGUGGCUAAGUUCAAAGAAGAAGGAGAAGAUGAGGAUUAUUAGUUUGUUGUUUUUCUUCUUUUUACCUUUUAAAUUUUUUGAAACACUUUAUUUAAUCCAUAUGUUAUCAUAUUAUUGGAGUGCAGAGUCUUAUGUGUGUCACAUAAACACAUAAUAGAUUUUUUUAACAGAAAUAAGACAGAAGACGACAUUGAUUUGCAACACCCAUAUUCAGGGACGAUAUUAUUCAAUUUUCAGCUUCAGAUAUCAUCUUGAUGUGAUGGGUCAAUUUCAGAAACCACUUAUAACAAAAAUGUAAUAUAAUAUAAUAACGUAAGUUUAACAAGUCACUACCUGUGAAACCAGUCUUUUUAACAUGUUACUAAGGAGCCUAUCUAUUGUCAAACGAUAAGAUAAUUAUAUUAAAUUUAACUAAAUUACGGCAAGUGGAAUUCAAACUUGGUGCAUAAUAAAACACAGUGAUGUAACUAGCUUGGCUAAACUAAAAUCUUCUAUUUUAAAUUAAUUCUUUUACAAGUAAUUUAUGUAAAUGUAUCUUUAAUUAUAUAAAUAAUUAAAUAAAAAUAAAUAGAGUAAGUGGUUGGGAACAAGGUCUAAAAUAUCGAUAUUAUCCCGAUAUUUCCAUCGAAAUUUUCAUGUUUUUGGACUAUCGAUAUUUUCGAUAUCAUCAAUAUUUUAGACCUUGAUAGGAACUCUAUGUGGUACUAAGUCACUCAUGUAUCUUACCAUGCAAUGUAUAAAGUGUAAAAUAUUGUACUAAUUCAUUAUAUAUAAAUGAUUAUGGUGUGUUUAAACUUCUUUCAUUAAUUACUACAUAUUUUUACACUCACAAUGUUUGCCAGCUCGCUAUAUAAUUAACUUAAAUCAGUUAAAUCCAUCAUGCAAUGCAUUUCUUUCCAAUUUUUUGUGAUAAACUAAUAGAUAAUUGACUAAAUAAACAUCCUGCAAAGUUUUAAUAAAAAUUUCCAAGUUUUUCUUAUAAUUUCCGUGGUUUUUAUUCAAUUUUUAUCGAUAUCGAUAAUAUCCCGAUAUUUCCAUCGAAAUUUCCGUGUUUUUGGACUACCGAUAUUUCCGAUUUCAUCGAUAUUUUAGACCCUUCUUGGGAAUAAUAUAUAUUUUUUCCUUUCUUGUUUGGUCUUUGGUUUUAAGGAAAAUUAAUGAAAAUGACUUGAAAACUUUGAGUUUUAACAAUAAUGACAAACUAAAGGGUAAAGUGAAUAGUAUCAUGAUUGACUUUUUAGUAUAAAAAUAUGAUUUUUCGUUAAAAUGAACAGUACCACAAGCUUUUCGUUAAAAUUCCCUUAGUUUUAAGGGCAAGGUAACACAAGUCAUUGACUUCCGUUUGUGUCCUUCGAGGUCCACUCCUUCCCUCCCCUCAAGGGAAUAAAAACCUGUAAUUCAGACUCAUUCUCCUCACAAAUCCUUCUUUCUUCGCUACUCUAAAAAAAUUUCAUACAUACAAUCCAACAAAUUCCAAAACCUCUCAACAUAUUCCAUCCAGCUAGCUGCACAAACUGAUCCUUUUGUCUCUGGUUUUGUCUUCAAAUGUGAAAGACUUUGCCUAGAAAAAUGAUGAAUAUGUUCUUCCCUCGACUUCUUCCUCAUUCUCUUUUCUUUGUAGCUUGCUUUGUAACUUUUGCCUUUGGAGCUGCUCGAUUGCCAAAUGAUGAAGGUACGAGUAAUUCACCUCAAUAUCUCUAUGUCAAAUAUCUUCCUUAGUUUCCUCUGUUUCAUUCUAUAAAUGAUAGUUUUAAGUUCGUUUGAUAAUUUUUUUAAUUUUCAAUUCUUUUUGAGUUCUCAAAUUUUGGUUUGGUUUUUCCGAGAAGUGAAAACAGUUACCAAUGAACUAAAAAUUAAAAUGGUUAUCAAAUGAACCUUAGGUAAACAGAUAUUUGUGUGAACUUAGUAGAAAUUUUCAAUCAUAUAAGGUGCACUCUGUAGUUCUUGUCUAUGCAUCAAUUUUUUUUUUUUACUAUUUUGUUGAGCACGAUGUUAAUUUGUUGCCUUUUAUUUUGCGUAUAUGCAGUGCAAAUUUUGAAAGACAUAGCAAAGACACUGGGGAAGACGGACUGGGAUUUCAGUGGAGAUGCAGAUCCAUGCAGCGGCCAACUUCCAUGGGCUGAUCCAAGCGCACCCAAAGGAUUAGAGAAUGCCAUCAGCUGUAAUUGCUCCUACGAAAACUCCACCGUCUGCUAUAUUACCAGCAUGUAAACCUCUCUCACUCUCUCUCUCUCUCUCUCUCUCUCUCUCUCUCUCUCAAAAAUAAACAUGGCCGGCUCAGAACUCAGUGAGAUUUUUCAAUGUGAUGGUAUAUCACGUGACACGAUAUAAAUGGUGAGUAACUUGUAUUAAAAAAUUAACACAAUUUGAAACAUAAAACUUUUUUCACUUAUAUAACAACACGUAGUGUAUCUUCCGAAUAUAAUGAAAAAUUUGUUUUCAUCUCACAAGCUAAUACCAAAUAAUCUUAUCGGAAUUUUGUGAUUUAAAUUGAUGGGCAUUUAUUGGUCCACCCCCCGGGGCCCAAUCUAGGGAUAUUUUGAUAUUGCCGCCUCAUUUUUUAUUUCUUUUAAGAAUUUGAUUAAACAUUUUUUUAUACAAUUUUAUUAGAGGCACGUUUGGUUUUAUUAGUACAUUUGAUUUUAUGGACAUUUUGUUUUCUGGUACAUUUGGAAUUUAAACGUAACAAAAGUUGGUAUGUUUGUUUUUAAGUGUACCAUAACUUUUAAAUACAUUUUCUAUAUAACUAGUUAUACGUAAAAUUUUAAUAAGAUUAAAGAAGUUUUUUUAUGAAAAUAUUAAUGAAUUUUUUUAAUGAAAGAAGAGACUAAUUAAAUAUAAUAAAAAAAAUAAAAAGUUAUUUUUUUUAUAAUGAUAAUGAGGAAUUACUGAAAUUAAUAUUUUAAUGAAGCCAUGAAUUUAAAAUUCCUAGAUUGUAGGAAAUAGUUGUUAGAUAGUUUAAGUGAAUAUAUAUAUAUAUAUAUAUAUUAAAUAAAUAAAUAAAUAAAUGUUGAGUUGGAAAUUAAUCAAAACAUCUUAAUCAAAUUUUGUAAAAGAACAUAUGUUUAGUCUAAACAAGUUGAAAAAAAUGGAGGGAAUUCUUAAUUCUUUGUCUUCAAUUUAUUUGACACAUAAUAUGCACAUGAGAUUAUUGCGUUAGUAAACACCAAUUUAAGUACUUAAUGUGAUAAAGAGACAUAAGUUGGAAAAUAAACGUUUGGUUAUAUAGAAUUGUGAAUGAUUAACUUAUUUCUUAAGCGAUAAAAAAUUGCUCAUUAUAUUUUUCUUUUCUGGAUAAACAGUUUGUUCGUUGUGUUUUGAACGAGUUCCAUCUCAUGCAAUAUAUAGAAAUAUUACGAGAAAAAUAAAGAAAAAUUUGAGAAAAGAAUUAGCCAAUUAGGUGCUUCAUUAGUCGAAUAACUUGACUAAGCAAAAACAAUGUACAGAUUAGGCGCCUUUUGUUGUGAAAGGUUGAGAAUGAUAAGAUCAAAGUUUUUCAGUCUUUGUUAUAUCAAUCAUAUUAGAGAAGAAAAAAAAAAUAUAAGAAAGGUCUACGUCCACGUACCAUCCAGUCGACAUUAUAUAAUAUCUACAUGAAGACUUUGCAUUUUAGGUCAAUGAAUCUGAAUGAGCAGAAAUUUCUGUAAGUACUCGGUAUUCAAGCGAGUAAUUUAAGUGUUAUAAAUGAGCGAAGAAAUACAAAAAAAAAAAUAUUAUUAUUUGUAUUAAGAUAUGUGGUGUACUCUUUGAAAAAAUCUAUUCUCAAUGAGCACUUUCUAAUACUUUGUUAGGUUAGAUGUUAAAUUAGCUAGUGGCAUGAUUUGAACUCAUGUCGUCAUACAAAGCCUCAACACUUUUUCACCACUAUGGUAAAGAGUUACGAGUCACUUGCAUCCUACAGGGAAAAUUAACUAGCAUGUAGACUACUAUGCGAAAAAUAAGGGUUAAUCUCAGUUUACUACCUUGAAGUUUCGUGAUUUUCAACAUUUGAUACAUGAAGUUUUUUUCAUCACAGAGUCAUAUCUCAAGUAUUAAUUUUGGAACAGUAUCAUACAUUCAUUAAGUUGGCUGUUAAGUCACAGAGUCAUAUCUCAAGUAUUAAUUUUGAAACAAUAUCAUACAUUCGUUAAGUUGGUUGUUAAGUCAGCCGUUAACUGAUGACGUGACAUCCAUAUAGAUAAUAACUAAGCUCCACGUGUAAAUAUAGGCCAUAUAAAUAUUUAAAAAAUUAAAAAACUAAACAAAUAAAAAUAUGGCCUAUGGAUGCGGGCCUUCCCUUUCCUCCACCCGCACCAACUCUUUAUCUUCUUCUCUUCGACAGCCACCAGAGCUGAUCUGAAAAUCAGCACAACCUCGAAAUUUAAGCCCUAAUUCAACCUAAAUUUCAGAUAGAAGGGCUGGAUUAGUCCAUUAAUCUAAGCGUACGAUCCAAAAUCCAGUUCCCAAUUGUGUUCCUUUCCUCAAUAAACAGCCAGAGGGCUCAACGAAAUGAAGAAAUUACAAAGAGAUGUAUAGAAAACGCACCGUUUUGGAGGUAGGGGCCGUACUCGGUGGCAGAGAGGUGCAUCUUGAUAUAGUCGAGGGUCUCGCACUGGCAAAAGUUGUUGUAAUCAGCGGCGAGCGGUGACCCUGCACUAUGGCCUCCAAGUACCCGCCGUGAAUGUUGAAGAUCAUCGCUUCGAAUCCGUACACUUUCGCUGAAAUUUUGAAAAUUUACGCGAUCUGCCACUGCAUGAUCCGAAAAAUUGAACGUCUCGCGGGAGAGAGAGAGGAAGGGGACGAUCGGGGAACCAGAAACCCCCUUCUGCAGCGAAAUCAAUGGAAACCCUAGCGAUUUGCAGACGGAAGCUGAAAUCUGGAAAUUAACCGCGUGGGCGCCAAUGGAAACCCUAUGGGCUAUGGCUUUCUACUCUGGUUUGAAAUCUCCGCGAUGAAUGCCUCGUUGUUGUUGUCGACGGAGAAGAAAGAGAGAGAACCCAGGCCGUGGUGGUGCAGAUUUUCAGAUCAGCUUUGGUGGCUGUCGAAGAGAAGAAUAAACAAAACUUCAUAAUAAUAAACUGAGAUCGUUCCGAAAAAUAAAGAAAAAGUUGAGAAAAUAGCUUGACUAAGCAAAAGCAACGUACAGCUUAGGCGCCUUUUGUUGUGAAAGGUUGGGAAGGACAGGAUCAAAGUUUUUCAGUCUUUGUUAUACGAAUCACCUUGUAUAAUAUCUACGUGAAGACUUUUUUAGGUACUCGGUAUUCAAGUGAAUAAUUGAAGUGUUAUAAAUGAGUGAAGAAAUAUAAAAAAAAAUGUUAAUUUUCCAUUAUAUUAUGAUAUGUGAUGUGUUGCUUGAAAAAAAAAAGAGUAAUGUUAUUCAUACUAUAUUUUUGUACCAUAUUUUCAUACCAUCUUAGGUGGUAUUUGAUGUGGACAACCAUAUCAUUUGAAUUAAUCUGAUUUUUAAAUUUAGUUCAUUAUUUAAUAAACUAAUAAUUAAGAAAAACUAAUUAAUUAAAUAAUAAUUGUGGUAUACGAGGAGUUUUUCUCCUUCAUUUUCUUGGGUUUUGCAAAUUUUUCAAAUGAUGUGGCUGUCCACAUCAAAUGCCACAUAAGGUGAUAUAGAAAUGUGGUAUAAAAAUAUGGUAUGAAUAACAUUACUUGAAAAAAAAAUCUCUUCUUAAUAAGCGCUUUCUCCUAUAGAGAAUAGAUUUUGUUAGGUUAGGUGUUAAAUUAGCCAGCGAUCGGGUUUGAACCCACGUCGUUAUGUAAGAACUUAACUUUUCACCAUUGUAGUAAAUAACCACUUGCCUCCUACAGAGAAAAUUAACUAGGCAUGUAGACUAAGUGAGAAUAAUAACUAGGGCUGGUUCGGUAUGGGAUACCGAACCGAAAAUGACAUACCAAAUCCCGAACCGAAAAUUUUCGGGACUGGAAUAAGAGGACCGAUACCAACCGAAACUUCGGGAUUCCCAAAUUUCGGUAUUCCCAAAAAAAUUUCGGUAUUUCGGGAUUUCCCGAAACCGAACUUGCAUUGAAAUCCAAAUCAACUAAUUGAAAUCGAAAACAUUCGAACCUGCAUGAAAACCCCAAAAUGAAAUCAGAGAAGUGACAGUGAAUCAGUGAAGAUUGAUGGGAGAUAGAGAGACAGAGUGAAGAGAUAGUUCGUCCUCCUCCUGACCCGAGCCCCUAAUUCGAAACCCUAAUCCCCAAUUCGAAACCCUAAGCCCCAAUUCGAAACCCUAAUUUGAAACCCCACAUAGAGAAUCAAUGGAGAGAAUCGGAGGUGGGGAUGAAGCCGUGAUGUGUAGUGGUGGCCGGAGGGGAGAGAGUUCAUCGGAGUGAGACUGUGAGAGGGUGGUGGCUGCUAGGCUUCGAAUUCGAGAAGGAGAGACAGAGAGAAUCUGAGACUAAGUGAAGGGCCAAAGAUGAGAAAUGAGAGAGAGUAAGUAUGGAUGUGUCGGCUUGGGUUUGAAUUGAGUUGAAGGAAUGUUUUGGUGGCUUCGCCUUUCUGGGUUGCAAAGCAGAUGGAGAUAAUGAGAGAGAGAGAGAGAGCGAGAGCAGCAGACAGCACCCAUGUGCUUUGAUAAAACUUCAAACGCCAGGCACACAAUCAUAUCCUUAUCCCCACACUUAAGUUAUUUUAAUAAUAUAAAUAGGCCAUAUACAUAUAUUCCAACAUAUAUAUAACAAUAGGGUUUAAAGUUCGGUUCGGGAUGGGAAUACCGAACAAUUUUAAGUGUGAGACCGAAUCCCAUACCGAAAAAUUCGGGAUCGGUUUGGUUUUGGUACCAAAAUUUUCGGGAUUUUCGGUAUGGUUUCGGUAUGAUUUGGGAUUUUCGGUAUUUUUUUCCACCCCUAAUAAUAACUUACAUUGAACGAGUUAAAUAUCAUAAAAUUUUACACUUAAAAUUUAGUUCAUUAUUUAAUAAACUAAUAAUUAAGAAAAACUAGUUAAUUAAAUGAUAAUUGUAGUAUACGAGGAAUUUUUCUUCUUCCUUUUCUUGGGUUUUGCAAAAUUUUCAAAUGAUGUGGCUGUCCACAUCAAAUGCCACCUAAGGUGGUAUAGAAAUAUGGUAUAAAAACAUGGUAUGAAUAACAUUACUAGAAAAAAAAUCUCUUCUUAAUGAGCGCUUUCUCAUACAGAGAAUAGAUUUUGUUAGGUUAGGUGUUAAAUUACCCAGCGAUCGGGUUUGAACCCACGUCGUUAUGUAAGAGCUUAACUUUUCACCACUGUAGUAAAUAACCACUUGCCUCCUACAGAGAAAAUUAACUAAGUGAGAAUAAUAACUUACAUUGAACGAGUUAAAUAUCAUAAAAUUUUACGUUUAAUCAUAUUUUAAUACGUGUAAAUUUUUGUUAGCAUGAUAUAUAAUAUUAUAACAAAAAUAUUAAAAAUAAUAAAUUUGUUCGAUGUAAACUGAUCACAAGUGUGUGAGGAGAGAUGUUUUUCUUUCAAAAAAAAAGAUUAGCUGAUAGUUUCGUCAUGACAGGAGUCGAAAAAACUAGUAGAGAUAGCGAGGAGAGAUGUUGAUUAGAUGGUUGGAAUUCGGUUUUGUGGACCCCAUGUCUAUUCGAUAUAUGUAUCAAUCAAUUUUUCUUUUUCUUUUUUUUUUCUGUUAAAAAGUAUCAAUCAAUUUUUCAUUACAUAUCCCCUAACCUAACCCCAUGCCCAUGAAACCUCCAAAAUAAAGUAGGAAUUAUAAGGCUUAGUGUGGGCCUCAUCGAGUUGCCUAUUGGCAACUUGGCACGUCGUAUUCACUCAUUCAACCUUAUGUCGAGCAAGGUAGCUAGGCCGAUUGAUUUCAAUUGGAUUUGAGAGUUGUUAGUUUAAUAGCAAAGUCGAGCUCGUUUGUUUCUUUGUGAUUUUCUCACGCCCCGACCGUAGUUUUGGAGAGAUUUUUUAGUGUGCUAGGAGUACGAUCCGGUAUAUCAAGUAUUAUAAUACAAGUAGUUAUAUACUUGAAAUUUUUUUCCAACUGCUUAUAUUAUGACACUUAGUGAACCAGAUUUGUUUCCCCCGCACACAAAAUUUCUCCUACCUUUGGGGCGUAAAAAUUUUAAAGCUCUUAUUGUGUAUGUAAAACAAGUAAAUGUUGCUACCGUUUAGAGCUAUGAAAAGUGACUACCACUCGUCUUUUUCUCUUCAUGCACACUAUUGAUUUCUGGCCUUUGACGAAUCAAGGGGCAUGAAUAAAACCAAAUUAUGCAAUAAUCAUUUUCAUAAAGCUAUAAGUUAUUCUUGGCAUGCAAGUUGGAUUGAAAAUUUCGAUUUUAACCAAUUCUGUUCUUGUCGGUUUACGAACAAAAAAUAUGAAGCAAAUUGGAACGCAUCUUAAAAUUAGGCCGCCUUUGCCAUUGUUACACAGUUACUAAUUUGUGAUCCAUCAUUGGGUAUAAAGUCAAUAUAAUUCUGAUAUAUCUAGACACUAGUGGGGUUUCCAUUUUCCCAAAUCCUUUACCCUCUAGAUUUUUAAUUUUUCUUCAACCGGCAACCAAUUGGAAGUUUUUCUUGGUCUAAUAAGACCUUGUUGUGCCUUGACAUUCAAGAAAUGCAGAAAGACUAAUCCAUUUCUUUUAUUGAAUGACCAAUGAAACAUCAAUUACAACCUACCAUGGACCGCAAUUCAAGUUAAGCUUAUCUGCAAAAUCGAGUUCAUGGGAUGUGACAAAUUUGCUCAAUUAUGAUAGCAAUGUGUUUUUGAGCUGGCCAUGAGCCAGCAUAGAUGUUCUGUGGCAUGCUGAGUUGUUAGGACUUGGUAUUACAGCUGUGCUGUAUUUAGGCUUGAUUCUUGCAUACUUGAUCAACGUAUAAAAUUUCGCAGUCACCAUGAUUGUUGCGUACUUCUUAUACACGAACAACUUUGUAUCGGCCUAGUUAUUAGUUACAAAGUCGAUGAAAGAAUGAUUCACAAUAUGCUUGUAACAAAUACACACUUACCGUUUGUGUAAUUCUUCAAGUUCUAUUCUUUGUAAAGAACAUUGGACAUUUUCCUUCGGUUUUAAAGAAAACCAGUUCCUUCUUCCUAUUUAAUUCCCUGAUCAAAAGUAAGUAUUUUCUGUGAUAAAUUAGUGUUUUACCUGUUUGGUCCUAUUUGUGUGGCAGCUUUUCCUUUUAGUCACAGUAUAGAUGUGUAAUAGAUAUCUGUUAAUUUACAACUAAUCUUUGAAACCCUGUUUUCCGAUGAAACACAGAAUUCUAAAAUCCCAAGAUUUGCAAGGAACACUCCCACCAGAGCUGGUACAUCUCACCUAUCUUCAAGAAAUGUAAGCACAUUUUUACCCCUCCAAGUUUACAAUAUUUAAAGUAAAAAGAAAAUAACUAUGUGUCGUGUAAAUGGUUUAUUCUAAUUUCAUAUAUAGCUUACCUUUAUUUCUGUUGUCAAUGAGACAAUAACUGGUUUCCUUCUUUCUCCUUUAGCGACCUCACCCGCAACUACCUGAGUGGUACCAUCCCUCCAGAAUGGAGCUCUCUUCCACUAGUGAACAUGUACUAUCUUCUCUCACACUGCAUACAUUUUUGUGUUUGAUGCUCAUGUCAUGUUCUUGUUACUUUAUUUGGUCACUCCAAUGUUCUUCAGCCAUUUCUUUCUUAAACUAUGAAUCUAAUACAUUGGGUUUUGUUCAUGAUAAUGAGCUUCCGUGGUCAUGAGGUGUUUGAAUCAUAAAUAUUGAAUCGAACACAUGGGGUUCAUUGCCUUCGUAUUGAUGAACAUGUUAAUGUUAUUGAGUCUCUUGCUUGAUAAAAGUGAUCUUAAGAUUAUAGUUUUGAUGCAGAUCCCUUCUUGGAAAUCGUUUGACGGGUUCUAUCCCCAAAGAGCUUGGAGACAUCACCACCCUGAAGAGUUUGUGAGUGUUGAUUGAGCAUUUGUUUCUUGCUUACCUCAUUUGAUUAUGUGGAGAUCCUUAAUGAUGUUUUUUAAUCAAUGGAAUUGAAUUUGUUUGUAUAGGGACAUCAGUUUCAAUAAUUUUUCUGGACCUCUCCCUCAGGAGCUUGGAUCUUGGGCCAACAUAGAAAGAAUGUAAGAGUCCUAUUCAAAUUUUACCGUGUUAAAAAGUACUUGGUUUAUUUGGAAUUUUCUUUCUUAUAGACAAAUUCUGGAUGUUUUCACCAAUAAAUCAUCUACUUCUUUAUCAUUGAUAUAUUGUUAUAUCUGUUUCAUACUUAGGCUGCUUUCCUCAAACAACUUUAGUGGGGAGUUGCCAGAAACAUUUGCAAUGCUUACCAAAAUAAAGGACUUGUAAGCUUCUGUGGUUCUUUCUUCUUAAAGGUUUCCUGAGCACUUAUACAUUUUUUACUGCUUUCUGAUACUAAUUCGUAGUAUUUUCCCUUUUCCAAUCAUUAUGCAGUCGGGUUAGUGACAGUCACUUUUCCGAGCGGAUACCUGAUUUUAUUGAGAACUGGAUAAAUCUUGAAAAACUGUGAGUGUUUUUCUUUUGUGUGUCAUAUUUCUGCUAUAUGAUUCUGAAUAUUAUCUCUAAUUCAUAUGCUAUGACUCGUUGAAACAGAGUGAUUCAAGCUAGCGGUUUGACAGGGCCAAUUCCUUCUGGCAUUUCUCUUUUGACAAGCUUAACUGACUUGUUAGUAUAUCCCGUCUAUAUUUUUAAAUACAAAACGAUUAGCAAAAUGUGUAGUUUAUGUUCAUGGCUCAAUUUUAACAUGCAGGAGAAUCACUGACUUGAGUGGACCUGAAUCACCAAUUCCUUCACUUAAUAAGAUGAAAAACAUGAGGACACUGUGAGUUAAUGGUUCCAUGACACACAAUUUUUGUCUGUACCAGAAGUCUUCUGUAAACUCAAAGCUUUGGUGUCUGUUGCAGGAUGUUGAGGAGUUGCAACCUUAUUGGAAAGCUACCUCCAUAUCUUGCACAAAUGAACAAAUUGAAAACUUUGUAAGUUCAAAUGUCUUAGUCCCUAUUUUUUCCGUCUUCAAAUAAAAAAAAUUCUUCUAGAUGUGAUUCUACUAAUUCAAGAUUUAUUGAAGUGACUUAGACGAUGUUGGGUGGACUUUAUGUUUCUGUAUUUAUUAAGAGAACUUCUCUUUCAGAUGUCAUUUCCCUUUCUGCAGAGAGCACAUCUAAACUGCAUUUGCUAUUUGUUUGUGCAGAGACCUCAGCUUUAACAAGCUGACCGGAGAAAUUCCAAGCAGCUUCGGUAGUCUAGCAGAUGUGGUUUAUAUGUAAGCAAUUGGAAUGACCAAUCUAGUCUUUCUUACAUGGAAUUCAAGCAGACAUUCUUCAAUGGUUUUGUUACACCCCAGCCUGGCAAGCUGGAAGUAUUUCCAAUCACAGUUACUAUAAUUAUGAGUCACGGGUUAUACUGCAAUGAAAAUGAAAACGGCUCUUCUGCUCAGAAAUGAAAUGUUUAGUUUAUUCAUUAGAGUCAUUACUACUCGUGCAAUUAUCUGACAUAAGGUGAUCACCCUUAGAUGUGUCUUUCACAUGGAAGUACUGAUCUAAUGCACUCAGAGUUGGCAAACUCAAAUUUUCAAACCUUUACAAAGAACAAACACUAUUCUCUACUGAGUUUUUUCUGUAUUCAUUAUUUUUAGAUUCUUAACUGGAAACUUGCUGACUGGACCUGUACCUGCUUGGCCAAGAGUCAACGUGUAAGCUUCUCUUCCAAAUGCUACUCUUUAGCUACUAAGGAAAUUUAUGCUGUUUUUUUUACUAAGAUAGAUAUAAAACUAUUAUAUCAAUAUUGAGUUUUGGUUUCAAUAUUUGUUGUAUAUUUCAUUAUGAAGAUUACAAGAGAGUGAAGGCAACUCUUAUAGAGAGCCAAAAGAAAGCUACAAUAGAUUGUAGGAUAACUACACAAACACAAUCCCUAAAAUCUGCCCUAACAAAUGGAAAAGCAAAAACCAAAUUACAAGUAAAAAAGCUUUUACAAACAACUAAGAAAGGUUGAUGUAAGGUGAAUGACAAGGAAAGUGACUGGUGAAUGACAAGCUAUGGAAAGUGACUUUAGCCUAUGACUUAGCUAAAGUGAGGAUGACAACUCAUACAUACAACCCAUCCAUACAAUCCAUACAAACCGGUUUCAAUACACCCCCUCAAGCUGGAUCAAGGGGAUUGAUUGAUCCAAGCUUGCACAACAAACGCUGAAACUGAGUAGAGUCUAGUGCUUUUAUGAAUAAAUCAGCAAGUUGAUCGUGGCUGCAUGUGAACACGGUGUCUAUCACCUUGGAUUGAACUUGAGCACGAAUAUAAUGGCAGUCAACUUCAAUAUGUUUGGUCCUUUCAUGGAAUACUGGAUUGGAGGUAAUGUGCAUGGCAACUUGGUUAUCACAAUACAAGGAUAUAUGUGCCAUGCUUGUGAAUCCGAGCUCGGAAAGAAGACCUUUCAACCAUAUGAGUUCACAGGCUGUUGCUGUCAUAGCCCUAUACUCAGCUUCGGCGCUAGAUCGAGCAUUAAUAGUUUGUUUCUUGCUCUUCCAAGUGACAAGGUUCCCUCCAACAAAUAUGCAAAAACCUGUUGUGGAUUUUCGAUCAAGGGCAUUUUCAGCCCAGUCAGCAUCUGUGUGGGCCAAGAUGUGAUUUGAUCCAUUGUUCUUCAUAAUUAUCCCCCUUCCUACUGAGCCCUUGAGAUAUUGAAGUAUUCUCUUGACGAUUUCCCAGUGAACUAGAGUAGGAGAGUGCAUGAACUGACUGGCUAGGCUAACUGAAUAUGAGAUAUCAAGCCUAGUAAUGGUGAGAUAAAUAAGUUUCCCAACCAUUCACUGAUAAACACUAGGGUCCGAGAGAGGUUCACUUUUUUCAUGCCACUGAAGUUUUCUAGCUAGGGGUGUCCAAGCUGGUUUACAUUCCAUCAUGUUAGCUUCAUCUAGAAGAUCAAGAACAUACUUUCUUUGAUUUAAGAACAAUCCCUUUGAAGAGGUAGCCACCUCAAUUCCAAGAAAGUAUUUCAAGGGCCCCAAGUCUUUAAUGGCAAAUUUUUGGUGAAGUGAUUGCUUAAGCGUCUUUAUUUCACUUAUAUUGUCACCUGUAAUAAUUAGGUCAUCAACAUAUAUAAGCACAACCAAUUUUCCAGCAAUACCACUUCGAACAAACAAAGAAGAGUCAGCAUGACUCCUUUUGAACCCUGCAGCUUCAAGGACUGAACUAAGCAUCGAAUACCAAGCUCGAGGGGACUGUUUGAGACCAUAUAUGGCUUUGUGAAGUCUGCAGACCUUGUUGGGUUCAUUUUCUCUUGGAUGACCAGGAGGCAACUUCAUGUACACUUCUUCUUCAAGAUCCCCAUGAAAAAAAUGCAUUCUUCACAUCCAUUUGGAAUAAGGGCCAUGCAUUAUUGACUGUCACAGACAACAAUACCCUCACUAUGUUCAUUUUGGCAACAGGAGCAAAGGUCUCCUUAUAGUCAAUGCCAUAGUUUUGAGUAAAGCCUUGAGCUACUAACUGUGCCUUGUGUCUUUCAAUGCUUCCAUUGGAGUUGAAUUUGGUCUUAUAUAUCCACCUACUUUCCACGACCUUCUUGCCAUUUGGAAGAUCCACCACACUCCAUGUCUGCUUGUCAUUCAGAGCUUGAAGCUCUUUAGUCAUAGCAUCUUGCCACUCAGGCAUGCAUGUGGCUUCAUGAAAAUUCCUUGGUUUGAAAGUGUGGGACAAUUUGUUAAGGAAAGAAGUAUGAGAAGAUGAGAAUCUAUGAUAAGAAAUGGCUGCAGAGAUAGGAUGCCUUGCAGUGUAAGUAACAUACUCUUGUAACCUCAUUGGUGGAUGUCUAUCUCGUGUAGGAUUUCUUCUUGGUGUACUUAUAGCUUGCUGAUUUGGUUGAGCUUCUGAUGGUUCAGAUGAGCUUGGCACUGCAUCAAUUACACUCUCAGUGAGUUAAGAAUUAUCAGUGCUGAUAUGAGUAGGAGUGACUUCAUGAAUUUCUGCUGGAAUAGGUAGUGGAAAUAGGUCCAUAAGAUCUUCCAUAUUAGCAUUAGUCUUCAACCCUUUGUGGAAAUAAGGUGAAUAUUCAUCAAAUCACACAUCUCUAGAGACUGCCAGCUUUCCCGUGUUAGGGUUGUACACUUUGUAACCCUUUUGAGAAAUGGCGUAUCCCAUAAACACACAUUUGACAACUCGAGGGUCGAGUUUGUCAUGAUGGAGAUCUUGAAUGUGCACAUAACAAGUACAACCAAAAGUCCUGAGGUAAGACAAGUUUAUAGGCCUUCCUUUCAUGACUUCAAAAGGAGAUUUAGUAUUCAACACCCGAGUUGGCAGUCUAUUAAUGAUGUACGUGGCAGUGAGUAAGGCUUGAGACCAAAAUUUCUUAGUAAUAUUCAUUUGGAUCAUAAGUGAUCGAGUCUUCUAAUAAGUCUCAAUUCUUUCUCUCUGCCACACCAUUUUGUUGUGGUGUACCAACACAGCUAGUUUGAUGCAAAAUGCCAUGAUUGCUCAAGUAAUUAUUCGUGUUAUUGGAAAUGUACUCGGUACCAUUAUCUGAUCUUAACAUAUAUAACUUAGAUGAAAAUUGAUUGGUGAUUAGGUUGUGAAAGUCGUUAAAAGCAUCAAACAAAUCACUUUUAAGUUUUAAAAGAUACAACCAGGUUACUCUAUAAUAGUCAUCAAUAAAUGUAACAUAAUAUCUAUACCCAUCAAAGGAUUCUACACGAGAAGGACCCCAAAUAUCAGAGUGAACAAGCUCAAAAAGUUUACUAGUUCUAGAAUUAGAGGAAACAAAAGGAAGUCUAGUGGCUUUUGACAUUUGACAAGUUUCAUACUCUAGUGUGUUUUUACAAAAAAAGGGAAACAACUUGGUCAUCACAUGUUCUGAGGGAUGGGCAAGGCGUUGAUGCCAGAGUUGGUGUUCCUGAACUUGACUUAAGUUGACACCGAGCUUUUUGACAAAAUUGGACUCAUUUGAAAGAUAGUAGAGUCCAUUCAAGAAGAACCCUUCACCAAUCUUCUUCUAAGUAACUCGGUCCUGAAACACAACAUUGUGAGGGGAAAAUAUGGCAAGACAGUCUAAGGUUUUUGUAAUUUUUUCCUAUUGACAAGAGCUGAAAAGGAAAAGAAGGUACAUAGAGAACAGUGGAAUCAGUAUGCUCACUUAGCAAUCUAAUCUUUCCUUUCCCUAGAAUAGGUUCCCAUUUCCCAUUUGCAACAGAUACAUGCAUUGGAUCAAUAGUUCUUUGAAAAUCGUGGAGACUAGAGGGUUUAUUAGUUAUAUGAUCAGUGGCACCAGAGUCAAUAAUCCAAAAAUCAUGUGUAACAUUUGCAUUAAGAGCAGUGGAAAUGGCACUGAUAAUACCUGAAAUAUUUCCUUUCGAUGUGUUCUCCGAGUCAGCCAAGAAUCCAGCAAAUUUCCCUAGCAUUGCAGUAGGGUUUUCAAGUGUCAUUUCAUCAGGUUCAGUGCUUCCUUGCUUCUUUUGAAGAAAAGCAGCAAACUCGUUGAUCAAGGACACAUGAUUGUUGAGAAAUUGGCCAUCCCAUCAGUUAUGGAACAAGCUGAAUGAAAUGCUUUUGUAGUGACUCCACCCUUCCCAUCUUUGAUCAUCCUGCCUUCCCUAUCAAACUUAGGCUUUAACUCCGGAUGAAGAAUCCAACAUUUUUCUCUCAAAUGUCCCUUCAUGUUGCAAUAAUAACAUUUCCAGUCUGCUUUCUUGCCAAGUACCCUAUCACCAGUUGCUUUGUGAUUUGUCGUGAAAACCCUAGCUUCAGAAUUGGAUUUGGGCUCAACGUUCAUCACUCUUCGUCAAGUUUCCUCUCUCUGGACUGCAUGACACACACUGGUAAAUGAGGGCAGCUCUUGAGUCAUUAACAAGUGACUACGCAGGUCUUCAUACUUCGUUCCCAAGCUUGCUAAGAGUUGAAACACCUUGUCUUCAUCAGCCAUCUUCAGUAGCACAGCGGAAUCAGUCGUGUGUGGACGAUACAUAUUGAGUUCAUUCCACAUGGAUUUCAUACUUCCAAGGUGUUGAACAAAUGAGUGAUCACCUUGCUUUAAACUAGCCACACUCUUCUUCAGUUAAAAGAUGCAAACUGAGUUGUUUUGGCUGCCAUACAUGUCUUUGACAGACUCCCAUAGGAGAAGGGAAGACUCUGAGUAAUUGAAAAGCUCAGACAGUUUUGGCUCCAUAAAGUUAAGUAACCAGGACAUGACCAGUUAAUCAGUAGCAUGCCAUGCAUCGUAAGUUGGUGAAGUGGAUUAUGCGGGCUCAGAGCUUCCAUUGAUAAACCCUAGCUUCGAUCUUCCCCCUAGAGCAAGUGACACAGCUCUUGACCAAGGAAGGUAGUUGAACUCGUUCAGUAGCACCGAGCAGAGUCGUUGAUUUGGAUUGUUUUCAACCCCUUGGGUUAAGUUUAGGGAGGAGGAUGAGGCACUAUCGGCACUAGACACAUUUUCUUCUGCCAUCUCUUUCGAUGAUGAGCAAAUGAAGAAGUAAAAAAAAAAUGACCCUAUGGUUCCUGCUCUGAUACCAUGUUGAGUUUUGGUUUCAAUAUUUGUUAUAUAUUUCAUUAUGAAGAUUAGAAGAGAGUGAAGGCAACUCUUGUAGAGAGCCAAAAGAAAGCUACAAUAGAUUGUAGGAUAACUACACAAACACAAUCCCUAAAAUCUGCCCUAACAAGUGGAAAAGCAAAAACCAAAUUACAAGUAAAGAAGCUUUUACAAGCAACUAAGAAAUGUUGAUGUAAGGUGAAUGACAAGCUAUGGAAAGUGACUGGUGAAUGACAAGCUAUAGAAAGUGACUUUAGCCUAUGACUUAGCUAAAGUGAGGAUAACAACUCAUACAUACAACCCAUCCAUACAAUCCAUACAAAGUGUUGUUUCCUUUUGUACUGACAUACUACACCUGGAAAAGAAUUUUUUAGUGCUUCUUUGAUUCUGGUUUAUGAAACCUCAAUGAAUAUGAGGACUGGGGGGAAGAUGAUUAAUAAUGAAAAUGAAAGGAUGAAGAAAAUCACACAGAGAAUAUAGGUCCCCACUCAAGUCGUGCAAAGAGAAUAUUACCGUUAGCAAAGCACAGCUGGAUCCUUAGACAUCACAAAGUGAUCUUAGCCACACAUCUAACUAAUUUCUAGGAUCCUUAGACUUCACACAAGGCAUUAUUUGCCGUACAUCUUUGAACCUCACACUUGGCCAUAUUACAACUCUAAGUGAAUAUAGAAUUAAGCUCAUAACUUAUGUCACUAAUUCUAAUCAGCUCGAGACCUACAAUUCAACAGAAUUUGCAUCAUAGCUCUUUUUGUGCAGUGAUCUUUCGUAUAACAACCUCGCCAUAGAGGAUGCAAGUUGUCAACCACGAGGUGGCACGUAAGAAUGUCUUCAUUAGCUUGAAGUUAAUCUGUUUGUGUUAUGUGGAGAAAAGCUUAACUUUUCAUUUGUGUUAAUUUCUGCAGUAACUUGUUUGCAAGCUCGUCAAAAGGAAAUAGUUCGUAAGUUCAAAUUAAUCGUCUCAAAGCAUGCACCUAUAAAUUUACUUCGGUAUCCAAUGGUGUAUUCUUUACUAUUUUUUUUUCCAACUUCGUCUCAUUUAUGAUUGCUGACAUUUUUUGUACCCUGAAUUACUAUAUCCGGAGAAUCGUUUCAUGUUUCAAAACUUCAGAGUGUCCAAAAUGUAAGCCGAGUUUCUACACAAAUAAUUACCUUUAUUUUUUCGCUUCAUUCUUUUUUAGUUUUCCUCCUCAAUGCCUACUAAUCUCCAAUUUAUUUUUUCAUAGAUUUGUACUACUCUCUCCAUAUAAAUUGUGGUGGGAAACAAUUUACGGUCCCUGGAGGAAAAGAUACAGUAUAUGAUGAUGACACAUUUUCAGCUGGACCUUCAUCAUUUACCUGAGCAGAACAAAUUGGGCAUUAAGCAGCACCGGUUACUUCCCUGAUGAUGACCGCCCUUAUGACACCUUUAUAUGGACUAAUGAAACUAGACUCUCUAUGGCCAAUCCUCAACUGUACAUGAACGCACGCCUUUCUCCCAUCUCUCUAACUUAUUUUGGGUUUUGUCUGGGAAAUGGAAACUACACCGUAAACCUCCAUUUUGCAGAGAUAAUGUUUAGAAAUGGCAAAACAUAUAAAAGCUUGGGAAGGCGCAUAUUCGAUAUUUACAUUCAGGUAAGUAUCGCAUCCACUUCCAUGUAUACCAGUGAAUUAUUCUAAUUUUCAACAAGCAUUGUUUAUAUUUUGGUCGAUUUGAAUGUUAACUUUCACAUUUAUGAUCAUGAAAUGUUAAGCAACUAAAUUAGUGUGUGUGUGUGUGUGUGUGUGUGUAUUGCAGGGAAAACUAGUGAAGAAGGACUUCAAUAUCAUGGAUGAAGCUGGCGUGUUUGGUGAUGUAGUCAUAAAGAACUUUACUGCUCCUGUAACUAAUAAUACAUUGGAGAUUCGUUUCUAUUGGGCCGGAAGAGGGACGACAGGCAUCCCUUUUAGAGGAGUCUAUGGUCCUCUUAUUUCAGCUAUUUCAGUAGACCCAAGUAAGUUUUCACUGAUCUGAGCUUCGUCUAAUUACUAUGCGUCGACCAUAUGCAUUUAUAUAUCUACUAAAUUAAGAGAUCCGACUUCAGUUCUGCAAGGUUCUUCUUCUUCUUCAAUAUUUCCCUUCGCUUGUAUUUUCAGAAAAAUGCUUCUGUGUUUUUCUCCUGUUUUACAUAGUUUGAGCCAAGACUUGAAGAAAUACUCUCUUAAAUUUUCUUAUCACAUAAUAUGCUGUUUUUUUCUAGGUGACGGGUAUGCUCUUUCAAAUACAACAAAAUUCAACUUCGAGGAUUUUUAACUAUUUACAUGAAAUGUACCGUUUGGUACGUGGGACGGGACGGGAUGGAACGGGACGAGCCGUUCCGUCCCACGUUUGGUGCGCCUAAAAACUGUGGAACGGGUUGUCCCAUGGGACGAAAUUUGGCUGAUUUUUCGUUCCACCUCUUCCCCCUGGAACGACCCGUUCCACAUCCGUGUAACACAAAUUUAUAACAUUUUAUGACACAAUUUCUCCUUAUCUUUUUUAAUAUUUACAUCAUCUGUUCCGUCCUGUUCUGUCCCGUCCCGUCCUGUUCCAUCCCGUCCCGUCCCGUUCCAUCCCGUCUACGUACCAAACGGUACCUUAAGGAAACAUAUAAUAUUUACAACCAUCAAAAGAAAGUUUGUUCGAGGGAUUACUUCAUAUACUAUCUACUUAGUUAAGGAUGCCGCAAAGACAGGGUUUCAAUCUUCUGUUUGUGUGCAUUGGAUAGCUAGUUGAAUAAUCCACUCUCAUAUCAAUUACAUACAUUUACUCUAAUUUAAGCUAUAUUCUUUCUUCGGACAGACUUUGAUUCGCCGCCAAAACCUGUAAGUGACACAUCAACUGGUGGAAGUGGCGUGCCUGUAGGUGUCGUGGUUGGAAUUGUGGUUGGAGGAGUCUUCAUUAUACUACUGAUAUUUGGUAUUCUUUGGAAGAGAGACAACAAAAGACAUUGGAGGAUGGUAUUAAUUUGCAGUUUAUUAUGUUAUACUGGUUUUUCCUUUUUGUUCCUCCAUUACUUUCUCUCAUCGAGCUUUUUUCGUAACUAAGUACGAUAUUUAUGCUAUUUGCAUGGUUCUCAUGCAUAUUGACAUGCACCACAAAGACAGUAAUUAUUUAGAUAUGGAGCUUUCCGGCACUUUGAUGUUUCUGUAAUAUAUUUAUCGUCCAAACACCAUGAUGCAAAGUGUCUGCCUAUAGAUCUAGUUACUUGUUAAAUUCUAUAAUUAGGCACAAAAUAUUAAGAACUAAGAAUGUUAUCGUUCUGAAAGUUUUCUUAAGACACAAUUUCUUAUGAGUUUUAGUUGUUAUACAGAUUUGAAGGGUGUGGACCUGCAAACUGGUAAAUUUACCUUCAAGCAACUCAAAGAUGCCACUAUUGGCAUGUAACCCUUCAGCCGAAGACUUGGAGGCAAAGAAAGAAUUCAAACCUUAUUUUAAUGUUUGUUUCAUGUUUAAAUUUGAGCCAUUGAAUCAUAGUCCAUGUGGCUAGCCUUACUUGUAUCUAGCUUAAGUGAUAGAUUAUAACAAGUGGCAUCAUCUCAUAGGAUGAUAGCAAUUAAGGAAUGAGAUUAAGUGUGUUAUUGAUGAGUGUAUAAAGCCAAAAACCUUAUAUGUUUGUUGUGAGGGAAUAUUUUUCAAUCAAUCAGUGUAAUCAUCCUCCUAAAAAUUCUCUCUGCCAUUUUCGGCAUUACACAGACCUCUGCAAGAUUUCAUAGAAGCUUACCAAACAUUCCCAUACACUAACAGCCACAAGCAACUUUAACAAAGCUAUCAAGUCGUUGCAUCCGACUAUCCUUGCAUUCUCUGCUUUGAACAUUUUCACAUAAUCGCGAAACAACUCCUUUGGGUUCUUCUUGACGUUGAACAAAUGGUCGGACUUCUUUUUUAUCAAGCGAUAGGAUGAAUAUUCUUUGGUGAAAACCAAAAAAGUUCGUCAAAACUCCGGAUGGAUUGUGGUGGCAGGGUGUAGAACCAAUUUUGCGUCUCGCCUUGUAGAGUGAUGAUGAAUAUCUUGCACAUGAGAUCGUCGUUGUUUCGAUAGAGGAUCAUUGCGCUUCGGUAGUGCUUUAAGUGUCUCUCCGGGUCUUCAUCCCCUUUGAAAGAUGUGAAAUGUGGCAUGCUGAACUCGUGUGGAGGCUCUGCCUGCUCGAUCUCAUCCGUGAAGGGUGAUCUGCUUAUGUUGGUCAUGUUCCGUCGUAGUACCUCGUAGGUGACCUUGUUGCGUUGGAAAUUGCACAAUCACUUAGUCAAGAGUCUCUCUACUUCUUCCUGAAUUUGCCUUUGUUAGGGUAGUCGAACUCUCGGCUGCCCCUAGCUGUGACUUGCUGGUCUAAGCUGCUCUUCUAUGUGUUUGGCUCGUCUAUUCCGCGGAUGAGGUGUGUGUGGUGUGUUCCUAGCAAGCGAGCGAGUUCUUCUCAGGCUGUCGGUUGAACUUGAGCCGGAUUGAGUGACAAAGUCAAUGAAAGAAUGAUUCACAGUGUGCUUGCAUACUUCUUAUACACGAACAACUUUGUAUCGGCCUAGUUAUUAGUUACAAAGUCAAUGAAAGAAUGAUUCACAGUGUGCUUGUAACAAAUACACAUUUACCGUUUGUGUAAUUCCUCAUGUUUUAUUCUUUCUAAAGAACAUUGGACAUUUUCCUUCGGUUUUAGAGUAAGAAAACCAGUUCCUUCUUCCUAUUUAAUUCCCUGACCAAAAGUAAGUAUUUUCUGUGAUAAAUUAAUGUUUUACCUGUUUGGUCUCAUUUCUGUUGCAGCUUUUCCUUUUAGUCACAGUAUAGAUGCGUAAUGGAUAUCUGUUAAUUUCCAUAUAUGUUAUUAUUUAUUUUUACUUGUAAUGAAUAUCUAUUGUCACAACCCGUCCCGAAAUAUUUAUUUUCGACGGUGUGAAAUGACAGUUUUACCCUUGGACGUUGAGAUGUGUGGUGUGUGUCAUGCUUUUGGAUGUGGACCAAUAUGUUGAGUUCCUAAGUUUUUGGACUCAAUUAGAAGUUAGACUUUUGUUAGUUUGGUUAGGGACCAAGUGAGGACCACACACACACACAAAACACCCCGUGCAUUCUCUCUCGUCUCGGCCUUCCUAUCAUUUCCGUACAAAACGUACAGACGAACACCAAACUCACACUUCACGCACGGAUCGACGUUAACCAGGUAAUAUUCGAAUUCCUUGUAAGAUUUUGAGUUCACCCAUACCCUUUUUAGAUCGAGAAACCUUCGUUUUCUCGAGAAACCAGAACUGCCGAAUUCAUGCACUGUUCAUGCACUCAUAAAUGUGAGGUUUUUAGGAAUUUUUUAGGACAUAGUGAGCUUUGGAUCAUCCUCACGAAGCUUGGAGAAGAAAAACCAAGUGAAUUGGACGUCGGGAAGUGGAGAUCGACGAGUUCAAAGUUUGGCCGGAUUAUCGAAGGAUCUCCGGCGAAUUCUCGAGGGAUUUCAGGUCCCAAAAUUGGUAAGGUUUUAUUCCUUAUGUUGUAAGCUUCAUUUUGGUGAAGAUUUCGUGGAAUUUGGUGCAAAAAUGGGAGAGAUAUGAGGUUUUAUAUAUUUUCCAGUUUUCGGCAACGGCGACGGUCGCCGGAGGUCAAACGUAGGGGACGACGAGAUAUUCCAUCAAAAUUGAUGGAAUAUUCCUAACGGCCGUUAGGCCUCAGUUAGGGUUUGGCCGAGCGUGGGGGCGCGUAGGGCCGUGCCUCCGCCGGCGUGUGACGACGCGUGGGACGUCAGAAAAUUUUUCUAAAAAUAUGGGGAUGUUCAUGAGAUUGUGUAGUUCACGUUGGUAUAUUCAAACAUCCCAUUUGAGCAAUGUAUGAGAAGUUAUUAGCUAGUAUUGGUUAUGUGCUUUAAAUAACGUUUAUUUAGUUAUUUCACAUAUAGGUGAGACCUAUCUAGAGGACGAGCGCAGUCAAGGGCGACUCGGGGGCUACGACCCUUCGACAUACCAGUUAGUGGGCUUUUGGUUUUCAAUAUAUAUUUAUAUACUUGAUAUUUUCCCAGAAAAUGUGUUUAAAUGAAAGUAUGCUUUGAAAUGCCAUGCAUAUAGAUUUAUAUUCGGCAUAUGAAUUAGUAUAUGAUGCAUAAUAUGAAUUGGUACUGUGGAUGCUCAGGUAAGUACCAGGUGAGUUAUGUUUUGUUAUAUGAGAUAUUGAUAAUGUGAGACGUGAUUGAGAACUCAUAAACCUGCACCCCGGGUGAUUGUGAUUUAGCCAGAGAUAUGGCACAUGCCUGUAUAUAAUGUCACAUCCCGCACCAUAUGCUCACAUUGGAUCCAAUUUAGGUGCACAGUCUUGUCGUACAGACCAUUAGGUGAGUAGUGAUUUAUCGCACAGCUAUCAUGAGAGCGUAACAUUGAGCAUAAUUAUAUUACACUCAGUCUUGUCGUACAAACCAUUACAGUGGUUCCGACUCGUGUGCAGUGUAGUGCCGUAUAGGUCACUGACGAUGACUUCGGCUAGAUUGAUAAAUAAUAAAUUUAGUCGUACAGACCUCUGCAGGGGGUUCCGACUAAUAUGUUAUUUUCCAUGAAUUUAUUUUCACCUGAGUUACUUAUUCUGUUUUAUAUUUUGGCAUGGCAUACUUAUGAAUAGAUAUGUGAAGCAUGAUUUGAAUAUAUAUAUAUAUACACACACACACACAUAUAUAUAUUUAUAUUCUAUUUCUGGGAAAAUUAUACAUGUUUUACGGCGAUGGGUUAUAGUAUUUGAUAAAUGAAAUGGUUUUGAAGAACUUUGUUUUUGCCCACUCACGUUUUCUGUUUUGCGCCCCUCCAGGUUUUAGGUAAGCUUGCUCGUUGGUGGCUCACGAGGAUUAGUGGAGGUUCUGACAGACCAUAUCAAAUGUAGGACAUCUUUGGGUGUCGUUUAAUUAGUACUUGCUUUCUGGACUGAACUUAGGCUACUCUCACUCUGAUUGUGUAUUUACACAUAUACUAGCACUAGUCUUAACUAGUACUCUUACAAGUUGGUUUUCAAUUAUUCGUAUUCUCUAUUAUCAUUAUUGCUUCUGCACUGUGCACAUGACUACGUCACCCUCACGUGAUGGCCAGCAUACCCUGAUUCGGGUCGGGGUGUGUCAUCUACCCUUUUAAUUACAUUUUAUUUUCAAUAGUAUCUAAUGAGUAGAUUUUAUAUUAUAUAUUUUACCUUGAUCUUAGUUUAUUUUGGUUAUUAUUUUGGAAGAAUUUUGAUACUUUGAAUUGCAUUUGCAAUAUAGGAGUUUCAACUUCUUCUGGAGCAAAACGUGAUCAAAUGAAUGAAUUUUGGAGUGAUUCCAGCUGGAGGAUGUUCGUGAUUUUCUUAGCUUGAUCAUGUCAAAAUAUAAGAUUCUUCCACCAAUCGGUUAUUUUCUAGCGAUAGAAUAAAGGAGCACUGCGCGAUGCUGGAAAAAUGACGUUUUGGGCUUAAUUGCAAGUUUUGGAGUCUAAGAUAACUUAAUUUGGGUUCGGCCCCUUCUGGAGAUAUGUUCAGAACGUUCCGAUCUUUAAAACAAGCUGUCAUGGGCCGGAUUUGGAGGAGAUUUGAGGCUAAAACGUGGCUGGACAAUUCCCAGAUUCUCCUAGCUUAAUUAGGACUUUAUUUUCUAGUAUAUUUAUUAUUAUUUGGUUUCCUAGUUGGAUCCAAAGACUUUUAUUAGGGAUUAUUGCAGGUUUUAGGAGAGGAUAUAAGGUUUGACCGGCCUUAGUCCUUUACUUCUUCUUUCAUGCGACUUCGGAGAUAGGAAAUUGGCUAGGGUUCUUGAAGAUUUUUAGAGUUUAUUUAAGGUUUUUUCAAUCAUUUUCUUCAUAAUAAUAUUUUGUUUGAUUUUAAUUAUAAAUAUGCGUAACUAAUUUGUUUUGCUGGGGCGAAGUCUUGAAUCUUAGCAUGAAUAUGUAAUUUUUAUUUAAUUGAUAAUGAUUGAUCGUAUGUAUGCUUUGAAUUAUUGAUCACCAUUUUAAACUAUCUAAUUGUCUUGAUGACUAGCCACCAUUAUGAUGUUUAGACAAGUAAUUGGAUGCAAUUCGGUUAGAAUAUCACCAGAGGAUUGGGUAUUGCUUCUUGUGGUUAAUAAUUGUAAUUUCACCUAAGGCGAAUAUCACGCUCUUAGGGGUUGCAUGUUUUUCGGAGAGUUUCACAGAACUUAAUGAGUUUUGCAAGUUUAUAUUUGAUCUGAAUAUCACAGACGGAUUGCAUGUUAGAUAUACGUUCUUGCUUGAAAAUCACGAGGAGAAUAUGUAUCAGGAAAACCUAACCUUCAAAGUUGCAUAUGUAGAUCAUAAGUAAUUUGUCAAAAUACAUAGGAUUGUUAUGAUGAUGGCGGAACCCUAGUGUUUUUAUAAAUUGGUAUUUAAAAACUCUUUUCUAUUAUUUUUACAAUUUUGGUUUAUAGUUAAAAUUCAUUUAAUAUAAGUCAGGAUAUUUUAUAGGGAACUUUAACGAAAAGUUCCCAGUACUGUUCACUUUAACGAAAAACGUGCCUUGAUAAUCACAUGAUGUAUUUAAUGUAAUUAUAUAAUUGAUCAUUACAGUUGUGGAUAAUUACAAAAAAGUAUAAUAAAUAUACGCUGAGAUACACAUAGUCCUAAAUUAGUACUUAGUUCUGAAAACGCCAAUAAGAUAUAGAUCCAGAAAAUUGGACUUCUCGUCCUCGUCAUAUCACAUCAGCCUAUCAAGCCACCGUUACCAACACCUCCACAAUUUGCAGAGAAAUUCGCAAUGAAUGCUUAAACAAACAGAUCCAUCAAGGAUCUUACCAUGUAAGGUCGACCAACCGCAAAUAUGCAGAAAGAAGACAAAUCAAUUACAAAAUCCAGCGUUUCAGAAGGUAGAUCUGGAAAAUUUCUGACCAAACUUGCCUGAUCCAAAGCCCUAUAACCUAGGGAGAAAACAAAACCUCGCAAGAGGCAAUGAAGAACAAGCCUAGCACAAGAAGGCUAGGGAGCAAAAGCUCUCCACAUAAAUACGGGAGACAGGCCCUAUAGUCGUAGGACUCCUUGUCAAGAUUAGGCUUGGGUGAGUGGUUUUCAUAAGGGAUUGAAGCACAGUUGGUCAUGAACUUAUCAUAAACUGUUAUACGGAAGAUAUUAGAAAAUUGCUACAUGAGCAUCACAAAAGCAUGUGAGAGGCGAGAGUGAUUUUUAAACCCUUACUUGGUUUAAGUCAUUUUCAAAUCUUUUUCACAUGUCUUUACAAUGCUUAUAUGGUGUUUUUGUAAUCUCUCAUAUCUAGCAUUUUAUAAUUCAUUUUUUACUAAUUUGGUCUCAAGUUCACAGGGCUAGAAUUCUUCCCCCCAAACAUAGCUCAAAGGACUCACACCCUCCAAAUAAAGUAGACAACAAUACUACAAUUGACAUAAGUUUUUGUGUGGUAGUGAAUUAUUGUCACAUGCGCUCAUGCAGAUACUAAUAUGAAGAUAAAUUAUGGGAAGUGAAUUAUAUAUACUUCUUUUCGUUGCGCUCUCUUUUCAAUUUUUUUUUAUAUUUGAAUUGAAUUUAGAACAAUUCAGAAAACAAAGUAGCCCAAAAUGAUCUAUGUGAAAAUUAUUUCUAUAAACUCUACACACACACACACACACACACAAAACAAUUAAUGAUUGUUCCAUACCAACUUAUACAGUCAACCAACUGAUAAACUGGAAAAUAUGAUUAUAAUGAUAGCAUCCAAUUCCUAUCAAUGACUUUAGGGUAAAUUACAUAGUAGCUCUUCAGGUUUGAUGUCUACUACAACCUCAUACAAUAUCUUUGAAACAUUUCACUUUCAUAUCUCACGUACUAUUUUAUUUCAAAAUAAUACAUCCGUUACAUUUUCCAUCCAUUGAUCCGUUAAGUGCUGACGUGGCUGCCAAAUGUGUGCCACGUGGCAAAAAAAAUAAUUUUUUUUUAAAAAAAACCUUAAUCUUCUAAAUAAAAAAAAUCAAAAAGAGAAAAUUCAGAUCCCAUCAUCCCACCCCCUCCCCCAUACCUGAACCUUGAACAAAAAAAAAAAAAAAAAAAAAACCCAGAAAACCCAGUUCCCACUAACACACCUUCCCCCCAAAUCCCAUCAACACCCCCAUGUGAAACCUCGAUCCCAUAUCCCCCCCCCCCCCAAAAAAAAAAAUCAUCUUCCAUCAGUCAUCCGCACCCAUCCUCCACCUCCUCCCCUGCACCCAUCUCCACCUCAUCCGCACACCCAUAUUCCCAUCUUCUCCUGCCCCGCCCCCCCAACCCGAGCCCAACCUGCAACCCAGAAAGAAGAGGAAAAAAAAACCCAGCGCACCCACCCUCGCACUCAUCCUCUUCCCUCCUCUACACACCCUACUCCUUAAAUCCACACUCAUUGGGGAAGACGGGAUCUGGGUUGCAGGGAAAUGGCAAUAGGUUUUUUUUUUCGUUUCUUUUCUGGGUUGGAGGUAGUGGGUGCAGAGGAAGAGGUGGAGGAUGGGGUGCACGGUGGGUUUGGGGAAGACAAGAGGGGAAAGAAAGGGGUGGGUUGCAAGGAAAGGGGGUCGGGGAAGAUGAAGAUGGUUUUUUUUUUUCCACUCCUUUUCUUAAUCUUCUGGGUUGCAGGUUGGGUGGGUGGGGGUUGAAGGUUCAUCUUUUGUUUUUUGUUUUUUUUUUUUAUUUAGAAGAUUCAGGUAAAAAAAAAAAAAAAAAAAUUUGCCACGUGGCACAAAUGUGGUAGACACGUCAGCACUUAAUGGAUCAAUGGAUAGAAAAUGUAAUGGAUGUAUUAUUUUGAAAUAAAAUAGUAUGUGAGGUAUAAAAGUGAAAUGUUUUAAAGAUGUUGUAUGAGGUUGUAAUAGACCUCAAACCUAAGGGGUUACUAUGUAAUUUACCCAUAACUUUAUACUUGGAGAACUAAAUAUUAAUUUUAUAUACAAAUAAUUUUAGUAUUGUUUUUUUGUAGGACCAUAUAUAUUUUUAAUUAUAAAUGAAUUUUUUGCGAUAAUGAUUUAUGAAUGAUGAAUUGAAAUAUAGGUGGUUCAGAUCUUUGAAAAAAAAUUAUGAAACGAAAACUACAAAAAAUUGUGUCAAAAUAUGUACACACAAAUUUAAGGAUGUGUAGCACUAGGUAUACGUGGCAUUAGGUAUAUUUUUUAUUUUCAUAUUAAUAAAUUUCCUUCAUACCUCGAAAUUUUCUAUAAAAAAAAAAACAAAAAGAAAAAAAACGGCAGAAGGCCACUUGUGAUGAGUACUUUAGUCAUGGAAUGCUGAUCGAAGUGCUAUUAAAUUGUCACUUAGAAUCAUAACUCUUGGCUUAUAGUAUGAAAAAAAAAAUACAGAACAUUUGUAUAUUGCUUGCAAGCAAUUAGGUUCUGUUAGUCAACUCCAGCAACUUGAUUAGAAAGCAUGUAUAUAAAGCUGCGCAAUUACCAUGUCCACAUAUCCUGAUCAGGAAAUUUCCCCUGCUUGGCUUAGUUGAAAAUAGCAGAUAAGUCAAGAGCGUAUUUUAAAUUACUGUUGGUUAAUUAUUUUAAAUUUCACUAGCAUAUGGGUAUACACAAAGUGUGUGAGAAAAUUUUUUAUUUUUGUUUUUGAAAUAGAAGAGGGAGUGAUAGAGAACGUGGGAGUGAGAAUUUUUUUUAUUAUUUUUUUAUUUUUUAUAAUUAGAUAUAUGUUAGGAUUACAUGUAGGUGAGACUUUGAAAAAAAAAACAGCAAAAUUUGGUUGUAUGAAAUUACAUUUCUGCCCCAUAUUUCUUAUUCAUGUUCUAUUUUAAUUAGAGGGUUAAACUGGUAAUUUUAUAGGAUUUUGAUUGAAAAUGAAUGUUUUAUUAAUUAAUAGAGAUAAUCAAUAUUAAUUACCAGUGGGUGUACUUUAAAUUAUGCUUGAUUAAUUAUUGUAAAUUUCAUAAUCAUAGAAAACUAAUAGCUUAUUAUAUAUUGUUGUCAAAAUCGUGAGUUCGGCUGUUGGAAAGGAUUUUUAAUGGGUAAAUUACAUUUUACCUCCUCAGAUUUGGAUGCAAUUGCAACCUCAUACAACAUUUUAAAAACAUUUUAAUUUCAUACAUUUAGUUAUCAUUUCAUUUCAAUGUCAUACAACCGUUAAAAAUUCUGUUAAGUUAGCUGUUAAGUGAUGAUGUGGUAACAGUGGGUCUCCCAUGUUUGCUUAUGUGGUUAACAACUUCUGCCACAUGGACAAACAAUUAAUAUUUUAUUUAAAAAAUUACAAAAAAAACCCUUAAAAAAUGGCUAAAAAAAAGGGAUAACUUGAUAUAGAUCCAAUUUUGUGAGCCAUUAGUAGGAUUAGUCCACUUCAUUGAAAUAGGUUCAAUAAUUGAGAUUCUACGUAUGCUUAUUUGUGGUUUGUACCAUAUUUACCCCUUAGGCUUACAAAUUGUAGUAAAUACACAAAAUUUCUUAAUUAUGGGAUUAUUUGUGGUUUAACUAAUCCCUUAAUUGUAGGAUUAGUUAUAGCCAUGUAAUCACCUCAACCCCCAGUCCGUUUCAUCCCUCCUUUUUUACUUCUUCCAAACAAUUCCCUCUAUCAAUCUUCCUCUUUGUUGUCUCUUCUUUUCAUGGGUGAUAUUUUUGUGUUCUUCCCUCCAAAUUCGUUCCUUUAAUGGAGGUAUAUUACAUCAUAUUUAUAUUUCUAUGUUCCUCCAUGUAGGUUCCCAACAUUUUUCUUCCAAUACAAUAGGUAGUUUAUUUUUGUUUUGCAGGUAGAUUAUAUCUGCUUUAUAGGUAUAAAGCAUUUUUCUUCCUAUACAAUAGGUAGGUAGUUACUAGAUUAUAUCGGUUUUGUUUUCUUCAUAAAUAGUAGGUAGUUACUAUAUAAUAUUUUAGUUUGAGUAUUUAAAUAUUCAAAAUUUAAAAACUGAAUAAAUGAUAUAAAAAAAAUUAAAGAAUUUAAAUAUUUUUAUCUGAAGGGGCAAAAUAUAUAUCAAAAUAUGUAAUUGGAUAACUAGACUCAGUCCCAAAAACUACCUAUGUUUUUGGACCUAGAUCCAAAAGCCCAAAAAAAAAAAAAAACAACCUUCCACAGCCCCUCUCCACCCCACGCUGAAAAUGCAAAGCCCCAACCCUAGAUCUUCCAUCCCCUCCAAUACGUCGUCAACAUCUUCGUCCACCACUGCAAGCCCGCCGGCAACACCAACAUUGCCUCCAACCCCACCCACGUCGACUGACGCUGCAAAUCGGACGACAACAUCAUAUUCUUCCUCGCGCGACAAUAUGUUGGGGGUCGCGGUGGUUGAGGCAGAGAGCACAAAGUGGUGAACUCCCAAACUCCGGCUGACGAAUUUGGUGGCGGUAGUUCAGGCAGAGAGCGCAAGUGGACUGACAAUUUGAGACAUGGAUCAAAUUUAGGGGUUGGGUUGGAUUCGACAAAAUUUGGGGGUUGGAUUUGUCCAAAUCCUAAAUUUUCCCAAACCCAGGUCCAAGUUGCAGGGGUCGAAGCCGACGUCAAUGGCAACGACGGAUGAGGAAAUGGGGUUUGCAGGGGGAGAGGGAGAAUGUGAUUGGGGAUGGGGAUGGGGAUGGGGAAGGGGAAGACAUGGGUUUUAGGGUUUUUUUUUUAUUAAAUAAUUAUUUUAGUAUUUAAUAUUCUGAUUAAAUUAUUAUUUUUUAAAUGCAUAGAAAUUUUUUUGCCACGUGGCAUAAAUUUGGUAACCACGUCAGCACAAAUAUAGAUCCUAUAUUUGCCAUGUUAUCACUUAACAUAUUUUCUAACGAAUGUAUGAAAUUGAAAAAAAAUGAUAAGUAAAUGUAUGAAAUUGAAAUGUUUUAAAGAUGUUGUAUGAGGUUGCAAUCGACCCCAAACCUGACGAGGUAAAAUGUAAUUACCCUUUUUUUAAUUAAGUUGACAUGAGCUGCAAAUAAUAUGCGUUGACACUAUUUUGCCAAAAAUCGGUGUAUUGAGAAAAUAAUACCAAUUACUUCAAAAAAAUAAAAAAACAGUUACGACUAAUUAUUUUUUAUCGUCAGUUGCUAGUUACAAAUAUAACUAGAUCUUGUGCCCUUGUAAUAUUUUUAAGAAAAUUUUCAUUUAUUAUUUGACAAAAAAAAAUAAUUGUGAUAAUUAUAAUCCAUCCAUCUCAACUAUUUGCGGUUUUACUUUAAAAAUAUUAUUUCACAUACGUCUCGGUCAUCCAUUUAUGAUUACAUGACUAAAAUUUCACAUAUGUCUCAAUCAACUAUUUAUGUCACAGCCCGUCCCAGAAGAUUAUUCUCGAUGACUUGAAAUGACAAUUUUACCCUUGGACGUUAAAGUAUGUUGUGUGGUUUAAGUUGGAUUUUGGACCCAUUCAUUAAUUUCCUAAGUCUUUGGACCUAAUUGGAAGUAAGGAAAUUGUUUGUUUUGAUGGGUGACCCAAAAAUCUGGACCACACAUCCUUUCUCUCUCUCACUCUCCCGUGCUCUCUUCUCUCUCUCGGACUCACUCUCUCUUCCCUUUCCUCCGUACGGACAACCUUGAACCAAGCCAAAUCUUCAUAGAUCAAGGAAGAAAAUGGUACCAUUGUGUUCGUGAGGACCAUACGAGUUCAAAGGUACCCAUUUCAGGUAAGAACUCGUUCGAUAUCACGUUAAAAACUCAAACUCCGAGUUGAUCACUAUUCAUGAACUUUUGCAUGGUUAUGUUUUAGGACAAUCCAAGCUCAUAGCGAGCUCUAGGAGGUUCUCACGAAGCUCGGAGUGCUUCGUUGGCUCGGUUUUGACGUCGGGAUCACAAGGUUCGAAGGUGGCCGGUUUUGGUAGAAUUUUCCCGACGAGUUUUCGAGGGAUUUGAAGCUCCCAAGAGGUAUAACCUUCUUCCUUUCGUGAUUUAUGGCAUUCUGGUGAAAAUUGUGUGAAAAAUGGUGCAAAAAUGAGCGAGAAAAAGGCAGUUGCAGGUCUGCCCAGAAUCCGGCGCCGGUGACACUGUUCCAGCGUCUGGAAGUUGAAGAUGAUGCGCGUGGGGCCGUGCCCUCCCCGGCGCGUGAGGGCUCAUGAGCCACAGAAAAUUUAUUUUAAAAAUAUCACGAUGUUCGUGAGGUUGUGUAGGUCGCGUUGGUAUAUUCAAAUACCAAAAUUGAGCUUUGUAUGAGAAAUUAUUAGCUAGUUUUGUGUAUGUGCUUUAAAAUAACGUUUUUAUAGUUAAUUCGCAUAUAGGUGAGACUUAUCCCGAGGACGAGCGUAUCCACGGGCGACUCGAGGGUUACGACCCGUUGACAUACCAGUGAGUGGGCUUUUGGUUUUCAGUAUAUAUUUAUAUACUUGAUAUUUUCCCAGAAAAAUAUGUUUAAAUGAUAAUAUGCCAUAAAUGCCAUGCAUAUACAAUUAUGUUUCGUGUAUGAAUUGGUGUGUGAUACCUUAUAUAUAUAAAUGUGGUGCUAUGGAGGCACAGGUAAGUUCAGGUAAGUUAUGUUUGGUUAUGUGAAUCAUCGAUGAUGUGAUAUGUGAUUGAAUAAUGUUGAGCUCAUUAAACUACACCUAGGGUGAUUGUGAUUUAGCCAGUGAUAUGAAGUACAUGCCUGUUUAUUUACGUCACCUCCCGCAUUAUAUGCUCAUAUUGGAUCCAACUUAAGUGCAUAGUCUUGUCGUACAGACCUUAUUUAUGGUUCCGACUGUAGGUGACUAGCGAAUUAUUGCCCGGCUAUUAUAAGAGAGUAAAAUUGAGCAUAAUCAUAUUACACCCAAUCUUGUUGUACAGACCCCUUUUUAGUGGUUCCGACUUAUGUGCAGUAUAUUGCCGUAUAGGUCAUUGUAGUGACUCCGGCUAGAUUGACUUUUGAGUUAUGAAUUCAGCCGUACAGACUACCACAGGGGUUCCGACUAACAUAUCAUAUUUCUAUGAAAUCAUUCUUACCUGGAUUGUUUACUUUGUUAUAUUUUGGAAUGGCAUACAUAUGCUUAUGAUUAUGUGAAGUAUGAUUUGAAUUGAUAUAUUUUUCAUAUUCAUUUAUGUAUAUGCUUAUAUUCUGAUUCUGGGAAAAAUUAUACAUGUUUUACAGCGAGGGGUUAGACAUGUUGAUAAAUGAAAUGGUUUUGUAAAACAUUUGUUUUUGCCCACUCAUGUUUUCUGUUUUGCGCCCCUCCAGGUUUUAAGUAAGCUUGCUGUUGGUGGCUUGAGGACGUCGGCAGUUCUGACCUAUCUAAAUAAUAGUAGGACAUUCCUGGUACUGUAUAACUAGUACUUGUCCUACUGGACUGCACCUAGACUUUAUGCUCUGAUUAGGAGUGUUUACUUCUGUAACUAACUCCUAUCACUCCCUGUUUAGUAGUGCAUUCUAGUAAUGUGAUUCUUAAUUAUUAGUAUAUUUUCUUAUCAUUAUUGCUUCCGCACUGUGCACAUGGCUACGUCACUCUCACGUAAUGGCCAGCAUGCCUUGAUCUCGGUCGGGGUGUGUCAGUUUGGUAUCAGAGCAUAGGUUUAGCAGUCAUGUAUAAUUCUUGAAUGUUCUAAUCCUUGUGAUGUCUUAUGUCAGAAUUAUGUCGCCUCGUAGAGAGCCCCGUCAAUCAGCUGAACCUAGUUUCCCCAAUAUUGCUCAAUUAGGGGAAGCUAUAGUUUCUGCCAUUCAGACUGCAUUCCGUACUCCCAGAGGAUACCUCUCAAGACAGUUUAUAAUCUGAAGUUGACUCACUUCAUUGGAAAUGAAGGACAUGAGGGGGCGGAAAAAUGGUUGAAUCAUAUGGAGAAUACCUUUCAGGUGAUGCAGAGUCAAGGGAAUCUUCCUCCUGAUAGGUGGGUCGAGACGACUACCUGGUUUUUGGGGGAACAACCUGCAACCUAGUGGAGACAGGAGUCUUACCAGUUGACCCCAGCAGAGAUUGUGGACUAGGGAGUGUUUAAGGAGCUGUUUCGGAAAAGGUUCAUUCCUUAUGCGUAUAUCGAUCGUAAGAAACAUGAGUUUACUCAUCAGAAGCAAGGAAAGACGUCCGCUGAUGAGUAUUAUAGGAUGUUUGCUGAUCUGUCGAGAUAUGAUCCGGAGGUUGCUGCUAAUUCGGUAGAGAUGCUUCGCCGUUUCAGUUUGGGUACUAAGAAGAAAUGGCAUUCCAUAGCGACAUCGACUCACUGUGCUACAUACCAGGAGUUUUAUGAGAUUUUACUGAGAAUUGAGGACUCGGAAAGCAUGCCUAGUGAAAGUGAGGAUGAGGAAGGAAAGAAUGGGGGCCAGAAACGAGAUGAUAAGGGGAAAAGGCAAGCAUUUCAGGGACCCCGCAAGACCCAGAACUUUAAGAGGAGUGGUGGCAGUUCCAGCUCUUCUAGCGGAGGAUUGCGUACUAAUAUGCAAAGAAUAGAUGGUAGAUUUACUGGAGGCCCUAGGUUCUAGAGACAGAGAGAUUUUGGUGGUUCAGGUGGAUCUGGUGCUCUUUUAUGCCGCAAGUGUAAUAGUCAACGUUUUGGGGAGUGUAGGAGAGGCAGCAGUGGAUGUUUUACUUGUGGAUAGAUGGGUCAUAGGGCUGCCCAAUGCCCUCAGAGUCAGCAGAGACCCUAGUAGCCUUCUUUCCCACCACCUGCACCGUCCCAGCAAGCUUCAAGAUCUGGUGGUUAUGCUCAAACUAGACGAGGAGGUGCCUACCACUAUUAAGGUGACGCCGCUCCUUACACCUCAGGACAACAUCAGUAUUCUCAGGACCCUCAGUAUCAGAGUGGGUACCCUCAGUAUCAGGGAGGAUUUAUGUCUUAUUAGCCUCAUUCAAUCGGAGGAUAUCAGUGGUAGCAAGGGGGACAGCCCCAGCAGGGAGAGAUUGCUGCUAGUAGUGCAGGAUCUUCGAGGCAGUCGGGUCAGCAGAGGCAAUGAUGUGGUAUUCAUGCCAACAGAGGUAGUGGUGGACGACAGCAGAAUCAGGGGCGUAUCCACAACAUGUCACUGCAAGAUGCCCAGAAUAAUCUAGAUUUAAUCAUGGGUACGUUAAAUAUUCUUGGUCAUUUUGCUAGAGUAUUGAUUGAUUGUGGUGCUACACAUUCUGUUAUUUCUCAUACAUUUGCUCAAGUGACGCAACCUCAUCCUACACCUUUAGGAUAUAAUUUAGAAUUUUCUAUGCCUAGAGGGGAUAGAUGUUUUGUGGAUUGGGUAUAUCCGGGAUGUCCAGUGAUAGUAGAGGAUGUUGUUAUGCCGGCUAAUCUUAUGUCGUUGGAUAUUAUGGAUUUUGAUGUGAUUUUGGGCAUUGAUUGGUUGCACUAUAAUCGUGCCAAGAUAGAUUGUUAUGGGAAGACAGUCACAUUUCAUCGUAUCGGAUUACCUGAAGUUACAUUUGUAAGAGAGCCUAGUAGGGUGAGACAUGGUAUUAUUUCAACUAUGAAAGCAAAGAGAAUGUUGUCGAAAGGUUGUCAGGGAUAUUUGGCUCAUGUGGUGUUGAAUGAUGAUGCUCCUAGUAGUGUGGAAGAUGUUCGUGUGGUCAGAUAUUUUUCGUAUGUAUUCCCUAAGGAUUUGCCUGGAUUGCCGCCAGAUAGAGAGGUGGAGUUUGUUAUUGAUCUACUUCCAGGUACGAAUCCUAUAUCCUUAACUCUUUAUAAAAUGGCUCAUGCUGAAUUGAGGGAAUUGAAAGUACAGUUGCAAGAGUUAGUGGAUAAAGUUUUUAUUCACCCGAGUACUUCACAUUGGGGAGCUCCAGUUUUAUUCGUGAGGAAGAAAGAUGGAACUUUGAGGCUGUGCAUUGAUUACAGGCAAUUGAAUCGGGUAACCAUUAAAAACCGUUAUCCAUUGCCUCGUAUAGAUGAUUUAUUUGAUCAACUCAGAGGUGCCUGUGUAUUUUCUAAGAUUGACUUGAGGUCGGGAUACUAUCAGUUGAAGAUUAAAAAUGAAGAUGUCCCUAAAACCGCAUUCAGGACUCGAUAUGGUCAUUAUGAGUUUCUUGUGAUGUCAUUCGGGUUAACUAAUGCACCAGCAGCUUUUAUGGAUUUGAUGAAUCGAGUAUUCCAGCCAUAUUUGAACAGGUUUAUUAUUGUCUUCAUUGACGAUAUUCUGGUAUAUUCUAAGUCUAAGGCUGAGCAUGCUAGACAUCUAAAGUUGGUGUUGAGCAGUUUGAGGGAACACCAACUAUAUGCUAAGUUUAGCAAAUGUGAAUUUUGGUUGAAUCAAGUAUCAUUUUUGGGACAUGUCGUUUCUUCUCAAGACAUUCAAGUGGAUUCUCAGAAAGUGGCAGCUGUGGAGAAUUGGGAACAACCUCGAACCGUCACCGAGAUACGGAGUAUUCUUGGCCUAGCAGGCUAUUAUAAACGGUUCGUUAAGGAUUUUUCAGUGAUUGCUUUGCCAUUGACGGGGUUAACUCGAAAGGAUGUUAAGUUUGAGUGGGAUAAUAAGUGUGAGCAAAGUUUUCAGCAGUUGAAAUAUUAUCUCACUCAUGCACCUGUUCUAACACUUCCAGAUGAUAACGGUAAUUAUGAGGUCUAUAGUUAUGCUUCUCUUAAUGGUUUGGGUUGUGUAUUGAUGCAACAUGAUAGGGUAAUUGCUUAUGUUUCGAGACAGUUGAAACCUCAUGAGAAGAAUUACCCUACACAUGAUUUGGAGUUAGCAGCUAUCAUCUUUGCCUUGAAGAUUUGGAGACAUUAUCUUUAUGGUGAGAAAUGCAAGAUCUUCACAAAUCAUAAGAGUCUUCAGUAUUUGUUUACUCAGAGAGAUCUUAAUCUUCGACAGCGGAGGUGGAUUGAGUUACUUAGUGACUAUGAUUGCACGAUUGAGUAUCAUCCUGGUCAUGUAAAUGCUGUGGUGAAUGCACUUAGUUGGAAAACUCCAGUCAGACUUAAUGCCAUUUAUGAUUGCCACGUUCCUCUUCUAGCAGAUUUGAGAUCCACUGGAGUGGAGUUAGGAGUGGAAGAUCGAGAAGAAGCCUUGCUUACUAAUUUUCAGGUUAGGCCAAUUUUAAUUGACCGUGUGCUUGAAGCUCAGAUGUAUGAUGAGGAGACCCAGGAAAUAAUUCAAGCAAGAAAUCAAAGAAAAAAUAAAGAUUUCGGGAUUCGAGAAUAUGAUGGUAUGCUUAUGCAGGAAAGCAGAAUGUAUGUGCCAAAUAAUGCAGAGUUAAAGAAAGAAAUUUUGGAUGAAGCACACAUUUCAGCAUAUGCGAUGCAUCCAGAAGGCACUAAGAUGUAUCAUGCCAUUAGACCAUUUUAUUAUUGGCCAGGUAUGAAAAGAGAAAUUGCCGAAUAUGUGAGUAGGUAUGCCAUUUGCCAAUAGGUUAAAGUUGAAAGGAAGAAGCCGUUUAGGUUGAUGCAACCACUUCCCGUUCCACAGUGGAAAUGAGAAAAUAUUACUAUGAAUUUUGUGUACAAGCUUCCUCGUACACAGAAUGGAUAUGACGGCAUUUGGGUGGUAGUUGAUCGGCUUACGAAGUCAGCACAUUUUAUUCCAGUGAGGGAGAAGUAUUCGUUAAGCCGAUUAGCUAAGUUAUUUACAUCGCAGAUUGUGAAGUAUCAUGGUGUGCCAGUUAAUAUUAUCUCAAAUCGGGAUCUCAGAUUUACUUCCAAGUUCUGGAUAGCAUUCCAGGAAGCUCUUGGUACGAGAUUGCUUUAUAGUACAGCAUAUCACUUUUAGACAGAUGGACAAUCUGAUAGAACUAUUCAGACAUUAGAGGAUAUGUUGAGAUCUUCAAUGCUGCAGUUUUGAGAUAGUUGGCAUGAUUGUUUGGAUUUGAUGGAGUUCGCCUACAACAACAGUUAUCAUUCGAGUAUUAGUAUGGCACCAUUUGAGGCACUUUAUGGGAAAUCUUGUCGUACGCCUCUAUGUUGGUCAGAGGUUGGCGAAAUAGUUUUAGUGGGCCAGAGAUUGUGGAUGUGACUACUCAAAAUGUUCAGGUAAUUAAGUCUAACCUGAAAGCGGCCCAAGAUCGACAAAAGAGAGUAGCAGACAAGCACGCCACUGAUCGGAAGUAUAAUGAAGGUCAUUGGGUACUUCUAAAGCUAUCAUCUUGGAAGGGUGUUGUACGAUUUGGAAAGAAAGGAAACUUGAGUCCUAGGUACAUUGGACCAUAUAUGAUCACCGAACGAGUUGGUGAGGUUGCUUACAGGCUUGAGUUGCCUCCAGAGUUAUCCAAAGUGCACGAUGUGUUUCAUGUUUCGAUGCUCCGACAUUAUGUUUCAGAUCCUUCACAUGUGAUUCCUCCUCAACCUUUGGAAAUUAAUCCGGAUUUGACUUAUGAUAAGGAACCAAUGACUCUAUUGGAUUGGAAGGAUAAGGAACUAAGGAAUAAGACUGUGCGCUUGGUGAAAGUAUUAUGGAGAAAUCAUUCAGUGGAAGAAGCUACUUGGGAGACCGAGGAUCAAAUGAGAGAGAUGUAUCCAUGCUUGUUCUAUGAUUAUUAGUGGAUGUAUUGGUUGUAUGUAAUUUCGAGGACGAAAUUUUAUAAGGUGGGGAGAUUGUCACAGCCUGUCCCGGAAGAUUAUUCUCGAUGACGUGAAGUGACAAUUUUACCCUUGGACGUUAAAGUAUGUUGUGUGAUUUAAAUUGGAUUUUGGACCCAUUCAUUAAUUUCCUAAGUCUUUGGACCCAAUUGGAAGUAAGGAAAUUGUUUGUUUUGAUUGGUGACCCAAAAAUCUGGACCACACAUCUUUUCUCUCUCUCACUCUCCCGUACUUUCUCUUUUCUCUCUCGGACUCACACUCUUUUCCCUCUCCUCCGUACAGACAACCUUGAACCAAGCCAAAUCUUCACAGAUCGAGGAAGAAAAUGGUACCAUUGUGUUCGUGAGGACCAUACGAGUUCAAAGGUACCCAUUUCAGGUAAGUACUCGUUCGAUAUCACGUUAAAAACUCAAGCUUCGAGUUGAGCACUAUUCAUGAACUUUUGAAUGGUUAUGUUUUAGGACAAUCCAAGCUCACAGCGAGCUCUAGGAGGUUCUCACGAAGCUCAGAGUGCUUCGUUGGCUCGGUUUUGACGUCGGGAUCACGAGGUUCGAAGGUGGCCAGUUUUGGUAGAAUUUUCCCGACUAGUUUUCGAGGGAUUUGAAGCUCCCAAGAGGUAUAACCUUCUUCCUCUCGUGAUUUAUGGCAUUCUGGUGAAAAUUGUGUGAAAAAUGGUGCAAAAACGAGCGAGAAAAAGGCAGUUGCAGGGUAUGCCCAAAAUCCGGCGUCGGCGACACUGUUCUGGCGUUUGGAGGUUGAAGAUGAUGCGCGUGGGGCCGUGCCCUCCCCGGCGCGUGAGGGCUCGUGAGCCACAGAAAAUUUAUUUUAAAAAUAUCACGAUGUUCGUGAGGUUGUGUAGGUCGCGUUGGUAUAUUCAAAUACCAAAAUUGAGCUUUGUAUGAGAAGUUAUUAGCUAGUUUUGUGUAUGUGCUUUAAAAUAACGUUUUUAUCGUUAAUUCACAUAUAGGUGAGACUUAUCCUGAGGACGAGCGUAUCCACGGUCGACUCAGGGGUUACGACCCGUCGACAUACCAGUGAGUGGGCUUUUAGUUUUCAGUAUAUAAUUAUAUACUUGAUAUUUUCCCAGAAAAAUAUGUUUAAAUGAUAAUAUGCCAUAAAUGCCAUGCAUAUACAAUUAUGUUUCGUGUAUGAAUUGGUGUGUGAUACCUUAUAUAUAUAAAUGUGGUGUUGUGGAGGCACAGGUAAGUUCAGAUAAGUUAUGUUUGGUUAUGUGAAUCAUCGAUGAUGUGAUAUGUGAUUGAAUAAUGUUGAGCUCAUUAAACUGCACCUAGGGUGAUUGUGAUUUAGCCAGUGAUAUGAAGUACUUACCUAUUUAUUUACGUCACCUCCCGCACUAUAUGCUCAUAUUGGAUCCAACUUAAGUGCACAGUCUUGUCGUACAAACCUUAUUUAUGGUUCCGACUCGUAGGUGACUAGCGAUUUAUCUCCCGGCUAUUAUGAGAGUAAAAUUGAGCAUAAUUAUAUUACAUCCAAUCUUGUCGUACAAACCCCUUUUUAGUGGUUCCGACUUAUGUGCAAUAUAUUGUCGUAUAGGUCAUUGUACUGACUCUGACUAGAUUGACUUUUGAGCUAUGAAGUCAGCCGUACAGACUACCACAUGGGUUCCGGCUAACAUAUCAUAUUUCUAUGAAAUCAUUCUUACCUGGAUUGUUUACUUUGUUAUAUUUUGGAAUGGCAUACAUAUGCUUAUGAUUAUGUGAAGUAUGAUUUGAAUUGAUAUAUUUUCAUAUUCAUUUAUGUAUAUGCUUAUAUUCUGAUUCUGGAAAAAAUUAUACAUGUUUUACAACGAGGGGUUAUAUAUGUUAAUAAAUGAAAUGGUUUUGUAAAACAUUUGUUUUUGCCCACUCACGUUUUCUGUUUUGCGCCCCUCCAGGUUUUAAGUAAGCUUGAUGUUGGUGGCUUGAUGACGUCGGCAAUUCUGACCUAUCUAAAUAAUAGUAGGACAUUCCUGGUACUGUAUAACUAGUAUUUGUCCUACUGGACUACACCUAAACUUUAUGCUCUGAUUAGGAGUGUUUACUGUUGUAACUAACUCCUAUCACUCCCUGUUUAAUAGUGCACUCUAGUAAUGUGAUUCUUAAUUAUUCGUAUAUUUUCUUAUCAUUAUUGUUUCCGCACUGUGCACAUGGCUACGUCACUCUCACGUGACGGCCAGCAUGCUUUUAUCUCGGUCGGGGUGUGUCAAUUUAUUUUUAAAUUGACUAAAAUGCAAAAUUCUCAUAUAUUAAAAAAAAUUGCGGUAAUUAUAAAGGAAUUUUAAUGAAAAACCCGCAGUACUAUUUAUUUUAACGAAAAAUUACAUUUUUACAUUAAAAAGUCAAUCCUUAUACUAUUCACUUUACUUUUUAUUUUGUCCUUAUCGUUAAAACUCAAAAAUUUUAAACUAUUUUUAUUAGUUUUCCUUAAUUAUAAAGGAUCCAUCCAUCUGAACUAUUUGCAGUUUUACUUAAAAAAAUUUAGUUCACAUACGUCUCCGUCAUCCAUUUAUGAUUACAUGACUAAAAUUUCACAUUCGUCUCAAUCAACCAUGUAUGUUAAAAUUGACUAAAUGCAAAAUUCUCAUAUAUUAAAAAAAAUUAAUUGCAAUAAUUAUAAAAAAGUUUUAAUGAAAAGUUUGCGGUACUGUUUACUUUAAAGAAAAAUCACAUUUUUACACUAAAAAAUCAAUAUUGAUUCUAUUCGUUUUAACCUUUAUUUUGUCUUUAUGAUUAAAACUCAAAGUUUUCAAACCAUUAUCAUUAGUUUUCUUUAAUUACAAGGUAUCUAUCCAUCUAAACUAUUUGCAGUUUUACUUAAAAAAAAUAUUUCACAUACGUCUUAGUCAUCCAUUUAUGAUUACAUGACUAAAAUUCACAUACGUCUCAUCAACCAUUUAGGUUAAAAUUGACUAAAAUGCAAAAUUCUCAUAUAUUAAAGUCUUUAAAUUGGAUCCUUAUGAAAGAAUUUCACUUGGGUGUGUAUGCAUAUCUUUAGCUGAAUCUGACCGGCCUUCGGUAUCGGUAAAAAAAAAGGUUUUCAAAAUCAUUUUUAUGAUAUUUUUCUACUAGAAUUUGUCUUUGAUUAGUAUUUUGCAUGGACUAUGUUCGAGAGAGAGCGACCAAACUUGAUAUCGGCAGGCGUUCACUGUUUAGUAAUACAUAGUCCAUACAAAUUUUGGUGCUGAUUAUCUAAAUUACAUAUUAAUAAAAUUUUCAUUGUCAACCAAAAGUUUAUGAAAUUACCAUUCUAACCCUUUAAUUAAAACUAAACAUAUAUAAGGAAUGUAGGCAGUAAUAUAAUUUUACACAACCAAAUUUUUUUUUUUUUCAAAGCCGCACUUAUAUGUGAUUCUAAUAUAUCUCUAAUUUAAAAAUUAAAAAGUAAAGCUCUCUCCUCUCUCUCCCUAUCCCACGCUCUCUCUCCCUCUUUUCCUCUCUCCUUCCAUUUUAAAUACAAAAAAUACAAAAUUUUCACACACAUUUUGUAUGUGGUCAUAUGCUAGUAUUCCACAUUAUGAUCCAAUACUUUUUGGUAAUUUAGGUCAACUACAUAUUAAUAAAAUCCUCAUUGUCAACCAAAAGUUUAUGAAAUUACUAUUCUAACCCUUUAAUUAAAACUGAACAUAUAUAAGAACUGUGGGCAGUAAUAUAAUUUCACACAAUCAAAAUUUUGUUUUUUUUUUCAUAGCCUCACCUAUAUGUGAUUCUAACAUAACUCUAAUUAAAAAAUAUAAAAAGUAAAGCUCUCUCCUCUCUCUCCCCAUCCCACGCUUUCUCUCUCUUUUCCUCUCUCCUUCCAUUUUAAAUACAAAAAAUACAAAAUUUUCACACACAUUUUGUGUGUGGGCAUAUACUAGUAUUCCGCAGUAUGAUCCAAUACUUUUUGGUAAUUUAGGUUAUGAUAAUCAAUUCAAUAACUCCCAACUUAUACCUAUAUAGCCAAAAGUAAUAUAAGGGGCAGAUUUAUGUCACCAUAUUUUUACACAACUUUUGAUACUUGUUUUUGUGAGGCUCAUUCCGUAAUGUAUUUCAAGGAUCCAAACGUCUAUAUUUUAGGUUUCCCUCAAAUAUUAUGUUUACCAAAAAUCACUUAAAUAUGAAAUCAUAUGACCGUUGAAUGUCUUAACGGUUUUAUAUUUGGUUCAUUUUUUGCAAGAAUGAUAUAUGAAAAAAUUUCUCAAAAAUAGAUGGUUCAUUUUUUGGUUUUAAGGGCAAGUAAGGUAACACAAGUCAUUGACUUCCGUUCGUGUCCUUCGAGGUCCACUCAUUCCCUCCCCUCAAGCGAAUAAAAAGCUGUAUUUCAGACUCAUUCUCCUUACAAGUCUGUCGUCUUUCUUCGCCACUCUCACAAAUUUUCAUACAUACAAUCCAACAAAUUCCAAAACCUCUCAACAUAUUCCAUCCAGCUAGCUGCACAAACUGAUUCUUUUGUCUCUGGUUUUCUCUUCAAAUGUGAAAGACUUUGCCUAGAAAAAUGAUGAUUAUGUUCUUCCCUCGACUUCUUCCUCAUUCUCUUUUCUUUGUAGCUUGCUUUGUAACUUUUGCCUUUGGAGCUACUCGAUUGCCAAAUGAUGAAGGUACGAGUAUAAAUCUUUCUUAGUUUCCUUUUCUUCAUUCUUUAAAUGAUAGUUUUAAGUUCGUUUGAUAAUUUUUUUUGAGUUUUCAAAUUUGGUUUGGGUUGAUUUUGGUUUUCAGUUUACAUUUUUCCGAGAAGUGAAAACGGUUACCAUAAAUUAAAAAAUCAAAAUAAAAAUGUUUAUCAAAUGGACCUUAGGCAAAGAGAUAUUUGUGUGAACUUAGUAGAAAUUUUCAAUCAUAUGAUGCUGAGGUGCACUCUGUAGUUCUUGUCUAUGCGUCAAUUUUAUUUUAUUUUUACUAUUUUGUUCAGCACGAUGUUAAUUUGUUGCAUUUUAUUUUGGCGUAUAUGCAGUGCAAACUUUGAAAGGCAUAGCAAAGACACUGGGGAAGACGGGCUGGGAUUUCAGUGGAGACGCAGAUCCAUGCAGCGGCCAAUCUCCAUGGACUAAUACAAGCUCACCGAAAGAAAUUCAGAAUACCAUCAUCUGUCAUUGCUCCGAUGAAAACUCCACUGUCUGCCAUAUUACCAACAUGUAAAUCUCUCUCUCUCUCUCUCUCUCUCUCUCUCUCUCUCUCUCAAAAACAAACAUGCCCGACUCAGAACUCAGUGAGAUUUUUAAGUGUGCUUCCGGAACAUGAUAUAACACGUGUUAUUAUAUAAAUUGUGGGUUACUUGUGUGAAAAAGUAGCACAAUUUGAAAAAUAAAACCUCAUUCUACUUAUAUAACAACAUGUGAUGUACGUUCCGAACACAAUUAAAAAUUUCUGGAUAAACAGUUUACUCGUUGUGUGUUUGAACGAGUUCCAUCUCAUGCAAUAUAUAGAAAUAUUAAGAGCAAAAUAAAGAAAAAGUUGAGAAAAUAAUUAGCCAAUUAGGUGCUAAAUUAGUCGAAUAACUUGACUAAGCAAAAGCAACGUACAUAUUAGGCUCCUUUUGUUGUGAAAGGUUGAGAAGGAUAGGAUCAAAGUUGUUCAGUCUUUGUCAUACCAAUCACAUUAAAGAGAAAAAACAAGAAAGGUCUACGUCCACGUACCAUCCAGUCGAUGAGUGAAGAAAUAUUAAAAAAAAAAGUCAUUGUUUUUCACUUAUAUUAUGAUAUGUGAUGUACUGCUUGAAAAAAUCUCUACUUAAUGAGUGCUAGUAGCACAAUUUGAAAAAUAAAACCUCAUUCUACUUAUAUAACAACAUGUGAUGUACGUUCCGAACACAAUUAAAAAUUUCUGGAUAAACAGUUUACUCGGUGUGUGUUUGAACAAGUUCCAUCUCAUGCAAUAUAUAGAAAUAUUAAGAGAAAAAUAAAGAAAAAGUUGAGAAAAUAAUUAGCCAAUUAGGUGCUAAAUUAGUCGAAUAACUUGACUAAGCAAAAGCAACGUACAUAUUAGGCUCCUUUUGUUGUGAAAGGUUGAGAAGGAUAGGAUCAAAGUUGUUCAGUCUUUGUUAUACCAAUCACAUUAAAGAGAAAAAACAAGAAAGGUCUACGUCCACGUACCAUCCAGUCGAUGAGUGAAGAAAUAUUAAAAAAAAAAGUCAUUUUUUUCACUUAUAUUAUGAUAUGUGAUGUACUGCUUGAAAAAAUCUCUACUUAAUGAGCGCUAGUAGCACAAUUUGAAAAAUAAAACCUCAUUCUACUUAUAUAACAACAUAUGAUGUACGUUCCGAACACAAUUAAAAAUUUCUGGAUAAACAGUUUACUCGUGUGUUUGAACGAGUUCCAUCUCAUGCAAUAUAUAGAAAUAUUAAGAGAAAAAUAAAGAAAAAGUUGAGAAAAUAAUUAGCCAAUUAGGUGCUAAAUUAGUCGAAUAACUUGACUAAGCAAAAGCAACGUACAUAUUAGGCUCGUUUUGUUGUGAAAGGUUGAGAAGGAUAGGAUCAAAGUUUUUCAGUCUUUGUUAUACCAAUCACAUUAAAGAGAAAAAACAAGAAAGGUCUACGUCCACGUACCAUCCAGUCGAUGAGUGAAGAAAUAUUAAAAAAAAAGUCAUUUUUUUCACUUAUAUUAUGAUAUAUGAUGUACUGCUUGAAAAAAUCUCUACUUAAUGAGCGCUUUCUCCUACAUAGAAUUUUUUUUUGUCAAAAAAUAGAUUUUGUUAGGUUAAAUGUUAAAUUAGUCAGCAACGGGGUUUGAAUCCACGUCAUCAUGUAAGAGCUCAACACUUUUCUACCACUGUGGUAAAGGGUCACUUGCCUCCUAUAGAUAAAAUUAACUAUGCAUGUAGACUAAGCGAGACGAAUAACUUACAUUGAACAAGUUAAAUAUCAUAAAAUUAAUACGUGCAAAUUUUUCUUAGCAUGAUAUAUAAUAUUAUAUCAAAAAUAUUAAAAAUAAUAAAUUUGUUCGAUGUAAACUGAUCACAAUUGUGCGGGAGAGAUGUUUUUAUUUCAGAGAGGGGAUUAGCUGGUGAUUUCGUCACAACAGUUUACCCUUUCAAAAGUCGAGAAAAUUCAUAGAGACAACAAUAGAGAUGUUGAUUAGAUGGUUGGAAUUCGGUUUAGUGGACCCCAUGUCUAUUUGGUAUAAAGUAUCAAUCAAUUUUUCAUUACAUGUCCCCUAACCUAACCCCAAGCCCAUGAAACCUCCAAAAUGAUCACAAGUGUGCGAGGAGAGAUGUUUUUCUUUCAAAAUGGGAAUUAACUAGUGAUUUCGUCAGGAUAGUUCACCUUUUCGAAAGUGGGAAAAACUUAUAAAAACAACGAGAGAUGUUGAUUAGAUGGUUGGCAUUCGGGUUUGUGGACCCCACGUCUAUUUAGUAUAAAGUAACAAUCAAUUUUUCAUUACAUGUCUCCUAACCUAACCCCAAGCCCAUGAAACCUCCAAAAUAAAGUAGGAAUUAUAAGGUCUAGUGUGGGCCUCAUCGAGUUGCAUAUUGGCAACUUAGCACGUCGCAUUCACUCAUUCAACCUUAUGUCGGGCCAGGUAGCUAGACCGAUUGAUUUCAAUUAGAUUUGAAGGAUGUUAGUUUAAAGGGUGUGAUAUCCACACAUCACAUUUUAUUUCUCACACAUCUCUUUAAUUUUCGGCCGUCGGAUCGGAUGAAUUGAAGACUAUCAAUGGACAUAAAUUAUCAAAGAUGUGUGGGCCUCAUCAAGUUGCAUAUUGGCAACUUGGCACGUUGCAUUCACUCAUUCAACCUUAUGUCGGGCCAGGUAGCUAGACCGAUUGAUUUCAAUUAGAUUUGAAGGAUGUUAGUUUAAAGGGUGUGAUAUCCACACAUCACAUUUUAUUUCUCACACAUCUCUUUAAUUUUCGGCCGUCGGAUCGGAUGAAUUGAAGAAUAUCAAUGGACAUAAAUUAUCAAAGAUGUGUGAGAAGUAAAAUGGGGUGUGUGGAUAGCACACCCCUAGUUUAAUAGCACAAUCGAGCUCGUUUGUUUCUUUGUGAUUUUCUCACGCCCCGACCCUAGCUUCAGAGAGAUUUUUUAGUGUGCUAGGAGUACAGUCCGGUACAUCAAGUAUCAUAAUACAAGUGGUUAAAUACUUGAAAAAGAACUUCCAACCGUUUGUAUUAUGACACUUAAUGAACCAGAUUUGUUCCUUACACACAAAAUUUCUCUUAGCUUCGGGGGCGUAAAGAUUUUAAGGCUCUUAUUUUAUAUAUGUAAAGCAAGUAAAUGUUGCUACUGUUUAGAGCUAUGAAAAGUGAUCAUCACUCGUCAUUUUCUCUUCAUGCACAUUAUUGAUUUCUAGCCUUUCACGUUUCAAGGGACAUGAAUAAAACCAAGUUAUGCAAUAAUCAUUUUCUUAAAGCUAUAAGUUAUUUUUGACAUGUAAGUUGGAUUGAAAAUUUCGAUUUCAACCAAUUCUGUUUUUGUCGGUUUACGAACAAAAAUAUGAAGAAAAUUGGAACGCAUCUUAAAAUUAGGCUACUUUUGCCGUCGUUAUACAAUCACUAAUUUGUGAUCCAUCAGUGGGUAUAAAGCCAACGUUAUUAUGAUAUCUCUAGACCCUAGUGGGGUUUCCAUUUUCCCAAAUCCUUUACCCUCGGGAUUUUUAAUUUUUCUUCAACCGGCAACCAAUUGGAAGUUUUUCUUGGUCUAAUAAGACCUUGUUGCGCCUUCAAAUUCAAGAAAUGCAGAAGGACUGAUCCAUUUCUUUUAUUGAAUGACCAAUUAAACAUCAAUUACAACCUACCAUGGACCGCAAUUCAAGUUUAGUUUAUCUGCAAAAUCGAGUUCAUGGGAUGUGACCAAUUUGCUCAAUUACUAUAGCAAUGUGUUUUUGAGCUGGCCAUGAGCCAGCAUAGGCGUUCUGUGGUACGCUGAGUUGUUAGAACUUGGUAAUACUGCUGUGCUGUAUUUAGGCUUGAUUCUUACAUACUUGAUCAACGUACAAAAUUUCGCAGUCACGAAGAUUCUUGCAUACUUCUUAUACACGAACAACUCUGUAUCGGCCUAGUUAUUCGUUACAAAGUCAAUGAAAGAAUGAUUCAUAGUGUGCUUGUAACAAAUACACAUUUACCGUUUGUGUAAUUCCUCAAGUUUUAUUCUUUCUAAAGAACAUUGGACAUUUUCCUUCAGUUUUAAAGUAUGAAAACCAGUUCCUUCUUCCUAUUUAAUUCCCUGACCAAAAGUAAGUAUUUUCUGUGAUAAAUUAGUGUUUUACCUGUUUGGUCUCAUUUCUGUGGCAGCUUUUCCUUUUAGUCACAGUAUAGAUGCAUAAUGAAUAUCUGUUAAUUUGCAACUAAUCUUUGAAACAUUAUUUUCUGAAAACACAGAAUUCUAAAAGCCCAAGAUUUGAAAGGAACACUCCCACUAGAGCUGGUAGAUCUCACCUAUCUUCAAGAAAUGUAAGCACAUUUUUACCCCUCCAAGUUUACAUUAUUUAAAAGAAAAUAACUUUGUAUCGUGUAAAUCGUUUAUUCUAAUUUCAUAUAUAGCUUACCUUUAUGUCUGUUGCCAAUGAGACAAUAACUGGUUUCUUUCUUUCUCCUUCAGCGACCUGACCCGCAACUACCUGAGCGGUACCAUCCCUCCAGAAUGGAGCUCUCUUCCACUUUUGAACAUGUACUGUCUUCUCUCAAACUGCAUGCACUUCUGUGUUUGAUGUUCGUGUCAUGUUCUUAUUGCUUCAUUUGGUCACUCCAAUGUUCUUCAGCCAUUUCUUUCUUAAACUAUAAAUCUACUACAUUUGGUUUUGUUCAUGAUGAUGGGCUUCCGUGGUCAUGAGGCGUUUGAAUCAUAAAUAUUGAAUCGAACACAUGGGGUUCAUUGCCUUCGUAUUGACGAACAUGUUAAUGUUAUUGAGCCUCUUGCUUGAUAAAAGUGAUAUUAAGACUAGUUUUUGAUACAGAUCCCUUCUUGGAAAUCGUUUGACCGGUUCUAUCCCCAAAGAGCUCGGAAACAUCACCACCCUGAAGAGUUUGUGAGUGUUGAUUGCGCAUUUGUUUCUUGCUUACCCCAUUUGAUUCCAUGGAGAUCCUUAAUGAUGUUUUUUUAAUCAAUGGAAUUGAAUUUGUUUGUAUAGGGACAUCAGUUUCAAUAAUUUCUCUGGACCUCUCCCUCAGGAGCUUGGAUCUUGGGCCCACAUAGAAAGAUUGUAAGAGUCCUUUUCGAAUUUUACCGUGUUAAAAAGUAUUUGGUUUAUUUGGAGUUUUCUUUCUUGUAGACAAAUUCUGGAUGUUUUCACUAGUAAAUCAUCUACUUCUUUAUCAUUGAUAUAAUGGUUAUAUCUAUUUCGUACUUAGGCUGCUUUGCUCAAACAACUUUACUGGGGAGUUGCCAGAAACAUUUGCAAAGCUUACCAAAAUAAAGGACUUGUAAGUUUCUGUGGUUCUUUCUUCUUAAAGGUUUCCCGAGCACUUAUACAUUUUUUUUACUGCUUUCUGAUACUAAUUCGUAUUUUCCCUUUUCUCCAAUCAUUAUGCAGUCGGGUUAGUGACAGUCACUUUUUCGGGCAGAUACCUGAUUUUAUUAAGAACUGGGCAAAUCUUGAAAAACUGUGAGUGUUUUUCUUUUGUGUGUCAUCUUUCUGCUAUUUGAUUCUGAAUAUUAUCUCUAAUUCAUAUGUUAUGACUCGUUGAAACAGAGUGAUUCAGGCUAGCGGUUUGACAGGGCCAAUUCCUCCUGGCAUUUCUCGUUUGACAAACUUAACUGACUUGUUAGUAUAUCCCGUCUCUAUUUUUAAAUACAAAACGAUUAGCGAUAUGUGUAGUUUAUGUUCAUGGCUCAAUUUUAACAUGCAGGAGAAUCACUGACUUGAGUGGACCUGAAUCACCCAUUCCUUCGCUCGAGAAGAUGAAAAACAUGAAGACACUGUGAGUUAAUGGUUCCAUGACACACAAUUUCUGUCUGUACCAGAAGUCUUCUGUAAACUCAUAGCUUUGGAGUCUGUUGCAGGAUGUUGAGGAGUUGCAACCUUACUGGAAAGAUACCUCUAUAUCUUGCACAAAUGAAAAACUUGAAAACUUUGUAAGUACAAAUGUCUUGGUCCCUAUUUUUUCCGUCUUCAAAUAAAAAAUUUCUUCUAGAUGUGAUUCUACUAAUUCAAGAAUUAUUGAAGUGACUUAGACAAUGUUGGGCGGACUUUAUGUUUCUGUAUUUAUUAAGAGAACAUCUCUUUCAGAUGUCAUUUCCCUCUCUGUAGAGAGCACAACUAAACUGCGUUUGCUAUUUGUUUGUGCAGAGACCUCAGCUUUAACAAGCUGACCGGAGAAAUUCCAAGCAGCUUCGAUAGUCUACCAAAUGUGGCUUAUAUGUAAGCAAUUGGAAUGACCAAUCCAGUCUUUCUUACAUGAAAUUCAAGCAGACAUUCUUCAAUGGUUUUGUUACACCCCAGCCUGACAAGCUGGAAGUAUUUCAAAUCACGAUUACUAUAAUUAUGAGUCACGGAUUAUACUGCAAUGAAAAUGAAAACGGCUCCUCUGCUCAGAAAUGAAAUGUUUAGUUUAUUCAUUAGAGUCAUUACUGCUUAUGCAAUUAAUUAACAUAAGGUGAUCACCUUUAGAUGUGUCUUUCAGAUGGAAGUACCGAUCUAAUCCACUUAGAGUUGGCAAACUCAAGUUUUCAAACCUUUACAGAGAAAUUCCUAAGAACAAACACUAUAUUCUUUACUGAGUUUUUUUCUGUAUUCAUUAUUUUUAGAUUCUUAACUGGAAACUUGCUGACUGGACCUGUACCUGCUUGGCCAAGAGUCAACGUGUAAGCUUCUCUUCCAAAUGCUACUCUUUAGCUACUAAGGAAAUUUAUGCUGUUUUUUUUACUAAGAUAGAUAUAAAACUAUUAAGCUCAUAACUUAUUUCACUAAUUCUAAUCAGCUAGAGACCUACAAUUCAACAGAAUUUGCAUCAUAGCUCUUUUUGUGCAGUGAUCUUUCGUAUAACAACCUCGCCAUAGAGGAUGCAAGUUGUCAACCACGAGGUGGCACGUAAGAAUGUCUUCAUUAGCUUGAAGUUAAUCUGUUUGUGUUAUGUGGAGAUAAGCUUAACUUUUCAUUUGUGUUAAUUUCUGCAGUAACUUGUUUGCAAGCUCGUCAAAAGGAAAUAGUUCGUAAGUUCAAAUUAAUCAUCUCAAAGCAUGCACCUAUAAAUUUACUUCGGUAUCCAAUGGUGUAUUCUUUACUAUUUUUUUUUCCAAUUUCGUCUCAUUUAUGAUUGCUGACAUUUUUUGUACCCUGAAUUACUAUAUCCGGAGAAUUAUUUCAUGUUUCAAAACUUCAGAGUGUCCAAAAUGUAAGCCGAGUUUCUACACAAAUAAUUACCUUUAUUUUUUCGAUUCAUUCUUUUUUAGUUUUCCUCCUCAAUGCCUACUAAUCUCCAAUUUAUUUUUUCAUAGAUUUGUACUACUCUCUCCAUAUAAAUUGUGGUGGGAAACAAUUUACGGUCCCUGGAGGAAAAGAUACAGUAUAUGGUGAUGACACAUUUUCUGCUGGACCUUCAUCAUUUUACAAGAGCACAACAAAUUGGGCAUUAAGCAGCACCGGUUACUUCCCUGAUGAUGACCGCCCUUAUGACACCUUUACAUGGACUAAUGAAACUAGACUCUCUAUGGCCAAUCCUCAACUGUACAUGAACGCACGCCUUUCUCCCAUAUCUCUAACUUAUUUUGGGUUUUGUCUGGGAAAUGGAAACUACACCGUAAACCUCCAUUUUGCAGAGAUAAUGUUUAGAAAUGGCAAAACAUAUAAAAGCUUGGGAAGGCGCAUAUUUGAUAUUUACAUUCAGGUAAGUAUCGCAUCCACUUCCAUAUAUACCAGUGAAUUAUUCUAAUUUUCAACAAGC